CGUCGCGCUACCUUCCACCUAUAAGUACUGUUUCCCGGCCUUCUCCGGUGGCACCCUGACCCAACUAGCCCUAUCCUCAUAAGCUCCCACUGGCCCGACAUCGCUCGCCACUUAUCCUCGCUCUCACCACCUCUGCCAUGCCCCCGCCCGUCCGCGAUAGGCGAGGCCGGAGGUUAUCACCGCCGGAACUAGUGUUCGCUUUUUCACCGGAAGGCAGACGGAGGGAGGAGGCAUUCUAUCGGUCUUUAGAUGGCAAUGCGGAGAUUGAGGACUUGUUGGAGCGCGACCGCCUGGCGGAGGAGCAGGAGUUGUUGGAGCGUGACCGCCUGGCAGAGGAGCAGCGUAUCCCUGAUUUGCGCCGCCAGUGGGACAUGGAGCAGCAGCGCACCGACGCUCUGAGUCGAGAGGCAGAGCACCCACAACUGGGCCGACUACAUGGAGGUUGGCGCCUGGCAAAUAGCCCUGGAGGCUGUCGGGCAUGCACGCGUUCGCGACACCGAUUUUUACUACCAACUCCUCAAGUGGGUUUCCUGCUUAGAAGCUAAACCUUUGGUGGACCACGCCUGCAUGGAAAGGGCCAACACGCGCGCGCAACGCGCCCUAUCGCACCUCUGGCAAGUCCGAGGCGAGGCAGAGGAUGCCGGUGCCAGCGUUUAGCGUAUACCCCAGAUGGCGGUCGGCAUCGUCUAGUUAGCUAAGAGUACUUGUAUGCUACUAGAGUAUUAGUGGGAGUAGAUAGUUAACUUGGCUAUGAUUUUUUUUACUAUAAACAGUAGGGGAACUUGGCUAUGAUGGUUGUCAACGUGGAAGUUCAGUACUAUAUAUGUGGAUCAGACCUGUUACUUUGCUCUGAAUGUUGAACUUUCCAUUUGAACGUAUGGAAUGGGCUGUUAUUUUUUUAAAUGGGUUGUAUUUGUCCUCCACAGGUUUAGAGGCUGACUUGUGGGCCUACCAAGUUGACGCGUACACAAUCAGGAGAUGAUUGUACGUGGAGAGGAGGACAGCAGGGACCCGCCAAGGUCAUGGCAGUAUGCAAGCAAGUGCCUCCUUAUUUCAAGCCAAUAAAACAAUGGCUCCUCCUAAUGGAUUUCUGACACCUGGGUCCCAUGCCAUUGUCAACGUAGUCAAUAAACGAGAGAAUUGCACAACGAGCGGGUAACACCAGGGACCCAGCAGCUCGCCCAGUUAUUUUUGUUUUGGGUUAAUUUGAUAAAUGCCACUCCAAAUCUGGUGUUUCCGAGAAAUGCCACUGCAAUUUCCAAACUUUGAAAAAUGCCAUUUCAUGCCAUUUCCAGUGGCAUUUUUCGAAGUCUGGAGUGGCGUUUUUCAAUGUUUGCAAAUUGUAGUGGCAUUUUUCAAAGUUUGCAAAAAUUGCAGUGGCAUUUUUUAAAGUUUGGAAAUUGUAGUGGCAUUUUUAUGAAUCGCCAUAAUUGGAGUGACAUUUAUCUAAUUUGUUUUUGAGACGGAAGCAGGGUGUCAACUGGGCUGUGCGGGGCACUCUGGCCUAUCUAGACAGCCUUUUCUUUUAUAUUUACCACAGACCAGCCCAGUACUUUUUUUUUCUUUCUGAAAAUGGCUAGCCCAGUUUUUUUGUGAUUUGUCAAGUAAGUCGCUUUGCCAGGCCUGUUGGUCUGCAAAUCUUUCAAGACAAGGAGAGCUUCAUUCGGCUGGCCGAGAAAAUGGCCUAUCAGUAAUGAGAAAUGGGUUGUACAUUUUUAAAACACAUCAAACCGGCAAUUAGUUUCAAGUUUAUCUUUUUCAUUUCAAGAUUUUAAAUUGCAUUGAUUUUUAUGCAUGGACAAUCUGUUGGAUUUUAUACUGAUAUACAUUUAUUUUUUUUAAACAGUUUGAAUGUGACUCGAAAUUUCAAGAUUAAAAAUAGUUCGGACCGCACCGAAAUAUGAAAAUUUUCGUAUAAUUUCUUAACUGUGGCCACAAUAUGGGUUGUAAUGCUAACAAAAAGAAUAUGGGCUCCAAAAAAACCUAAAGAAUUAGCAAAUGAGCUGUAAAUUAUUAGAAAUAAUGGCAGAUGGGUUGUAUGUUGUUUUCCGCAGAUUUGAGGUUUUCCUAAAGAAAAGGUUGACGCACAAGCACUGACUAUUGGAUGUCCAUCCAACGGCCCUCGUGCUUCUUCAAUCUCUACUCUUCCUGCUCCAACCACUCAAACAAGCGCCGGUGGGACUGCCUGCUCCCUCCUCCCUGCGGCCGGCUGUGCUACCGCGCAGGCCUCACCGUCCCAUCGUACUCCCAUCGCUGACCUAGCCAUCCCUCUACUCACCCACACCUCCUAUUAUUCUCUGGCGACGACAGACGAACCAGUAAACCCUCGUAUAGUCGUACUCCCCUCCGCGUGAGAAACAACUGCCGAGUCUUUCCUGGCUCUGUGUCGUUCCCUUCCUAGGCCUCGCCAUCGUCCACCAUCCUGGUGCUCUCGGCGUUGCGUGGUCAACAUGGUCAAUGACCGACAUGCAUCUGAAGUGGACUGUACGUGGAGAGGCUGACAGUUGGGUCCACGGCCGCACGCAAGGAAAUGCCUCCUUAUUACGUGCAAAAUAAUGAUUCCUCCACCUGGUAUCUGGGACCCAUCGAAAGGGCCUCUGUAUUUCAUGAAAAAAUGUUACCGCCGCUGACAGCUCGGACUCACCAGCUAUAUCUUCACAUGCAAGGAAGUGCCUCCUUAUUACUCACAAAAAAUGAAUACUCCCCCUGCUAGCUGGGACCCUGUAUAGUGGGAGGCUGACAUGUGGGCCUACUAAGUUGACGGGGACGGAGGGCUUUGUCAACUUAGUCAAUAUGCACGAUUCUAGCUCCGGUGACCGUACGAUGUCCAUCCAACGGUCGUAGUGCUUCUUCAACCUCUGGUCUUCUUGGUCCAGCCGCCCAAAGCAGCGCCGGUCGUGCCGCCUGCUCCUGCCUCCCAUGGCCGGCUGUGCUGCCAUGGAGGCCUCACCGCCCCCUACUACUCCCACCGCUGGCCAGGCCAUCCCUCCACUCACCCACACCCACACCCUGUUAUUCUGCGGCGACGACAGCCUCACACCGCAGUCCAAAUCAGUGAACCCUCGUACUCCUCUCCGCGUGAGCAUCCACUACCGCGUCUUCCCUGGAUCCACGGCAUCCCCUUCCUAGGCCUCAUCGUCGUCCACCGCCAUGGUGCUCUCGGCGUGGCAUGGUCAAUGUGGUCAACGACCGACUUCCAUCGUAAGAGUACUGUACAUGGAGAGGCUGACAACUGGGUCCACGCAGCCGCAAGGAAGUGCCUCCUUAUUAUGCGCAAAAUAAUUAUUCCUCCACCUGACAGUGGGGACCCAUCGGACGGGCCACCGUAUUUCACAAAAGAAAUGUUUCCCCCCUGACUACUGGGACCCACCAGCUACAUAUUUGCAUGCAAGGAAGUGCGUCCGGGCAAAAAACGAUUUGCCCCCCUGACUGCUGUGACCCACCAGCUACAUCUUCGCACGCAAGGAAGUGCCUGACAGUCGGGACCCACCUGGUCGAAGCGUAUGUAGCGUUGUCAUUCUAGUCGUGAACGUGUACAUACAUACUGGUCGAUGUAGAGGAGCGCACGUGUCGCAGUAGAGGCACGCACGUAGCAUGUACACGUACGUACAAUAGCUAGUGUGCAAGAAAGAAAAUACGGCCAUGUAUGUCGUGGAAUUGUCACGUCAGAUGCCCUAGCGAAAGAACUUAGUCGUGGAGCCAUCGGAACUAGGAAGCUUGAAGGGGUUAAUCAGGACAAGAGACAUGAGAGGUUUAUACAAGUUCGGCCCCUUACGAUGAAGGUAAAAGCCUACGUCUAGUUGUGAUUGGGAUUAUGUAUGUCUCGAUAACCAGGAGGCAGAAUCGCUUGACCUAGCUCUCGAGUUGUUGUUUCGUGUCUUGAACCGCCGCCGGGUCGUCCCUUUAUAUACUGAGGUUGACGCCCAACGGCUCUACAGAGUCCCGGCCGGCUUAUAGUUUGUAUCCGGCUCGGUCUCUUAACAUUUAUGCCUUACAGUACAAGUUACAUGAAUAAGGCGGUUUAACACUACAGGCCUUAAGUCGUCCCUGGGCCUUUGGGCCUUUACUAAACCGCCGUCUUCAACCUUGAGCUUUAGUCUUCAAGAAUGCUUAUAGGUAUAACCCGGCUCCCUCCGGCAGGUCAUACCUAGUAGUUAUAUCCCCAACAUUAGGCCCCAGACUGAUUUGAACUAGUUCAUGUCAGUCUUCAAAAAGUCUUCUGCUCCUUACUUAAGAAAGUUCAUGUAACCCGCCAUGACGUCACCCUUCAGAUUUGUGGUAACCCGCCAUGUCAUCACCUGUCAUAAAUGCAUGCUUUGUCCAACAUAUCCUAAUAGAUCUCUGUCUUAAUAACCAUCCGAAAAUCAAGGCGCCCUUGUAGCUGGAUAAAUUUAUUUUUCGGCCUCCUCGUUUUUGCACCCACUCAACAGGUUUUCCUUAUAAAUAGCCCCGACUAGGCAUCUUUUCCAUUCUCCGUACGCAUCUUCUUCCUCUCACCCCAUCUGCCACUGGAGCUCCGCCGCUGUCGCCACUGCGCCCUUCAUUCUCGUCGAGCUUUGGCCGCUGCAUCACCCUGACCUUGACCAGAGAACAGCGGUGCUCCUCCUCUGUGGAUCCCCCGCAGUAAGUGUUUCCCUUUCCGCACCAUAGAUCUGCAUUAGGAUUAUCGUGUUCUUCUACGCAGACAUAGUUCAUUCGAGCUCUUGCUCUUUUUCCUUGCCACGGCGUCGCCUGACCCAAAGAACCCCAUGAAUCUGAUGCGGUCCAUGCUCCGCAUUCAUUUGAUUAGCUAUGGACUUCCUUCCCUUGUAAGAAAACCUCACCGUAGCAUAUGAACUUCUCUGCGUCCUAUUUUUAGGUCUAGUAAUUUUUCUUUUCUGAACCUUUGUUUGAUCCAAAAUAAUUACUGCAAACUAUGAAACUUGUUUGUCCUACACUUAGGAAAAAUCCAUAACUUGUUAGACUUGCCAGUCAUGGCGGCUCUAACCGCCGGCUUAAAGAAGCAAUAAUAUGAACCUCCCCUGUUAGUUUAAAUAAUACUGAUGGCUUUAAAACACUUAUGGCGGCUUACGUAACCCAGCGUAAGUAUCCUUAUACCAGUAGGCCCCUUCAUAAGUCGCCAUACUUCAUUCCACUAAUAUUUUUUCCUGUCCGGCUUAAAUUUGAACCGGCCUUGUUUACUUUGUAUUUAGGCUUUCAAACAUAAUGGCGCCCAAGGCACCUACCUCUUGCAACUGGGUGAAAUCCAUUGCCACUGAUGGCACUUUAGAUGACUUCGUGAAAACCGGCUAUCUGCCAAACAAAGAAGUCAUGCCUUACCGUGCUCCUAACCCGGAUGAAGAAAUUCCUCAACCCAAAGACAGAGAGGUGGUUGUCUUUACAGAUCAUAUGAACCGGGGUUUUACUCCUCCCGGUUCAAAAAAAUUCAGAGUUGUACUGAAGUUUUUUGACCUUCGCCCACAAGACAUUGGACCCAAUUCCGUGUCUAACAUCUGUAAUUUCCAAGUGUUCAGCGAAGUUUAUCUUAGCGAAGAACCAAACUUACUGCUUUUCAGAGAGUUGUUCUAUUUGAACCGCCAGACAGAGCGUGCCAAUGGUGAGAGCUUGGAACUUGGUGGGAUUUCAAUUCAGCGCCGCAGGGAUGCACUUUUCCCCUAUGCCAACCCGCCAAGCCAUCCAAAAGAUUGGAACAUGACAUGGUUCUACUGCAAGGACACCUCCCCGGUUGACGAGAAUCCUCUGCCCGGCUUUCAUGCCCUUCGUCUUGACACCAAUAAUCAUUUGCCCGACAAGAUUACUGCCGCAGAACGCAGAUCCCUCUCUCCUACUCUGGCCAAGAUCAAAGCUCUGUUGGGGAAUAGGUUGACGGGCAUUGACCUGGUUCGAGUCUGGCUUGCUUGGAGAGUUAUCCCAUUGAGCCGCCGUACCGUCUAAAUGUGUGAAUAUACUGGUGCCAAGAAUGACCCCCUGCGCCAUAGCCCUGACAAUUUACCUGCUCAUGUUGUUGAUGACAUGACCAAAUCUCUUCUCAACGAGAGUCCGGCGGAUUGUGGCAGAGUGGGUCUCGCCCCGUUCUGCAAAGAUAACCCGGCUCCAAAGGUAAAAACCCUCGUAUAAAAAUGUUUACCUUAUUUUCUUAAUGCUUCACCCAUACUCAUAAUAUACUUAAUCUUUGCAGGCGGGUGAUAAAUUUUGGAAUGUUAAAUAUGAUCAUGAAGCGGCCAAGAAAGCCAGGAAAGAAAAGAAAGCCGCCAGGAAAGAAGCUGCCCAAAGGAAGGGCAAGAAAGCUACUGCUUCGGACUUGCUUCGGCUAGCAGACUCUUCUGAGUCAUAGGUAUCCCUUGACUCCCUUGUCUUAUUCUUUAAUCAUCUUAUUGACACUGAUCAUCAGUAGGAGGACACUGGGACAAGCCGUAGCAAGGCUGACGAGGUAACUAUCCUUUCCUCUGACUCCGAGCCUUUGCCAAGACAGAAAAUCCGCAGAGUGACCCGGAAAGUAAGAUUUUCUCAUCCUCUAGCUCAUCAUGAUCCUCAAUUUCUUUUGAAGCGGCAAAUUCAUGAGAGCCGGAGCCAGACCCGGACCAGCAAGGAUGCGGAGCUCUCCUCCGGCUUACCAAAUACUCCAAGAAAACGCCAAAACAAGGUUACCUAUAUUUUAACUAAGUUUUACCCCUUGGCGGGUCUCUUUCGUCAACCACUCAAUUCCUCUAACUCGGAUUAUCAGGAUACUUCCCCUUCCUCCAGCGAGUCAUUGCAGUCCAAUCUGCCAACUUUUAAGACUAUACCAGGGUAUAAUAAGCCACUCACUUUUGUAGUUAUUGUAAUCUUCUUACUUCUGUAUUAAUCUUUUUAUUUGAAUGCAGUGGUCAAGCUAAACUCAGCAAGAGGGUUAGAAAGAAUAAACCGACUGAAGAAAGAGUCGCCGCUGAUGAGCCGAUUCUUGAGACGACCGUGCCGGAGUUAAGCACUCUUGAAACGCCACCUGAACCAGCACAAGAUGUGUCACCUCCUACUGACCUGCCCACUGACUAAGGUGCUACCGACUUAGAAAAUCCCAAACCUCCAAGCCCAACCCGGACAGCUGAUCCUUCCAAUGCUGAUGUUGAAAUCACCGGAACCGGCCAUGCUGACUCGGGGAGGCCAACCAUGCUGGCCAAAUGCCCCGCCAAGGAAGAACUUCUGGACUAGCGCCGAGUCAAGAUGGAUGUCGCCAAAUAUGCUCAUAUGAGUAUUGGAGAUGUCUUCUCUGGCUAUAUGAGCCAAGUGCACAACAGCCGGAACCUCGAGAUUGACAUGGUGAAGCAAAUGCACCAUAAAUUCGAGGUAUAACCCGUUUUCUCUUGUUCCUUAUCCUCCAAUAUGUUAGCCCCCAAGUCUGCUGCUUAAGAUACUUAUGCUGUAGACUUAGAAACAAAUUUGACAACAUAAAGAAAGAAUAAACUUCUAGCUUACCUUGUAGUCCCCAAGGGGCAGCUUAACCAAUAUGGUUGAGCCGGCUCUUUAUAGAGAAAUUCAUAUGUGUCUUUAAACAACAAUAUGCAUUAGCCCCCAAGUGCCAAGUGUUAUUGCUUGCAGAAAUGCUUGGGACUUAAUCAUAUGAAUCACCAUAUAAUGAACUGUCGUAGAAGAGAAAAAACUCUACAAGACAUUAGCCCCCAAGUGCCAAGUAGUAUUGCUGGCAAAAUGCUUGGGACUUUAAUACUGCAUAAAUAACUUACUUGAUUUUAUACUUGCACAGGCUACCACGAGUCAACUCGAGUCUGAGGUGACCAAUUUGAAGAGCCGCCUUGAAUUCCAAGAGUCAGAACUUGAGAAGGCCAACAGUAAGUUUGAAUACAGUGUUUUUGAACAGGAUAAACGAAAGAAAGAUUUUGAGACUAAAAAGAAAGCCUGGGCGGAUGAGAAGACCGCAUUGAUAAGCCGAGCUGAAAAAGCAUAAGCGGCUCUUGAAGAAGUCACUGGAGAAUUGUCCGGGUUAAAGCGCCAUAUUUCACAAAUGGUCGCAGCCAUCUUCGGUAAGUCGCCUUUCCGUUUUUUACAUAUCAUAAGCCGUGCAAUAGAGUACGUGGCAGAAAUUAACUAUUCUGAGUAUGCUUUGUACAGGCCCCAGAAGCGCAAAUUUAAACCACAACAUGCUGACGAAGCUGAAAGCUGUGUAUACAUUGGUGGAGCAAUUGUACACUGGGUCACAACGUACACUUGCUUCAGUGGCCUUAUCCAAUGAGAUUCCAACCCUCCUACCACGGGUCUUGAGUAAGCUUUCAGUCCUUCCUCAACGGAUCAAUGAAUUGAGACGGUCAGCUGCAAGAGCCGGAGCAAAUAAUUCUCUAAGCCGGGCUAAGGCCUGGCUACCUGAAUUAGACCCGGAGGAUAUCGCCAUUGGUUACCCAAGUCAGAAGGAAGACGGCACGCCAUUUGAGGACACGGAUUUUCUUGCUUGUGUCAAAGAGAUACGCCCCGUGGCGACUCUGAUAGCUACUGAGGUAGAUCUUACCAAGUACCAGGCGGGUUAUGAUGAACAAAAUUGAAGAAUUCCGACACCUCAAUAUGACGUGACCAGUCUGAUUCCCCCAAUUCAUAAGCAUACCUUUGCUCCUGAAGUUGACCUGGCCGGUCUUGUUGAUGAUGAAGCAGAAUUUGAAGCCUUAAACAACAUUGACUGGUCAUCAUCAACCUUCCAAGAAAAGGAGCAGAGCGCAAGUGCGUAGAGGGCUAACCCAGACACUUUCGGCCAAUCCUGAAGGUGAACCUGUCAUGGCGGCUCAUUACCUGGCGUGAAAAACAAUGCAAAUUAUUUGGAUUUAAUGAGUCCUGUAAUAGGAUAGAGAUAACUCUGUUGUGGCCAUGCCAUCGUGCAUGUUUUGAUGCUUAACAUUCUUAAGCCGCCUUGCUGUAUUCGUGCAACAGUUGAUCAUUUUUGAAAAACUGUCCUUCAAAUAAACUGCUAGGCGGGUCAAAAAGGUUAUCAAAAUAAUCAUAGAUUAUCUGGUUGAUAAAAACACAACUAUGAUAAAAUUUCACAACUUGCACCACCGGUUCAUAUAACCCGGCCGGUAAGGAUGAAGAUCCAAUAUUUGGAUACCCGGAAAGUACAACGAUGCUUAUGGGUCGGUGACUCAUCAGUCGAUAUUGAACCGGGCUACAGACAUCAUAUUUAUAGUAGUAAGCCUUAGGAAAAAUCUUAAGUCAAAUAAUGGGGCUUCCAAAGAGAACUUCAACCAAAAAGAGAAGUAACAAGGCUACUGAUUCGAAUGCGACCAGUGAACCGUCCCAGAGGGGUUUAAACUAGGAUUCGAAUACGAUCAUGUAGCCCCCAAUGGCUUUGGCAUUGCGCCGAUCAAGAGGGUACCGACAGCUGUGUUCUCUUUGGUUCGAAUACGACCUAUGUUUAAACAGGAAGCCCCGAUCUUGAGAGUUUUUUAACGACUCUGAUUCGAAUACGAUCAAAGUCGGUUCCCAAAUGGGGUUAAGCUAUGAUUCGAAUACGAUCAAGAAACCCCCAAGUGAGCUCGGCAGUGUGCCAAUCAAAAGGGUAUCCACAGUUAUGUUCUCUUUGGUUGGAAUACGACCUAUGUUUGAAUAGGAAGCCCCCUAGUGAUCAUAAUUUUUUAACAGCUAGAUUCGAAUACGAUCGUAAGGCGGAUCAGAACGGGCUGAGCCGGAUCAAAUAUGACCCGCCCCCGAGCGAUCAUGCGAGAAAAUGAUGACAAUGAUAAUAACAAAUUUACCUUGUGAAGAGGGAAAAAAGGACAGAGGUCCUGCUUUAUUAUUUAUCAUAAUAUAUACAUUGGCAAGAUUAUACAUCAGUGGAGCCUAUGGCUCAAGUGUAGUAGGGCCGGAGAUGAGCAAUAUUCCACGGCCUCCGGGUCUCUUCCUCUGACUUACGUGAGUCUUUGUGCUCUCGAAUGUCAAUAAGGUAAUAUGACCCGUUGUUCAAGUUCUUGCUGACCACAAAUGGCCCUUCCCAAGGUAGGGAUAACUUGUGAGCAUCAGUUUGAUCCUGGAUGAGCCGGAGCACUAAAUCACCUUCCUGAAAGGAUCUGGACUUAACUCGGCGGCUGUGAUAACGGCGCAAGUCUUGUUGAUAAAUCAUCGAACGAGCUGCUACCAAGUCCCGAUGUUCAUCUAACAGAUCAAGAGCAUCCUGGCGCGCAUGUUCAUUGUCUUCCUCGACAUAAGCCGCCAAACAAGGUGAAUCAUGACGGAUGUCACUAGGGAGAACCGCCUCAGCUCCGUAGACCAUGAAGAAAGGCGUAUAACCCGUAGAUCUGUUAGGAGUAGUGUUGAUGCUCCAUAACACAGAAGGUUACUCCUCAAUCCAACAACCCAACGUCCGUUGCAAGGGGACAAAAAGCCGGGGCUUAAUGCCUUUCAGAAUCUCUUGAUUGGCUCUCUCGGCUUGACCAUUGGACUGAGGGUGAGCCACUGAUGAAACAUCAAGCCGGAUAUGCUCACGUUGACAGAAUUUCUCCAUGGCGCCUUUAGACAGAUUAGUGCCAUUGUCAGUUAUAAUGAUGUGUGGAAAACCAAAAUGAAAUAUCACCUUCUUCAUGAAUUGAACCGUCAUGGAUGCAUCACACUUGCUGACCGGCUCUGCCUCGACCCACUUUGUGAACUUAUCAACUACCACCAAGAGGUGAGUCUUUUUAUCUUUGGAUCUCUUGAAAGGUCCAACUAUGUCAAGCCCCCAGACCACGAACGGCCAAGUAAUUGGAAUCAUCCUCAACUCUUGAGCCGGCACAUGAGCCCGUCUUGAGAACUUCUGACAACCGUCAUAUUUACUGACCAGAUCCUCUGCGUCAGCAUGAGCCGACAGCGAGUAAAACCCAUGACGAAAAGCCUUAGCCACGAGAGAUUUUGACCCGGCGUGAUGACCACAAUCUCCUUCAUGAAUCUCACGGAGAAUUUCUUGGCCUUCUUCAGGAGAGAUGCAAUGCUGAAAAGCCCCUGUAACACUGCAAUGAUGCAACUCGCCAUUGAUAAUUGUCAUGGACUUAGACCGCCGGGUUAUCUGCCUGGCCAAGGUUUCAUCCUCAGGCAACUCGCCCCGUGUCAUAUAAGCCAGAUACGGCACCGUCCAAUCUAGAAUGAUAUGAAGAGCCGCCACCAACUAUGCUUCAGGGUCAGGAAUAGCCAAAUCUUCCUCUGUAGGUAGCUUGACAGAAGGGUUAUGCAAAAUAUCCAAGAGAGUAUUAGGCAGCACCAGCUUACGCUGAGAUCCCGGCCGGCUUAAAGCGUCAGUCGCCUCGUUCUUUCGACGGUCAAUGUGUUCCACCUGAUAACCCUUGAAGUGCCCCGCAAUUGCGUCAACCUCCCGGCGGUAAGCCGCCAUAAGAGGAUCCUUUGAAUCCCACUUGCCUGAUACUUGCUGAGCCACUAGAUCUGAGUCUCCGAAGCACCUUACCCGGCUUAAAUUCAUCUCUUUAGCCAUCCAGAGACCGUGGAGCAAGGCUUCAUACUCAGUUGCAUUGUUAGUACAAGGAAACAUCAACCGGAGUACAUAACAAAACUUAUCACCCCGACGGGAAGCCAAAACAACUCCAGCCCCCGAGCCUUCCAAUUGUCUAGACCCGUCAAAAUGAAUUGUCCAAUAGGUAUUGUCCAACUUUUCCUCAGGCAUCUGCAACUCUGUCCAAUCAUUGAUGAAAUCCACCAGCGCUUGAGAUUUAAUAGUUGUGUGUGGCACAUAUUUUAAACCAUGAGGCCCAAGCUCAAUGGCCCAUUUUGCGACUCGCCCUGUCGCCUCUCUGUUCUGAAUAAUAUCCCCCAAGGGGGCAGAACUAACCACAGUGAUGGGGUGGCCCAAGAAGUAUUGCUUAAGCUUCCGGCUGGCCAUGAAUACCCCAUAGACAAGCUUCUGCCAGUGCGGAUAUCGCUGCUUGGAUUCAAUCAGUACCUCACUGAUGUAGUAAACCAGCCGCUGAACCGGGUGCUCCUUGCCAGCCUCCUUGCGUUCCACCACAAUAAUAACGCUAACAGCACGCAUGUUAGCAGCCACGUAUAGUAACAAGGGUUCCUUGUCAAUGGGAGCAGCAAGAACCGGUGGCUCAGCCAACUGUUUCUUCAGAUCUUCAAAAGUAGUAUUGGCGGCGUCACUCCAAGUAAAGCAAUCCGUCUUCUUCAUCAUCUGAUAUAGCGGCAUAGCCUUCUCCCCUAAUUGGCUUAUGAACCGGCUUAAAGCGGCGAUAUGACCCGCCAAAUGCUGAACAUCAUUGAUACAUGCCGGCUUGGCCAGAGAGAUGAUGGCUUUGAUCAUCUCCGGGUUAGCUUCGAUGCCUCUGUUAGAAACUAGAAAGCCCAAAAGCUUGCCUGCAGGCGCACCAAAAACACACUUAGCCGGGUUAAGCAUCAUCUUGUAAACCCGAAGACUAUCAAAGGUCUCCUUGAGAUCAUCAAUCAAGGUCUCUUUCUCUCUGGAUUUAACCACAAUGUCAUCCACAUAAGCAUGAACAUUGCAUCCAAUCUGAUUAUGAAGACAAUUCUGCAUGCAUCGCUGGUAAGUCGCCUGGGCACUCUUGAGCCCAAAAGGCAUUGAAACAUAGCAGAAGGCUCCAAAUGGAGUAAUGAACACCGUCUUCUCCUGGUCCUUAACAGCCAUCUUGAUCUGAUGAUAACCAGAGUAAGCAUCUAGAAAGCUCAAAUGCUCACAAACCACCGUAGCAUCGAUGAUCUGAUCAAUACGAGGGAGAGCAAAAGGAUCAGUAGGACAAGCUUUGUUUAAGUCCGUGUAAUCCACACACAUACGCCAAGUACCAUUUUUCUUAGGAACAAGCACCGGGUUAGCCAGCCACUCUGGAUGAAACACCUCAAUGAUAAACCCAGCUGCCAAGAGCUGGGCCACUUCUUCACCGAUAGCUUUCCUUCUCUCCUCAUUAAACCGCCGAAGAAACUGCUUGACCGGCUUAAACUUUGGAUUGAUAUUAAGAGUGUGCUUAGCGAGUUCUCUCGGUACACCCGGCUUGUCAGAUGGCUUCCAUGCAAAAAUGUCCCGAUUCUCACGGAUGAACUCGAUGAGCGCGCUUUCCUAUUUAGGAUCCAAAUUAGCACUGAUACUGAACUGCUUGGAUGAAUCGCCUGGAACAAAAUCAACAAGCUUAGUCUCAUCCGAUGACUUAAAUUUCGUGACCGGCUCAUGCUCUAUAGUUGGCUUCUUUAAGGAUGUCAUAUCCGCCAGGUUAACAUUGUCCUUGUAGAAUUUUAACUCUUCCAUCGCGCAGACUGACUCAGCAUAAGCCGCGUCACCCUCUCCACAUUCCAGAGCCACCUUGCGGUUCCCGUGCACCGUAAUGGUUCCCUUAUAAACCGGCAUCUUGAGCUUCAAGUACACAUAACACGACCGUGCCAUGAACUUGGCAUAAGCCGACUGCCCAAAUAGAGCAUUAUACGGGCUAUUGAUCUGAACUACUUCCAAAGUUAAUUUCUCGGCUCUGGAAUCGUAUUCAUCCCCAAAUGCUACCUCCAACUCUAUCUUGCCGACCGGAUACUCCGACUUACCAGGUACAACUCCAUGGAAAACAAUGUUGGACUUCUUAAGUCUCUUAUCAGUCAGCCCCAUGCGACGGAAGGUCUCAUAAUAAAGGAUAUUGAUGCUGCUGCCUCCAUCCAUCAGCACCUUCGUGAACUUGUAUCAACCCACUUGAGGGGCCACGACCAGGGCUAAAUGACCCGGAUUGUCAACCCGGGGAGGGUGAUCCUCUCUACUCCAUAUGAUAGGCUGCUCAGACCACCUCAAAUAACGAGGAAUUGCCGGCUCAACCGGAUUCACGGCCCUCUUAUGAAGCUUCUGGUCCCGUUUACAUAAACUGGUGGUAAACACAUGGUAUUGCCCACUUUUUAACUACUUUGGAUUUCUCUGGUAUCCACCUUGCUGCUGCUGCUGACUGCCCUGGCCAACCUGUGUGUUAUGUCCACCCUGGUUUCCCUGGGAAUUUCGAAAAUUGGGAUUUGACCCGCCGCCCGAGCCAUGAAAACCGCCGCCACCUGAGCCGCUCGGGCCAUUGUUACCCUCAAGCAUGUUGGAAUUUUUGAAAGCCUUCAUAAUCGUGCAGUCCUUCCACAAAUGUGUAGCCGGCUUCUCCUUAGUACCGUGUCUCGGACAAGGUUCAUUCAACAACUGCUCAAGUGUGGGUCCUGACCCGCCGGAUCGAGGAGGUGGCCUUCCCUUGCGUCGCUGGUUAUGACCCUGUGUAUUGGUGUUAGCCAUAAAAUCCAAACUACCGUCAGCCUUACGUUUGUUACCUCCUUGAUUGGCCGGGUUGUGCUCAGAGCCCUUGCCAUUGCCAUUCCUCUUUCCCUUCCCUGCCUUCUCAUCAUCAGACUCGGGAUCCUUGGUACUAUCAGAAUCGGCGUGCUUGACCAGAGCCGCCAUCAGCGUGCCCAUAUCAUUGCACUCAUGUUUGAGCCGCCCCAGCUUUUGUUUCAAAGGUAAGAAACGGCAAUUCUUCUCCAACACUAAGACUGCAGAGUCGGCAUCCAUCUUAUCAGAUGAAUGUAUUAUGGCCUUAACCCGGCGUACCCAAUGGGUUGUAGACUCACCCUCUUCCUACUUACAAUUCGUCAGAUCCACGAUCGACAUGGGUUGCUUGCACGUGUCUUUGAUGUUCUGGAUGAACCGGGCCUUUAACUCCGCCCAUGAACUGAUUGAAUUAGGUGGCAGGCCUUUCAACCAGGUGCGGGCGUUUCCAUCCAACAUCAUGGUGACGUACUUAGCCAUUGAUGCGUCAGUAACCUCCAACAACUCCAUAGCCAUCUCAUAGCUCUCAAUCCAUGCCCCGGGCUGCAAGUCGGCUGUGUAAUUCGGCACCUUCCUUGGUCCUUUAAAAUCUUUGGGCAACCGCUCGUUACGUAGAGUCGGCACUAGACACGGGACUCCUCCAGUCCGAGUGGCUAUACCUGCCUCAACAGAAGUCGUCGGAUAAAUCGGAUACGGCUGAUAAGCCGUCAACUGAGCCGCUAGCUCAGCCGCCCGUUCAGCCUCUUGUCGUAGUCUCUCUUACUCUACCAAGUUAAUGGCCUCAUGACGUGGCGGGUUACCGCCACCUGGCUGGUCACGGCGUCUAACAUUGCUUGACAUGGCCACUGAAUCCAUGUGCCUGCUAUAACUCGGGCUUCGGCUAGGACGAGGGGUCGAGUGGAUCCUGUCUGGGCUAUAUGAGUAUGCCUCCUGCUGUGAUAAGGCCGUCUGAAGAAGCUCCCUAACCCGACGGGUUUCAACUGUAGCCGGAGAGUCGCCAUCAAUUGGGAGAUCCACCAAUCGGGUUGCUGCGGCUAUCAUGUUUUCCAAGGGGUUAGAGUAAUGACCCGGAGGGGUUGGUACGUACUAAGGUGGCGCCAUGUUCACGCGGGGAGGUCCCAUCACUGGUGGCUGAAAUGGUGCUCCGUCCCCGGGUGUUGCAACAUGGUCUGUUCCUGUGCGCGGAGGGAGCCAUGGCGGGUUGCCUAUCUGCGGGGUAAGCCACGCCGGGUUACUGGGCAAUGCUCCUGGCGUGUUAAAAAGAUUCCGAGGGUCAUAAACCGGGGGAAGUCGAGACUGAGUCUUUUGAUACCUUCUCCUCAUGACCUCAUUAGUCGCGUUCUGGUCUUGUGUGAGCCGAAAAGCGUGCGCCUGGAUCUGCUAAGCCUGAACGUCCAGAGCCGCCCGCUCUGCGGUUAUCCUAACAUCUUCUGCUGCCAUGUCCUCCUUAGCUUGUGCCAUAUCCAACUUUAACUAUGCCACCUCUGCAUCAUAACCGGCUUUAUCCGUCGGGUUGACUAUGGCAGUUAAUAGGGUGGUCAACUUGUCGGUGAGAUCCAUUAACACCUAGGCCGGUGAACGCACAGGGCCUCCUGCCCUGGCUGCCGCUGACCCGGAAGUUACGGCUGCUGCAGUUGUAGAGUCUUGGAUGGGUUGGGUGCCGGCGCUGAAGAUCCCGACCCUGCUCGGCGGCUCAAGACAAUCCGGAAUACUGCAGCCAUCGGAACAGCCCCCAAGCCUGCCAUCCUGCAGUUGGUACAACGAACCUGUCUCACCUGUGGAUGACUCACCAUCAGAGUAGAUGGCCGUCUCACCACCAGAGGCAGAUCCUUCAGAGAGUCCUCCAUGGAUGCAUCCCACGAAGGCAUGCUUCACAGCCGGCGGAGCCCGGGCGGGUCUCGCACGCUGAGCCGUCUCGACGAGGUCGGUGCAGAUGUCCGGCUCAGGGCCCGGCUCGCCGAUCUUGCAGAUGAAGACGUGGAUUCCGCCGAAGGGGACCCAGUACCCGUACUCAAUUGAACCGGCCUCGGGGCCCCAGCUUGUGUCGUUGAUGUAGAGCUUGCCGCGAUGACUCUUGGUCAUCCGGCCCACAGCGUAUCCCUUGAGCCAUUCGAAGCUGCCCUUCAAGAACUCAAAUCCACCAUGCGCUGGCCCCACGGUGGGCGCCAACUGUGGUGGAAUUGCCACGUCAGAUGCCCUAGCGAAAGGACUUAGUCGUGGAGCCAUCACAGCUAGGAAGCUUGAAGGGGUUAAUCAGGACAAGAGACACAAGAGGUUUAUACUAGUUCGGCCCCUUACGAUGAAGGUAAAAUCCUAUGUCUAGUUGUGAUUGGGAUUAUGUAUGUCUCGAUAACCAGGAAGCAGAAUCGCUUGACCUAGCUCUUGAGUUGUUGUUUCAUGUCUUGAACCGCCGCCGGGUCAUCCCUUUAUAUACUGAGGUUGACGCCCGGCAGCUCUAUAGAGUCCCGGUCGGCUUAUAGUUUGUAUCCGGCUCGGUCUCUUAACAUUUAUGCCUUACAGUACAAGUUACAUGAAUAAGGCGGUUUAACACUACGGGCCUUAAGUCGCCCCUGGGCCUUUGGGCCUUUACUAAACCGCCGUCUUCAACCUUGAGCUUUAGUCUUCAAGAAUGCUUAUAGGUAUAACCCAGCUCCCUCUGGUGGGUCAUACCUAGUAGUUAUAUCCCCAACAAUGUACGUACAUACGGGCAGGGUCUCGAAUGCCUACUCGCGCAUACGUACGGCCAGGGCUCGUGUACAUGGCUGGGUCGGAACGGAGAAACAUCGUCGUCAUCAUGUUCAUGGGGAGCACACGGGCUGGUCGGAACGGAAUGCGUCGUCGUGUUCAUUGGGAGGGCUUGGACGGAACAGCCGAUGGAAAUGAGGCCUGGCGUACCGCACAACGGAGGAAAUGGCCUUGUGUUCGACCGGCCACGGUCGAAACGGGAUCCUGUUCAUUGGGAGGGGUCUGGCGUACCGCAAAAUGGAGGAAACAGACUUCUGUUGGACCUCCUACGGUCGAAACGGGGUCCUGUUGAUCGGGAGGGGUGUGGCGUACCGUAAAACGGAGGAAACGAACUUGUGUUGGAGCGCUACGGUCAAAACAGGGGUCCUGUUCACCAGGAGGGGUGUGGCAUACCGCAAAAUGGGACUCCACGGGAUACUGUUCAUCUCCACCGUCGACCUCCUCCAGCCUCCACGGGUUACUGUUCAUCCACCGUCGACCUCCUCCAGCCUCCACAUGUGACUGUUUAUCCACGGGCUCCUGUUCAUCCAGCCUCCACCGCGCGCUACGCCACCGGCUAUUGUUCAACCAGCCCUCUCCACGGGUUCCUGCUCAACCACCCCUCCACAGGCUACUGUUCAUCCAGCCCUCCACCGGCUACUGUUCAACCAGCCCUCCACGGGGUCGUCAUGUUCAUCCAGCCCUCCACGAGGUCCUGUUCAUCCAGCCCCAAUAGGCUCGAUCGAUCGGGGUCCUGUUCGUCCAGAGGCAACACCACAGGGUCUUGUUCAUCCACCCCCACCGCGAACUGUUCAUCCAAACCCCCCAGCAACGCUCACUGUUCAUCCACCCACCCCCCAACAACGCUCAUUGUUCAUCCAGAGGCAGCAUCAAUCGGCUUCAGUUAGCAGCAGUAGCGGAGGAAUCGCUCGAUCGCUCAGGUUCAGUAACACGUAGCCCGCAGUGCAAUCACUUGGGUUCAGUUAGGCGACGCCUUGCUCGGGUUCAGUUAGAGCCCAAUGCCUCGCACCCACGCGCGUACAUGUACGAGAGAAACGAGCUUCGUUCAGCCCCCGACCACCCACCGUAACCGGGAACUCCCCGAUAUUUUCCUCGCCCUCGCUUCUACCAUGGUUUUUUCCAUCAUGGGCGGCCCAAAGAAUGUCAUGCAGCUGUGUCUCCGGCCUGCCCAGGACGAAAAGCCCAUUUUCUGUCAUGAUUUUUUGUCAUAGAAGUAGGAGCCUACCACAUCUAUGAUGAUACCGGGUUUUGUCACAGUUAUCGUCAUAGAAGUGUCAUAAGUAUGACAGAAUUUUUUUUGUUCGGCCCAAAAUGUUACAGAUGUGUCUUUUUUUAGUGCAUCCUCCUACUUCCCCGUCCCACAUGCCCCGACCGACGGUGUGACACAUUCCGUCGAAAUCACUUCCCUCCUCCACUUAAGCGCCACCCAUAGCUAUUUUGCACGCAGUAUAACAUGGAAAUCAGUAGCAUUUGGCAGUGGAGAAGCAAAUCACGGCCGCACGCAUGCACGAGGUCACUAUGGCUGCUAUGCAUGCCAACCGCCAGAUCUUGGAGGAGCACCUCGUCUUCGAGGCCACCAUCGACACCGCCACGCGGUUGUCUACUAUAAAACAGAUUUCAUGCUAUUUUCUCAAGGCCACCGCCAGUGCCUUCUAGUGAUUUGUCCUCUGUAAUGUUAAUAUGCAAUCUGAUGUUCAGUUAAAAGUUUAGUCCUCUGAAAUGUGAUGUUCAGUUAACAGUUUGGUCCUCUGAAAUGUAAUGUCCAGUUAACAGUUUAGCCCAACAAUUGCUACAUUUCGUAGUACUGUUCUCAAGCAUUCUUUGUUUUGUUAACUAUCUUAUCUUCUAGUACAUGUUUCUAUUCUGCAAUGUCGUGCUCAGUUAACAGUUUUGGUUCAUUUGGUCUGCUGUCCAUUUAACUGUUUGGUUCAAUUCUUCAAUUUGAUUUUCAUUUGUUGUGGGUACAAUUUUGUAUUGUUAUGCAUGUGAAAUAAAUCAAAUUUGGCUGUACUCAAUACAUAUUCUACUGACAGUAUGACAACUCUCAGUUAACCUGAUCAAGAUCUUCCUUAUGUGUGUUGCAGCGGAACAAUGGGAGACACUCUGGUUUACCAUCGAGGUAUGCUCAUGCAUGGUCCUUUUGCUAAUAGCACAUUAUUGUGCAGUUGCAGGAAUCAUUCUAAUAUUUAGGUUUCUUACAAUUUGGUCUUGCACAUGUAGGUCCUGCUGUCAGAGGCUUAGACCCACUGUUCGACCCAGUUUGCAUAUCGGGAAAUGAGAUGUCCAUGAAUAUCAGUCAAGUCAAUAAACUCAGAAAGAUUGUUAGGAUGAAGAAACUUGCGAUGAAUAACAGCAAGAUCUUUGUUUGCACAAUGAAGAAGACAUCAGUCAACUAUAGGAUGGUACUAACUCUUUUACCUUGUUUUUACCCCUUGCGCCAUUUCAAAAUUUAUAACCACGGUCUAUGCAUAUCUUAGUUUUUGGUACUUUUCAAAGCAGUUCACCGAUGAUUACCUCUCAAACCACCUACAUGGUCAAGAGGCGAGGAAGGUAUUCAUUCAACACACAUGGUACAAUAUUAAGUCUUCCUGAAGAGGACGAAGGUUGGGCGGGCAAUUAUCCAUAGCCACUGGCCUAAAGUUGCAAGGACAUUCAACAUCACUGAAGGCUAAAUAUUUGCCUUCCGCUUCUGCAGUUUCCCAGAUGAGAUUCAUCUGUCUAUUUACCAUGUAUGAUGCUACUUCCCAAAGGUUUUCGAUGUUUCAUGUGAAACUUGGUGAUGUUGUGUAAUGGCGUAACUGAGUGCCGAAGCUAUCUGAUGUAAUUCAAUUAUGAAAUCUUGGUUGCCGUCAUACGGAUAUGAAAUAUCUGGUGUGUUUUGUAAGAAAUAUCAAUUUGAUUACUACAUGGAUUAUCAAUAAUAGGCUAAUUACCCUGCUUAUUGGGGUUUUCUAUUGCAGACAGAUACUCAGACAGCACCGUGGGCGAUGAACUCAAACAACCCACACGGAUCCUAGAAAGUAGGCGUGUUCGAUCAAUUAACAAUCACACACGGCUUCCAGCAGAGAACUAUUUGCGUUAGGCCACCUUGCACAAACGUUUCCACGCCAAAAACUAUGUGUGCUAAACAUACGAAUGGAAAUGGUUUUCUAGGAUUCGGCGUGUGGGAUGUACAUACGAAUGGAAACGAUUGGGUUUCAAUGCCUCGCCAGAUCACACACGAGCUCAUUUUUGUGCCAGGAGGGCAUAUCCCCGACGGUUUCUGGGUCGUGUGGGAAGGACCCCCUAUCGCCCACACUCACUUGGCGAUGGUUCUAAGAGCCGUCGCGGAAAGGGGUUAAAAAUCGUUUGUAUAGCAGGUCUCUGCACCAGUGAACCAUAGAAAACUGUUUUCAUGGCUAUGUUUUGAUUGUGUAGGUGACAAAAGAUGAGGGGAAAAAGAAUGUCCAAGAUAUUGCUAGUGCAGAUGCUAAGAGGGAUAUGUUCAUGCAGAUAAUACAAAUGACUUUUAUGUCUCAUGAUGUUGCGUUUGAUUUCUACAACAGCUAUGCUAGAGAAAAUGGUUUCAACAUUAGAAAAGGCAAGGUCAGUUAUAGCAAAACCGAGUUACAUCAUAUGCGUUAUAGGUGGUUUUUUUGUUCCAGAGAAGGGAAACGUGACAGCAAGUUGCUAUCCGAGGAAGGAAACAGCCGUAGGCUCAAAACCGAGACACGCUGCAACUGCGAAGCACACCUGACCAUCAAGCUUGACCAAAAGCGUGGGGUUUGGUAUGUUGAAAGUUUUGAAGAAAAGCAUAGCCAUAUGAUGGCAAGACCGGAUGAGGUACCUUUUCUUUGGUCCCAUAGAAAAAUCAAAGAGUACCAGAAAGCUGAGAUAUUGUCCAUGGGAGCUGCAGGGAUUAGAAUUCACGACAUUAUGGAUUCCUUCCUCGGCAAACAUUUAUGGUAUGGCAGUGUUGGUUUUACCAGGCGUAAUAUAUACAACCUUUGCUCCUGGGAGAAGAGGAAGCUGAUUUCGAAAGGUGAUGCUGCCACAGCCAUAGGCAUCAUGGCCAGUAGGAAAGUGAGGGAUCCUAGCAUCUUUUUCGAGUACAAGCUGUUGGGGAACGUAGUAAUUUCAAAAAAAAUCCUACGCAAACGCAAGAUCAUGGUGAUGCAUAGCAACGAGAGGGGAGAGUGUCGUCUAUGUACCCUCGUAGACCGUAAGCGGAAGCAUUAUGACAACGCGGUUGAUGUAGUCGUACGUCUUCACGAUCGACCGAUCCUAGUACCGAAUGUAUGACACCUCCGCGAUCUGCACACGUUCAACUCGGUGACGUCCCACGAACUCACGAUCUAGUAGAGCAUCGAGGGAGAGUUCCGUCAGCACGACGGCGUGAUGACGGUCUUGAUGAAGCUACCGAUGCAGGGCUUCGCCUAAGCACCGCUAAGAUAUGAUCGAGGUGGAUUAUGGUGGAGGGGGGCACCGCACACGGCUAAAGAUCAAUGAUCAACUUGUGUGUCUAUGGGGUGCCCCCCUCCCCCGUAUAUAAAGGAGUGGAGGAGGGGGAGGGUCGGCCCUCUACUAUGGCGCGCCCUGGGGAGUCCUACUCCCAUCGGGAGUACGAUUCCCCCUUCCAAGUAGUAGGAGUAGGAGAGAAGGAAAGGGAAGAGAGAAGAGAAGGAAGGAGGGGACGGCGCCCGGGAGAUCCUAUGGGGCUCUCUUUGCGUCAAAAAGUUGACACUUCGCACAGGGGUGGCUCGCCUGGGCCGGCCCAUUUGACGUUAGCGUGCUGGAAAAUGGAAAAGCGACAAAAACUAAGAGCGUUGCCGCCGCGAUUCGAACCACCGACUUCCUAGUUUUCUACGUGUUGUGCGAGCUGCUGCGAUACAAUAGCUCUUGUGCUAGAAAGACAGCGCAACACAUGAAGAAACGACCAACAGUGGCCAAAAUUUGAACAUUCGCCCACUACUACUGAUCAUGGUCGCUAGCCACUGUAACUCUAGCGUAUCUACGUCUAAAAUGGCAGCCCCUUCAGUACGAACUAUAAGCAGCAGAUUUACCCUAAAAAAAGCAGCAGCAGAUUUAACUUUAUUGAAAUUUUGAACAUGAAUUUCCUUUUUUUAAGGAAAAUAUAUUUUUAAAGUCAAAUUUUCAAAAUUGCGAACAAAAUUUAAAAAAUCAAACAUUUUAUGAACAAGCAGAAUUUUUCGGAAUCUCAACAGAAAUGAAAAAGGAAAAAAAUAGAAAAACAGUACAUUCUUUGAAAUUACGAACAAUUUUAAAAAAGAUGCAAACAUUUUCUAUAAAACAUGAACAUUUUUUGAAAUUGUGAACAAAUUUUCCAAAAUACGACCUUUUUUGGAAUUUGUGAACAAAAUUUGAGAACAUGAAUAUUUUUUACAAAUUUGGAAAGCUGGAACAUUUCUUUGAAUUUGCGACAAAUGUUCAUGUUUCCUUGUGCACAAAAUUUGAAAGUAGGUACACUUUAAAAAAUUGUUAGGCAAUAUGUACAUUUUUUUAACUUUUUGAACAAAUUUUUUAAAUGGGUUCCACACAUUUUCAAAACAAGAAUUUUUUUAAAUUGUUGAGAAAAAUUUGAAAGCGGGAACAUUUGUUGAAAUUCCCGAACAUUUUUUGAAUUUGCACAUUGUAUUUUCAAAACAUGAACAUUUCUAAAAUUGUGAUUAUUUUUGGAAAGUAGGAACAUUUAUUGAAAUUCCUGAACACUUUUUGAAUUUAUAAAUAUAUAUUCAAAAACAUGAACAUUUUUUAAAUUUGUGAACAAAUUUUGCAACUAGGAACAUUUUCUGAUUUUUUUUAAACGUGAAACUUUUAAAUUUUCAAAUUCUAUAUAGAAAUUUUUGGAACAUUUUUUAUAAGAAGCGAACAAAUAUUUGAAAUCCUAAUUCUUCUGGAAUUUUGUAAAAAUAUUGCAAAAUAGGAACAUUUUAAAAAUAUAUACAAAAUCUAAAAAAGGAAACAUUUUUAAAUUUCUGAAAAUAGGUUGAAAAAAGAAAAAUAAACUUGAAAAUGAAAAUAAAAUAAAAAAGGAGCUAAAAGAAAAGAAAAAGUGAAAAAUGAAUGAAAAUAGCAAAGGGAAAGGAAAAUAAAAAGGAAAAACUAAAAAUAAUGGAAAAGAAAAGGAAACAGAAGAAAAACGAAACAGAAACAGAAAAAAUCUGGUUCAGGAACCUUCUAGAAGGUUCCCAAAACCGGGAAAACCGACUGGAAAUUUCUAGAAGGUUCCUAAAACCAGGAUCGAUACAACGCACGCUUGUCUUUUAAAUGGGCUGGCCCGCCUCGGUCGAGACCUGUGCGGCGUCCCGACACUUUGCCGCAGCGGGCGUCCAAUAGGGUUUUCCGCGCCGCCCCUCCCCCUAGUCCAAUUCGGACUAGGCCUUGGGGGCGGGGGGGGGGGGCGGCCUGCCCUCUCUCUCCCUUAAAGCCCAAUGAGGCCCAUAUACUCCCCGGCGAAUUUCCGUAACUCUCUCGUACUCCGAUAAAUACCCGAACCACUCAGAACCUUUCCAAUGUCUGAAUAUAGCCUUCCAAUAUAUCGAUAUUUACGUCUCAAACAUUUCAAGACUCGUCGUCAUGUCCAUGAUCUCAUCCGGGACUCCGAACUACCUUUGGUGCAUCAAAUCACAUAACUCGUAAUACAAAUCAUCAUCGGACGUUAAGCGUGCGGACCCUACGGGUUCGAGAACUAUGUAGACAUGACCGAGACUCAUCUCCGGUCAAUAACCAAUAGCGGAACCUGGAUGCUCAUAUUGGCUCCCAUGUAUUCUACGAAGAUCUUUAUCGGUCAAACCGCAUAACAACAUACAUUGUUCCCUUUGUCAUCGGUAUGUUACUUGCCUAAGAUUCGAUCGUCGGUAUCUCAAUACCUAGUUCAAUCUCGUUACCGGCAAGUCUCUUUACUCGUUCCGUAAUGCAUCAUCUCGCAACUACCUCAUUAGUCACAUUGCUUGCAAGGCUUAUAGUGAUGUGCAUUAACGAGAGGGCCUAGAGAUACCUCUUCGACAUUCGGACUGACAAAUCCUAAUCUCGAUCUAUGCCAACUCAACAAACACCAUCGGAGACACCUUUAGAGCACCUUUAUAAUCACCCAGUUACGUUGUGACGUUUGGUAGCACACAAAGUGUUCCCCCGGUAUUCGAGAGUUGCAUAAUAUCAUAGUCCGAGGAACAUGUAUAAGUCAUGAAGAAAGCAAUAGCAACAUACUAAACGAUCAAGUGCUAAGCUAACGGAAUGGGUCAAGUCAAUCACAUCAUUCUCUAAUGAUGUGAUCCCGUUAAUCAAAUGACAACUCAUGUCUAUGGCUAGGAAACUUAACCAUCUUUGAUUCAACUAGCUAGUCGAGUAGAGGCAUACUAGUGACAUUAUGUUUGUCUAUGUAUUCACACAUGUACUAAGUUUCCGAUUAAUACAAUUCUAGCAUGAAUAAUAAACAUUUAUCAUGAUAUAAUGAAAUAUAAAUAACAACUUUAUUAUUGCCUCUAGGGCAUAUUUCCUUCAGUCUCCCACUUGCACUAGAGUCAAUAAUCUAGUUCACAUCACCAUGUGAUUUAACACCAAUAUUCACAUCUGUAUGUGAUUAACACCCAUAGUUCACAUCGUCAUGUGACCAACACCCGAAGGGUUUACUAAAGUCAAUAAUCUAGUUCACAUCUCUAUGUGAUUAACACCCAAAGAUUACUAAGGUAUGAUCAUGUUUUGCUCGUGAGAGAAGAUUAGUCAACGGGUCUGUCACAUUCAGAGCCUUAUGUAUUUUGCAAAUAUUCUAUGUCUACAAUGCUCUGCACGGAGCUACUCUAGCUAAUUGCUCCCAAUUUCAAUAUGUAUCCAGGUUGAGACUUAGAGUCAUCUGGAUCGGUGUAAAAGCUUGCUCUGAUGUAACUCUUUACAACGAACUCUUUUAUCACCUCCAUAAUCGAGAAACAUUUCCUUAGUCCUUACUAAGGAUAUUCUGGACCGCCGUCCAGUGAUCUACUCCUAGAUCAAAAUUGUACUCCCUUGCCAAACUCAGAGCAAGGUAUACAAUAGGUCCGGUACACAGCAUGGCAUACUUUAUAGAACCUAUGACUGAGGCAUAGGGAAUGACUUUUCAUUCUAUUUCUAUUUUUUGCCAUGGUCAGGUUUUGAGUCUUACUCAACUUCACACCUCGCAACACAGGCAAGAACUCCUUCUUUGACUGUUCCAUUUUGAACCACUUCAAAAUCUUAUCAAGGUAUGUACUCAUAGAAAAAUCUUAUCAAGCGUCUUGAUCUAUCUCUAUAGGUCUUAAUGCUCAAUGUGUAAGCAGCUUCAUCGAGGUCUUUCUUUGAAAAACUCCUUUCAAACACUCCUUUAUGCCUUCCAAAAAAUUCUACAUUAUUUCUGAUCAACAACAUGUCAUUCACAUAUACUUAUCAGAAAGGCUAUAGUGCUCCCACUCAUUUUCCUGUAAAUACAGGAUUCACCGCAAGUCUGUAUAAAACUAUAUGCUUUGAUCAACUCAUCAAAGCGUAUAUUCCAACUCCGAGAUGCUUGCACCAGUCCAUAGAUGGAUCACUGGAGCUUGCACACUUUGUUAGCACCUUUAGGAUUGACAAAACCUUCUGGUUGCAUCAUAUACAACUCUUCUUUAAUAAAUCCAUUAAGGAAUGCAAUUUUGACUUCCAUUUGCCAUAUUUCAUAAAAUGUGGCAAUUGCUAACAUGCUUCGGAGGGAUUUAAGCUUCACUACAGUUGAGAAAAUCUCAUUGUAGUCAACACCUUGAACUUGUUGAAAAACCUUUUAUGACAAGUUGAGCUUUGUAGAUAGUAACACUACUAUCAACGUCCGUCUUCCUCUUGAAGAUCCAUUUAUAUUCUAUGGCUUGCCGAUCAUCGGGCAAGUUCACCAAAGUCCACACUUUUUUCUUAUACAUGGAUCCCAUCUCAGAUUUCAUGGCUCCAAACCAUUUCGCGGAAUCUGGGCUCAUCAUCGCUUCCUCAUAGUUCAUAGGUUCAUCAUGGUCUAGUAACAUGACUUCCAGAACAGGAUUACCGUACCACUCUAGUGCGGACCGUACUCUAGAAGACCUACGAGGUUCUGUAGUAACUUAAUCUGAAGUUUCAUGAUCAUCAUCAUUAGCUUCCUCACUAAUUGGUGUAGGAAUCACUGGAACUGAUUUCUAUGAUGAACUACUUUCCAAUUCAGGAGAUGGUACAAUUACCUUAUCAAGCUCUACUUUCCUCCCACUCACUUCUUUUGAGAGAAACUCCAUCUCUAGAAAGGAUCCAUCUUAGCAACGAAUAUCUUGCCUUCGGAUCUGUGAUAGAAGGUGUACCCAACAGUUUCCUUUGGGUAUUCUAUGAGGAUGCACUUCUCUGAUUUGGGUUCGAGCUUAUCAGGUUGAAUUUUUUUCACAUAAGCAUUGCAGCCCCAAACUUUAAGAAACGACAACUUUGGUUUCUUGCCAAACCAAGGCGUCGUCUCAACGGAUUUUGAUGGUGCCCUAUUUAAAGUGAAUGUAGAUGUCCCUAAUGCAUAACCCAAAAAUGAUAGUGGUAAAUCUGUAAGAUACAUCAUAGAUCGCACCAUAUCCAAUAAAGUGUGGUUAUGACAUUCGGACACACCAUUACGCUGUGGUGUUCCAUGUGUCGUGAGCUGUGAAACUAUUCCACAUUGUUUUUAAAUGAAGGCCAAACUUGUAACUCAAAUAUUCUCCUCUACGAUCAGAUUGUAGAAACUUUAUUUUCUUGUUACGAUGAUUCUCCACUUCACUCUGAAAUUCUUUGAACUUUUCAAAUGUUUCAGACUUGUGCUUCAUUAAGUAGAUAUACUCAUAUCUCCUCAAAUCAUCUGUGAAGGUCAGAAAAUAACGAUACCCGCCAUGAGCAUCAACACUCAUUGGACCGCAUACAUCGGUAUGUAUUAUUUCUAACAAGUCAGUAGCUCGUUCCAUUGUUCUGGAGAACGGUGUUUUAGUCAUCUUGCCCAAAAGGCACGAUGCUCAAGCAUCAAAUGAUUCAUAACCAAGUGAUUCCAAAAGUCCAUAUUUAUGAAGUUUCUUCAUGCGCUUUACACCGAUAUGACCCAAAUGGCAGUGCCACAAAUAAGUUGCACUAUCAAUACCAACUUUGCAUCUUUUGGUAUCAAUAUUAUGAAUAUGUGUAUCACUACAAUCGAGAUCCGACAAACUAUUUUCAUUGGUGUAUGACCAUCGAAGGUUUUAUUCAUGUAAACAGAACAACAAUUAUUCUCUCACUUUAAAUGAAUAACCAUAUUGCAAUAAACAUGAUCAAAUCAUAUUCAUGCUCAACGCAAACUCCAAAUAACAUUUAUUUAGGUUUAACACUAAUCCCGAAAGUAUAGGGAGUGUUCGAUGAUGAUCAUAUCAAUCUUGGAACCACUUCCAACACACAUCGUCACUUCACCCUCAACUUGUCUCUGUUUAUUCUGUAACUCCUGUUUCGAGUUACUAUUUUUUUAGCAACCGAACAAGUAUCAAAUACCCAGGGGCUACUAUAAACACUAGUAAGGUACACAUCAAUAACUUGUAUAUCAAAUAUACCCUUGUUCACUUUGCCAUCCUUCUUAUCCACCAAAUAUUCAGGGCAUUUCCGCUUCCAAUGACCAUUUCCUUUGCAGUAGAAGCACUCAGUUUUAGGCUUUAGUCUAGCUUUGGGCUUCUUCACGGAAGUGACAACUUGCUUGCCAUUCUACAUGAUGUUCCCUUUCUUUCCCUUUGCCCUUUUCUUGAAACUAGUGGUCUUGUUAAUCAUCAACACAUGAUGCUCUUUCUUGAUUUCUACCUUCAUCGAUUUCAUCAUCAUGAAAAACUCGGGAAUCAUUUUUGUCAUCCCUUGCAUAAUAUAGUUCAUCACGAAGUUCUACUAACUUGGUAGUGGUGACUAGAGAACUCUGUCAAUCACUAUCUUAUCUGGAAGAUUAACUCCCACUUGAUUCAAGUGAUUGUAGUACCCAGACAAUCUGAGCACAUGCUCACUGCUUGAGCUAUUCUCCUCCAUCUUUUAGCUAUAGAACUUGUUGGAGACUUCAUAUCUCUCAACUCGGGUAUUUGCUUGAAAUAUUAACUUCAACUCCUGGAACAUCUCCUAUGGUCCAUGACAUUCAAAACGUCUUUGAAGUCCCGAUUCUAAGCCGUUAAGCAUGGUGCACUAAACUAUCAAGUAGUCAUUAUAUUGAGCUAGCCAAACAUUCAUAAUGUCUGCAUCUGCUCCUGCAAUAGGUCUAUCACCUAGCGGUGCAUCAAGGGCAUAAUUCUUCUGUGCAGCAAUGAGGAUAAACCUCAGAUCGCGGACACAGUCUGCAUCAUUGCUACUAUCAUCUUUCAACUUAGUUUUCUCUAGGAACACAUAUAAAAACAUAGGGAAGCAACAAGGCGAGCUAUUGAUCUACAACAUUAUUUGCAAAAUACUAUCAGGACUAAGUUCAUGAUAAAUUAAAGUUCAAUUAAUCAUAUUACUUAAGAACUCCCACUUAGAUAGGCAUCCCUCUAAUCAUCUAAGUGAUCACGUGAUCCAAAUCAACUAAAUCAUGUCCGAUCAUCAUGUGAAAUGGAGUAGUUUUCAAUGGUGAACAUCACUAUGUUGAUCAUAUCUACUAUAUGAUUCACGCUCGACCUUUCGGUCUCAGUGUUCUGAGGCCAUAUCUGCAUAUGCUAGGCUCGUCAAGUUUAACCCGAGUAUUUCUGCGUGUGCAAAACUGGCUUGCACCCGUUGUAUGUGAACGUAGAGCUUAUCACACCGGAUCAUCAUGUGGUGUCUCAGCAUGACGAACUUUGGCAACGGUGCAUACUCAGGGAGAACACUUGUACCUUGACAUUUAGUGAGAGAUCAUCUUAUAAAGCUACCGCCGAACUAAGCAAAAUAAGAUGUAUAAAAGAUAAACAUCAUAUGCAAUCAAAAUAUGUGACAUGAUAUGGCCAUCAUCAUCUUGUGCCUUUGAUCUCCAUCUGCAAACUACCGUUAUGAUCUCCAUUGUCACUGGCAUGACACCAUGAUCUCCAUCAUCUUGAUCUUUAUAAAUGUGUCAUCAUAUGGUCGUCUUGCCAACCAUUUCGUUUGCAACUAUUGCUAUCGCAUAGCGAUAAAGUAAAGCAAUCAUAUGGCACUUGCAUCUUAUGCAAUAAAGAGACAACCAUAAGGCUCCUGCCAGUUGCCGAUAACUUGAACAAAACAUGAUCAUCUCAUACAACAAUUUAUAUUUCAUCACGUCUUGACCAUAUCACAUCACAACAUGCCCUGCAAAAACAAGUUAGACAUCCUCUACUUUGUUGUUGCAAGUUUUACGUGGCUGCUACGGGCUGAGCAAGAACCGUUCUUACCUACGCAUCAACACCACAACAAUAUUUUGUCAAGUUAGUGUUGUUUUAACAUUCAACAAGGACCGGGCGUAGCCACACUCAAUUCAACUAAAGUUGGAGAAACUGACACCCGCCAGCCACCUGUGUGCGAAGCACAUCGGUAGAACCAGUCUUGCGUAAGCGUACGCGUAAUGUCGGUCCGGACCACUUCAUCCAACAAUACCACCGAAUCAAAGUAUGACAUGCUUGUAAGCAGUAUGACUAUUAUCACCCACAACUCACUUGUGUUCUACUCAUGCAUAUAACAUCUACGCAUAAACCUGGCUUGGAUGCCACUGCUGGGGAACGUAGUAAUUUCAAAAAAAAUCCUACACACACGCAAGAUCAUGAUGAUGCAUAGCAACAAGAGGGGAGAGUGUCGUCCAUGUACCCUGGUAGACCGUAAGCGGAAGCGUUAUGACAACGCGGUUGAUGUAGUCGUACGUCUUCACGAUCGACCGAUCCUAGUACCUCCACGAUCUGCACACGUUCAGCUCGGUGAUGUCCCAUGAACUCAUGAUCUAGUAGAGCUUCCAGGGAGAGUUCCAUCAGCACGACAGCGUGAUGACGGUGUUGAUGAAGCUACCGACUCAGGGCUUCGCCUAAGCACCGCUAUGAUAUGACCGAGGUGGAUUAUGGUGGAGGGGGGCACCGCACAUGGCUAAAGAUCAAUGAUCAACUUGUGUGUCUAUGGGGUGCCCCCCUACCUCGUAUAUAAAGGAGUGGAGGAGCGGGAGGGCCGGCCCUCUACUAUGGCGCGCCCUGGGGAGUCCUACUCCCACCGGGAGUAGGAUUCUUCCCUUCCAAGUAGUAGGAGUAGGAGAGCAGGAAAGGGAAGAGAGAAGAGAAGGAAGGAGGGGGCGCCGCCCCUCCCCCUAGUCCAAUUCGGACUAGGCCUUGGGGGGCCUACCCUCUCUCUCUCCCUUAAAGCCCAAUAAGGCCCAUAUACUCCCCGGCGAAUUCCUGUAACUCUCCGGUACUCCGAUAAAUAGCCGAACCACUCAGAACCUUUCCGAUGUCCGAAUAUAGCCUUCCAAUAUAUCGAUCUUUACUUCUCGAACAUUUCGAGACUCCUUGUCAUGUCCAUGAUCUCAUCUGGGACUCCGAACUACCUUUGGUACAUCAAAUCACAUAACUCAUAAUACAAAUCGUCAUCGAACGUUAAGCGUGCGGACCCUACGGGUUCGAGAACUAUGUAGACAUGACCAAGACUCAUCUCCGAUCAAUAACCAAUAGCAGAACCUGGAUGCUCAUAUUGGCUCCCAUAUAUUCUACGAAGAUCUUUAUCGGUCAAACCGCAUAACAACAUACAUUGUUCCCUCUGUCAUCGAUAUGUUACUUGCCCGAGAUUUGAUCGUUGGUAUCUCAAUACCUAGUUCAAUCUCGUUACCGGCAAGUCUCUUUACUCGUUCCGUAAUGCAUCCUCUCGCAACUAACUCAUUACUCACAUUGCUUGCCAGGCUUAUAGUGAUGUGCAUUACCGAGAAGGCCCAGAGAUACCUCUCUGACAUUCGGAGUGACAAAUCCUAAUCUCGAUCUAUGCCAACUCAACAAACACCACCGGAGACACCUGUAGAGCACCUUUAUAAUCACCCAGUUACGUUGUGACGUUUGGUAGCACACAAAGUGUUCCUCCGGUAUUCGGGAGUUGCAUAAUCUCAUAGUUUGAGGAACAUGUAUAAGUCAUGAAGAAAGCAAUAGCAACAUACUAAAUGAUCUAGUGCUAAGCUAAUGGAAUGGGUCAAGUCAAUCACAUUAUUCUCUAAUGAUGUGAUCCCGUUAAUCAAAUGACAACUCAUGUCUAUGGCUAGGAAACUUAACCAUCUUUGAUUCAACGAGCUAGUCAAGUAGAGGCAUACUAGUGACAUUAUGUUUGUCUAUGUAUUCACACAUGUACUAAGUUUCCGAUUAAUACAAUUCUAGCCUGAAUAAUAAACAUUUAUCAUGAUAUAAGGAAAGAUAAAUAGCAACUUUAUUAUUGCCUCUAGGGCAUAUUUCCUUCACAAGCUAGAUAAGGAAGGACAUAUUAAUAGAAUGUUCUAGUGUGACUCCCAGUCUCGUCAUGACUAUGAGGAUUUCGGCGACGUGCUUGUAUUUGAGAGCACGUACAAGAUGAACCGCUAUGGUAUGCCAUUCAUACCUUUUGUUUGUAUUAAAAAUCACCGGAAGACCACUGUUUUUGGUUGUGCCAUAGUUUCAGACAAGACCGGACAGACAUAUGUGUGGCUGCUGCAGACUUUUUUGUGGUCCAUGUGUCAAAAGCUGUCGAAGUGUGUAAUCACGGGCGCCGACAUUGCGAUGAUCAUGUUGGGGAAUGCCGUAAUAUCAAAAAAAAUCCUACGAUCACGCAAGAUCUAUCUAGGUGAUGCAUAGCAACAGGAGGGGAGAGUGUGUCCAUGUACCCUCGUAGACCGAAAGCGAAAGCGUUUAGUUAAUGUGGUUGAUGUAGUCGAACGUAUUUGCGAUCCAACCAAUCCAAGCACCGAACAUACGGCACCUCCGUGUUCAGCACACGUUUAGCUCGGGGACGUCCCUCGUACUCUUGAUCCAAUUGAGGCUGAGGGAGAGUUUCAUCAGCACGACGUCGUGGUGACGGUGAUGAUGAAGUUACCGGCGCAGGGCUUCGCCUAAGCACUACGACGAUAUGACCGAGGUGUGUAACUGUGGAGGGGGGCACCGCACACGGCUAAACAAUGUCAACUUGUGUGUCUAUGGGGUGCCCCCCUCCCCCAUAUAUAAAGGAGUGGAGGAGGGGGAGGGCCGGCCCUCUAUGGCGCACCCUGGAGGAGUCCUACUCCCACUGGGAGUAGGAUUCCCCCCUUUCCCUAGUUGGACUAGGAAAGGAAGGAAGGGGGAGGAAGGAGGAAGGAAGGGGGGGCCGGCCCCCCCACCCAAUUCGGAUUAGGCUUGGGGGGGCGCCCCCUCCUAGGCUCCCUUCUCCUCUCUCCCACUAUGGCCCACUAUGGCCCAUAUACUUCCCGGGGGGUUCCGAUAACCUCCUGGUACUCCAGUAUAUGCCCGAACUCACCCGAAACCAUUCUGAUGUCCAAACAUAGGCUCCAAUAUAUCGAUCGUUAUGUCUCGACCAUUUCGAGACUCCUCGUCAUGUCCGUGAUCACAUCCGGGACUCCGAACUACCUUCAGUACAUCAAAACACAUAAACUCAUAAUACCAAUCGUCAUCGAACGUUAAGCGUGCGGACCCUACGAUUUCGAGAACUAUGUAGACAUGACCGAGACAAGUCUCCGGUCAAUAACCAAUAGCGGAACCUGGAUGCUCAUAUUGGUUCCUACAUAUUCUACGAAGAUCUUUAUCGGUCAAACCGCAUAACAACAUACAUUGUUCCCUUUGUCAUCGGUAUGUUACUUGCCCGAGAUUCGAUCAUCGGUAUCUCAAUACCUAGUUCAAUCUCGUUACUGGCAAGUUUCUUUACUCGUUCCAUAAUACUUCAUCCUGCAACUAACUCAUUAGUUACAAUGCUUGCAAGGCUUAUGAUGAGUAUUACCGAGAGGGCCCAGAGAUACCUCUCCGAAACACAGAGUGACAAAUCCUAAUCUCGAUCUAUGCAAACCCAACAAACACCUCCGGAGACACCUGUAGAGCACCUUUAUAAUCACCCUUUUAUGUUGUGACGUUUGGUAGCACACAAAGUGUUCCUCCGUCAUUCAGGAGUUGCAUAAUCUCAUAGUCCGAGGAACUUGUAUAAGUCAUGAAGAAAGCAGUAGCAAUGAAACUAACAUGAUCAUAAUGCUAAGCUAACGGAUGGGUCAUGUCCAUCACAUCAUUCUCCUAAUGAUGUGAUCCCAUUCAUCAAAUGACAACACAUGUCUAUGGUUAGGAAUCAUAACCAUCUUUGAUUAACAAGCUAGUCUAGUAGAGGCAUACUAGGGACUAUAUGUUUUUUCUAUGUAUUCACACAUGUACAAAGUUUCCGGUUCGUACAAUUCUAGCAUGAAUAAUAAACAUUUAUCAUGAAUUGAGGAAAUAAAUAGUAACUUUAUUUUUGCCUCUAGGGCAUAUUUCCUUCAGUCUCCCACUUGCACUAGAGUCAAUAAUCUAGAUUACAUAGUAAUGAUUCUAACACCCAUGGAGCUUUGGUGCUGAUCAUGUUUUGCUCGUGAGAGAGGCUUAGUCAACAGGUAUGCAACAUUCAGAUCCGUGUGUAUCUUGCAAAUCUCUAUGUCCCCUUCUGACACUUGAUGACGGAUGGAAUUGAAGCGUCUCUUGAUGUGCUUGGUUCUCUUGUGAAAUCUGGAUUCCUUUGCCAAGGCAAUUGCACCAAUACUGUCACAAAAGAUUUUCAUUGGACCCGAUGCACUAGGUAUGACACCUAGAUCGGAUAUGAACUCCUUCAUCCAAACUCCUUCAUUCGCUGCUUCUGAAGCAGCAAUGUACUCCGCUUCACACGUAGAUCCCUCCACGAUGAUCUGCUUCGAACUGCACCAACUAACAGCUCCUCCAUUCAAUAAAAAUAUGUAUCUGGUUUGCAACUUAGAGUCAUCUGGAUCAGUGUCAAAGCUUGCAUCGACGUAACCGUUUACGACGAGCUCUUUUUCACCUCCAUAAACAAGAAAUAUAUCCUUAGUCCUUUUGAGGUAUUUCAGGAUGUUCUUGACCGUUGUCUAGUGCUCCACUCCGGGAUUACUUUGGUACCUCCCUGAUAUGCUUAUAGCAAGACAUACAUCAGGUCUAGUACACAACAUUGCAUACAUGAUAGAACCUAUGGCUGAAGCAUAGGGAAUGACUUUCACAUUCUCUCUAUCUCUUGCGGUGGUUGGGCCUUGAGUCUAACUCAAUUUCACACCUUGUAACACAAGCAAGAACCCUUUCUUUGAUUGAUCCCUUUUGAUCUUAUUCAAAACUUUAUCAAUGUAUGUGCUUUGUGAAAGUUCAAUUAAGCGUCUUGAUCUAUCUCUAUAGAUCUUGAUGCCCAAUAUGUAAGCAGCUUCUCCAAGGUCUUUCAUAGAAAAACUAUUAUUCAAGUAUCCCUUUAUGCUAUCUAGAAAUUCUAUAUCAUUUCCAAUCAACAAUAUGUCAUCUACAUAUAAGAUUAUAAAUGCUACAGAGCUCCCACUCACUUUCUUGUAAAUACAAGCUUCUCCAAAAGUCUGUAUAAAACCAUAUGAUUUGAUCACACUAUCAAAACGUUUAUUCCAACUCCGAGAGGCUUGCAUCAGUCCAUAAAUGGAUCGCUGGAGCUUGCACACUUUGUUAGCACCCUUUGGAUCGACAAAACCUUCCGGUUGCAUCAUAUACAACUCUUCUUCCAGAAAUCCAUUCAGGAAUGUUGUUUUGACAUCCAUUUGCCAAAUUUCAUAAUCAUAAAAUGCAGCAAUUGCUAACAUGAUUCAGAAAGACUUAGGCAUCGCUACGGGUGAGAAAGUCUCAUUGUAGUCAACUCCUUGAACUUGUCGAAAACCUUUCGCAACAAGUCGAGCUUUGUAAACAGUAACAUUACCGUCUGCGUCGGUCUUCUUCUUAAAGAUCCAUUUAUUUUCUAUGUCUUGCCGAUCAUUGGGCAAGUCCACCAAAGUCCACACUUUGUUCUCAUACAUGGAUCCCAUCUCAAAUUUCAUGGCCUCAAGCCAUUUCGCGGAAUCUGGGAUCAUCAUCGCUUCCUCAUAGUGCGUAGGUUCAUCAUGGUCUAGUAACAUGACUUCUAGAACAGGAUUACCAUACCACUCUGGUGUGGAUCUUACUCUGGAAGACCUACGAGGUUCGGUAGUAACUUGAUCUGAAGCUUCAUGAUCAUCAUCAUUAGCUUCCUCACUAAUUGGUGUAGGAAUCACUGGAACUGAUUUUUGUGAUGAACUACUUCCCAAUAAGGGAGAAGGUACAGUUACCUCAUCAAGUUCUACUUUCCUCCCACUCACUUCUUUCGAGAGAAACUCCUUCCCUAGAAAGGAUCUAUUCUUAGCAACAAAGAUUUUGCCUUCAGAUCUGUGAUAGAAGGUGUACCCAACAGUUUCCUUUGGGUAUCCUAUGAAGGCGCACUUCUCCAAUUUGGGUUCGAGCUUAUCAAGUUGAAGUUUUUUCACAUAAGCAUCACAUCCCCAAACUUUAAGAAACGACAACUUUGGUUUCUUGCCAAACCACAGUUCAUAAGGCGUCAUCUCAACGGAUUUUGAUGGUUCCCUAUUUAAAGUGAAUGCAGCCGUCUCUAGAGCAAAACCCCAAAACGAUAGCGGUAAAUCAAUAAGAGACAUCAUAGAUCGCACCAUAUCUUAUAAAGUACGGUUAUGACGUUCGGACACACCAUUUCGCUGUGGUGUUCCAGGUGGUGUUAAUUGUGAAACUAUCCCAUGUUGUUUCAAAUGAAGACCAAAUUGGUAACUCAAAUAUUCUCCUCCACGAUCAGAUUGUAGAAACUUUAUUUUCUUGUUAUGAUGAUUUUCCACUUCAAUAUGAAAUUCUUUGAACUUUUCAAAUGUUUCGGACUUAUGCUUCAUUAAGUAGAUAUAACCAUAUCUGCUCAAAUCAUCUGUGAAGGUAAGAAAAUAACGAUACCCACCACGAGCAUAAACACUCAUUGGACCACAUACAUUGGUAUGUAUUAUUUCCAAUAAGUCAAUAGCUCGUUCCAUUGUUCCGGAGAACGGAGUUUUAGUCAUCUUGCCCAUAAGGCACGGUUCGCAAGCACCAAGUGAUUCAUAAUCAAGUGAUUCCAAAAGUCCAUCAGUAUGGAGUUUCUUCAUGCGCUUUACACCGAUAUGACCCAAACAACAGUGCCACAAAUAAGUUGCACUAUCAUUAUUAAACUUCAAUCUUUUGGCUUCAACACUAUGAAUAUGUGUAUCACUACUAUCGAGAUUCAAUAAAAGUAGACCACUCAGCAAGGGUGCGUGACCAUAAAAGAUACUACUCAUAUAAAUAGAACAACCAUUAUUCUCUGAUUUAAAUGAAUAACCGUCUCGCAUCAAACAAGAUCCAGAUAUAAUGUUCAUGCUCAACACUGGCACCAAAUAACAAUUAUUCACCUCUAAAACUAAUCCUGAAGGUAGAUGUAGAGGUAGCAUGCCGACCGCGAUCACAUCGAAUUUGGAACCAUUUCCCAUGUGCAUCGUCACCUCGUCCUUAGCCAAUCUUCGCUUAAUCCGUAGCCCCUGUUUCAAGUUGCAAAUAUGAGCAACAGAACCAAUAUCAAAUACCCAGGCGCUACUGCGAGCAUUAGUUAAGUACACAUCAAUAACAUGUAUAUCAAAUAUACCUUUCACUUUGCCAUCCUUUCUAUCCGCCAAAUACUUGGGGCAGUUCCACUUCCAGUGACCAGUCCCUUUGAAGUAGAAGCACUCAGUUUCAGGCUUAGGUCCAGACUUGGGUUUCUUCUCUUGAGCAGCAACCUUUUUGCCAUUCUUCUUGAAGUUCCCUUUCUUCCCUUUGCCCUUUUUCUUGAAACUAGUGGUCUUAUUGACCAUCAACACUUGAUGCUCCUUUUUUAUUUCUACCGCAGCUUUUAGCAUUGCGAAGAGCUCGGGAAUCGUCUUGUUCAUCCCUUGCAUAUUAUAGUUCAUCACGAAGUUUUUGUAGCUUGGUGGCAGUGAUUAAAGAACUCUGUCAAUGACACUAUCAUCAGGAAGAUUAACUCCCAGUUGAGUCAAGUGGUUGUGGUACCCAGACAUUCUGAGUAUGUGUUCACUGACAGAAAUAUUCUCCUGCAUUUUACAGCUGUAGAACUUAUUGGAGACUUCAUAUCUCUCAAUCCGGGCAUUUGCUUGAAAUAUUAACCACAACUCCUGGAAUAUUUCAUAUGCCCCAUGACGUUCAAAAUGUCGUUGAAGUCCCGGUUCUAAGCCGUAAAGCAUGGCACACUGAACUAUCGAGUAGUGAUCAACACACGUCUGCCAGGCAUUCACAAUGUCUACAGUCGCGGGCAGGGGUGGUACACCUAACGGUGCUUCCAGGACGUAAUUCUUCUGUGCAGCAAUGAGGAUAAUCCUCAAGUUACGGACCCAGUCCGUGUAGUUGCUGCCAUCAUCUUUCAACUUAGCUUUCUCUAGGAAUGCAUUAAAAUUCAAAGGAACGGUACCAUGGGCCAUUGAUCUACAACAACAUAGACAUGCAAAAUACUAUCAGGUACUAAGUUCAUGAUAAAUUAAAGUUCAAUUAAUCAUAUUACUUAAAAACUCCCACUUAGAUAGACAUCCCUCUAAUCUUCUAAGUGAUCACGUGAUCCAAAUGAACUAAACCAUGUCCGAUCAUCACGUGAGAUGGAGUAGUUUUCAAUGGUGAACAUCACUAUGUUGAUCAUAUCUACUAUAUGAUUCACGCUCGACCUUUCGGUCUCAGUGUUCCGCGGCCAUAUCUGCAUAUGCUAGGCUCGUCAAGUUUAACCCGAGUAUUCUGCGUGUGCAAAACUGGCUUGCACCCGUUAUAUGUGAACGUAGAGCUUAUCACACCCGAUCAUCAUGUGGUGUCUCGGCAUGACGAACUGUAGUGACGGUGCAUACUCAGGGAGAACACUUGUACCUUGAAAUUUAGUAAGGGAUCAUCUUAUAAUGCUACCGACGUUCUAAGCGAAAUAAGAUGCAUAAAGGAUAAACAUCACAUGCAAUCAAAAUAUGUGACAUGAUAUGGCCAUGAUCAUCUUGUGCUCAUGAUCUCCAUCACCGAAGCAUCGUCAUGAUCUCAAACAUCACCGGCGCGACACAUUGAUCUCCAUCGUAGCAUCGUUGUUGUUUCGCCACCUAUUGUUACUACGAAUAUCGCUAUCGCUUAGUGAUAAAGUAAAACAAUUACAUGGCGAUUGCAUUGCAUACAAUAAAAGCAACAACCAUAUGGCUCCUGCCAGUUGCCGAUAACUUUGUUACAAAACAUGAUCAUCUCAUACAACAAUUUAUAUCACAUCAUGCUUGACCAUAUCACAUCACAGCAAGCCCUGCAAAAACAAGUUAGACGUCCUCUACUUUGUUGUUGCAAGUUUUACGUGGCUGCUACAGGCUUCUAGCAAGAACCGUUCUUACCUACGCAUCAAAACCACAACGAUUUUUCGUCAAGUGUGUUAUUUUAACCUUCAACAAGGAUUGGGCGUAGCCACACUCGAUUCAACUAAAGUUGGAGAAACAGACACUCACCAGCCACCUAUGUGCAAAGCACAUCGGUAGAACCAGUCUCGUGUAAGCGUACGUGUAAUGUCGGUCUGAGCCGCUUCAUCCAACAAUAUUGCUGAAUCAAAGUAUGACAUGCUGGUAAGCAGUAUGACUAUUAUUGCCCACAACUCUUUGUGUUCUACUCGUGCAUAUAACAUCUACGCAUAGACCUGGCUCUGAUACCACUAUUGGGGAAUGCGGUAAUUUCAAAAAAAAUCCUACGAUCAUGCAAGAUCUAUCUAGGUGAUGCAUAGCAAUGAGAGGGGAGAGUGUGUCCUUGUACUCGUAGACCGAAAGCGGAAGCGUUUAGUUAACGCGGUUGAUGUAGUCGAACGUCUUCACGAUCCAACUGAUCCAAGCACCGAAUGUACGGCACCUCCGCAUUCAGCACACGUUCAGCUCGAGGACGUCCCUUGUACUCUUGAUCCAGUUGAGGCUGAGGGAGUGUUUCAUCAGCACGACGGUGUGGUGACGGUGAUGAUGAAGUUACCAGCGCAGGGCUUCGCCUAAGCACUACGACGAUAUGACCGAGGUGUGUAACUGUGGAGGGGGGCAUCGCACACGGCUAAACAAUGUCAACUUGUGUGUCUAUGGGGUGCCCCCCUCCCCCGUAUAUAAAGGAGUGGAGGAGGGGGGAGCGCCGGCCCUCUAUGGCGCGCCCUGGAGGAGUCCUACUCCCACUAGGAGUAGGAUCCCCCCCCCCUUUCCCUAGUUGGACUAGGAGAGGAAGGAAGGGGAAGGAAGGAGGAAGGAAAGGGGGUCGUCCCCCCACCCAAUUCGGAUUGGGCUGGGAGGGGCGCCCCAUCCUAGGCUCCCUUCUCCUCUCUCCCACUAUGGCCCAAUAAGGCCCAUAUACUUCCCGGGGGGUUCCGUUAACCUCCCGGUACUCCGAUAUAUGCCCGAACUCACCCGGAACCGUUCCGAUGUCCAAACAUAGGCUUCCAAUAUAUCGAUCUUUAUGUCUCGACCAUUUCCAGACUCCUCGUCAUGUCCGUGAUCACAUCCGGGACUCCGAACUACCUUCGGUACAUCAAAACACAUAAACUCAUAAUACCAAUCAUCAUCGAACGUUAAGCGUGCAGACCCUACGGGUUCGAGAACUAUGUAGACAUGACCGAGACACAUCUCCGGUCAAUAACCAAUAGCGGAACCUGGAUGCUCAUAUUGGUUCCUACAUAUUCUACGGAUAUCUUUAUCGGUCAAACCGCAUAACAACAUACGUUGUUCCCUUUGUCAUCGGUAUGUUACUUGCCCGAGAUUCAGUCGUCCGUAUCUCAAUACCUAGUUCAAUCUCGUUACUAGCAAGUCUCUUUACUCAUUCCAUAAUAAUUCAUCAUGCAACUAACUCAUUAGUUACAAUGCUUGCAAGGCUUAUGAUGAGUAUUACCGAGAGGGCCCAGAGAUACCUCUCCGAAACACGGAGUGACAAAUCCUAAUCUCGAUCUAUGCCAACCCAACAAACACCUUCGGAGACACCUGUAGAGCACCUUUAUAAUCACCCUUUCAUGUUGUGACGUUUAGUAGCACACAAAGUGUUCCUCCGGCAUUCGGGAGUUGCAUAAUCUCAUAGUCCGAGGAACUUGUAUAAGUCAUGAAGAAAGCAGUAGCAAUAAAACUAACACUAUCAUAAUGCUAAGCUAACGGAUGGGUCAUGUCCAUCACAUCAUUCUCCUAAUGAUGUGAUCCCGUUGAUCAAAUGACAACACAUGUCUAUGGUUAGGAAACAUAACCAUCUUUGAUUAACGAGCUAGUCUAGUAGAGGCAUACUAGGGACUAUAUGUUUUGUGUAUGUAUUCACACAUGUAUUAAGUUUCCGGCUAAUACAAUUCUAGCAUGAAUAAUAAAAAUUUAUCAUGAAUUAAGGAAAUAAAUAAUAACUUUAUUAUUGCCUCUAUUGCAUAUUUCCUUCAGAUCAAGGCAAUUUGUGAAGGCUUGCCAGACAUGUGGCACUGCAUAUGUACGUGGCAUAUAGAAAAAAUAUGAAGAUUCAAGUCAUAAGUCCUUGAAGGAGUUACGAACUCUUUUGUACUACAGCACGUCCACAACCAUGUUUGAGAAGAUAUGGCACGCGUUUUCCAAAAGAUGGCAGUCGGAAAAAAUGGUAACAUGGUUGAGAUGGAUGUAUAAGAAGAGGAGACUGUGGGUCGCAACUUAUCUGACAGAGGGGUCUUGUCUUGGCAUGAAAAGCAACCAGAGGAGUGAAAGUCUAAACUCAUGCCUUUACCUCCACCUACACGGUGAAAUGACCCUGAUGGAUAUGAUUUUGCACUAUGAGAACGCCGUUGUACGUAUUCGUGAGAACGAGGCGCGAGAUGACUGCACGGCCUCACAGAGUUUACCGGUGCCAGUUACUAGCUCGAGGGAACUUGAGAUAGCUACUUCUCAUGUCUUCACUCCAGCAAACUUCUAUAUGUUGCAAGAUGAUCUUAGAAAAAUUGGCGGCAUGGAGUUUGUAGAAAUAAAGCUCGGAGACGGAUCACAGCAGUACAUCGUGGCCUGGAAGAAUAACCGAAAGAGCCGUUUUUGGGUGGAGUAUACACCAGUAAAUUCCGCAAAAACUAUAAGGUGCAACUGCAGAAGAAUGAUUUGAAAGGGUCUACCUUGCAAGCACAUAUUCCAUGUACUGAAGUACUUGAAUAUAUCUGAAAUACCAAAGAGUUUAGUUCUUGUUCGAUUCACGAAAGAAGCAAGGUUGGGACUGCCCGCGAGGCGCACAAGCGAUCUGUUGGGAUUUGGUUAGACUGGGGCAGGUGAAAGAAUGAAAUAUAUCCAGGUCAGUGUGUUGGCUUCAAAAGCUAUGCAUGCGGCAUGCAAACACCCAGCUUUAUGGGAUCAGUUACAGGAGAGUUUGAAGGUCGUGAUAGCUAAGAUCCAUGCGUAUGAUCAGCUAAAGGAAAAUUUGAGAAGGAAAACGGCUGAUCUCAGUAGAUGUGCAAUUGAAUAUGUAGACAAUGGUGAAGGCAACAUAGUUGAAGUUCAAGAUCCUAUUAAAGUAUCAACGAAAGGUGCAACUAAGUAUGCCACUUUCAUACUAUGAACUCAGAAUCAGGUGCGGCGCUUGCAAAUUGCUAGGGCACACUAAACGCAGCAAGAAAUGCAAACUAAAUAAGAAGUAAGUUUAUGUAUGCAUUGUAGGUUAUAAUUAUUUUUAACUUGUCAUUCAUUAGCUUUUCCUAUCUGUUAUCAUGUGUAGAAACAUGGUGGACGAAGAAGAGUAAAACACUUGCUAGAGUUAUGUACGGAUGAAUCCAGUGAUGUAGUAGUGAGGUGUUUACAAUGUGCUACUGUAUACAUGAUAUAUACUAUUGCAAGAGGCCAGGACCUUGAGAUAGCGCUUGUAGCAUAUAUGGACUAAAUAGGAGGCGGUCACUAAGGACUUUAAUCAUGGAAAAUGGAUAGCAUUUUAGCCUUUGUAAUGAUGGCAUGUUUUGUGUUGUCCACUCGAGUUGUAUUAUCGUAAAAAACUAGAAGAUACCCCGCACGUUGUUGCGGGAAUGUUUUGCAAUAUAUUCAUAGAGAAUUGGUUACGUGGAACAUGUAUAUGUUGUUACGGGAAUUUAUUGAUUGCAUGUUGUGGUGGACCUUUCUCCAUGCAUGUUGAAUGAUGAGGUGGCAUACUUGCAUGUUAAGAGAAAUAGGUUAGUGGGGGCUAGUUAUUUAGAUAUAGAAGAUGUAAUUAUGUGUGGUAAUAAUUAAUUUUUUUCACUCCUUUGGUUUAUUUACCGAAAACCAGCACACUUGGGGUCUAGAGUAUAGACUUGGUACCGAAAAACACACCAUUUUCCCCGUAAAAAAAAAAGAAAAACCCACCAUUUUAUGUUGUUGGUAGGCAGGCAUUUUUUAUUUUUUAUUUAAUUUUUUGCAUAUGUCACAUGUCAAAUUUUGCACACAAGUUUGAAUCAUUCAAUUUUUCUAUUUUAAUUAAAAUAGAAAUUUGACUAAAUUUUAAAAAAAAUUGGACCAAACAUUGCCACCAUGUGAGGAUGCCCAAAGUCAUUUUUUUGACCUCCUCCAAAUCACCUCAAAAAUUGCAAACAUGAUCUCCUACUCAAACAUAGAAAGGUUUCACAAUUUUUUGAUUUUUUUUGAAUUUUUUAUGCCCUGUCCAAUGCCAGUUAGAAACACUCGGCUUCACGGAGCCACUAUAAAUUGUAAAAAAUUAUAAAAAGGAAAUCUUUCAUAUUCUUUCUAUUUAUAUCAUGGAGAUCAUGCCUACAAAAGAAAAUUGAGGUGAUUUGGAAGUGGUGGGAAAAAUCACCUUUGUUCAAAAACUAACUUAAGUUAAGACCAAAUGGUCCCUUCGUAAUGCGGUGAUUUUUUCGACCACCUCUAAAUCACCUCAAUUUUUGCACACAUGAUCUCUUGCACAAACACAGCUAGGUUUCCAAGGUUUCAUAUUUUUUUUGAAUUUAUACUGCCCUCUAGACUGAUUGAUCAAAACAUCGGUCUAUACCUCAAGGGGUCAUUGUAAAAUACUUUUUUUUAAAUUUCUUUUAUAGCCAUGUUUGGCACAUGUAGGUCACCAUGUAAAAGAAAUUUGGGGUGAUUUGGAGGUGGUCAUAAGAAUCACCUUUGUUCAAAAACUGGCUUAAGUUAGACCAAAUGGUCCCUCCGUAAUGCGGUGAUUUUUUCGACCACCUCUAAAUCACCUCAAUUUUUGCACACAUGAUCUCUUGCACAAACAAAACUAGGUUUCCAAGGUUUCAUAUUUUUUUGAUUUUGUUUUGAAUUUAUACUGCCCUCUAGACUGACUGAUCAAAACAUCGGUCUAUACCUGAAGGGGGCAUUGUAAAAUAGUUUUUUUUAAUUUUCUUUCAUAGCCAUGUUUGGCACAUGUAGGUCACCAUGAAAAUUUGUCAUAUUUCAAUAUUUUAUGUUAUUUUUAAAAUAGAAAAUUGAAUGAUGCAAAUUUAUGAAAACCACAACUCCAUGUAAUUAAGUUUGCAACCUAUGUAAAUAAGACAAGUGUACUUUAUAACAAAAUAGUAGUAAUUGAUUUGGGAUGAAGUAACAUGUGACAGAUGGAAAAUAAUAGUAAUUAAUUUGGGAUGAAAAAUAUGUGACAGAUGGGAAAAAUAUGCGCCCUUACUAGCAGUAGAUUUCAACACAGAGGGCCUGCAUAUGACUAGAAACCCAUCAUUUUUGGGCCAGGAUACAUGCCCGUCAUGCACGAACUUCUACUGCUAGUAGGGCCCACAAGGCAGAGAGGUAUCAAUCAGAUGUUGUUUGGGUGAGAGAGGCUUGUGCUAAGCUACUGGCAGCCGAGUAUAUAAGCUGGUGCGACCACCUCUUGCUUGGCGAGGUGGGACUAAACUCUCACCACCGGAUGCUCUGCCCUAGUGCGCCCAUGCGAUAGGCCAGAUUAGAUGGGCUUUCACAGGCCGGCCUAACCCGCGUGUUGGACCAUGCGUGGGUAUAGAUGGCUAGGAUGGCCCAUGGUUUUCCUUUUGUUUACAUAAAAUUUACCUGACCCCUCAAAAAAUAACAUAUAAAUUACCUACUUUUUAAUUACUCCCUAUGAAUUCAAAAGGUAUUUUUAUCGAACACAACUUUUUAAAUAUUUAUAUUUUCUUUUCUUAUAAAUAAGUGACAUUUUCAAAAUUCUAAUAAGUAGGAUAAUAUAACUUUAUUAAAAAAUAUAGUACAUCUUAUUUCAAAUUCUUUUUUGGCACACACAAUUUUUAUCUAGUAUUACAUUACUCUUCUAGAUUUACAUUUUAUUUCCUUCACACUUUGAUGAUGGAAUAUUUGCUCUGUUAUUGCAAGAGUUGUUGAAAUGAUGGAAUAUUUGAUCUUUUUGCUUAUUCAAAUGAUGCAUUGAUGGAAUGUGUGAGGAUGAAGAAUUAUCAAUAACUUUACUAAACCCCAUGUACCAUAAUUCAUGACACAGCUAAUUUGGAACAUUGGCAGAUUCUUAAUUUGGUAGGAUUUGCACAUGGGCACAACAUGUUGCACUUGCCCACAGCAUGGAUAAGUGUUGCAGCAUGUGUGAAGCAACACUGAAGCAGCAUUUGUGAUCAUUGCACCAUCGGAACUCGUAAACUACACAUUGAAACAACAUCUAAACAGAAGGUAGCAUUCACCACAAAUAAAUUUAAGGCCACACAAAUAUAGAUAGCAUUCUAGAUUACCACCACAAGUACCAUCCAGUUCACAACAGAUCCAGUUCAGACACAUACUACGUUACAUUAAUAUAUAUACUAGAUUAGUAGAGCUAGUUCCCAAUAGUGCACACCCAGAUGCAGCUUUCCAAAAGUAAAACAUCAUCAAAUCUACUGAUGAUGAGUAGGGCUUCCAGCUUCUGAUGACCGGCAUGAUGUAGGGCAACUACACUGGAUACAAGACCUUCGCAAGGGCAGCAUGCUGCGCCCUGAUCUUAGGGUCGUCCCUGCUGACCGAUGAAGCCUGUGCAUGAUCCAAAAGAUGCUCAUAGAGCCCAUCCUUGGGCUUUGGCUUCAUGCAGUAGGGGCAUAUGAACUUCUUCCCCUUGUAGUAGCAAGAAAGACCCUUGUCCCUGAUCUUCUGCACCUCCUUCUCUAUGGAUGAUUCGAUGUUGGUGUGGUCCACCUCAUCUCCAGAUUCAUAAUGCACACAUGAAUGAAUUCCAUUAUUACUUAUAUAAAACUAGUGCCGAUAAUACAAUAUAGGCUUCAGCCUACCAUACAAUUGUGCUAUAAAUGGACUACUAUAUAUGUAUAGGCCUUCAGCCAUGCAAGCAAAUCACUUAAGGCAUCAGGUUCAUAUACAUGCCAGAGUUGUGGAUGAAGCAAACAUCAUCUGACCUUAAUUACCACAUGUCACCCAACUAGCUAGUUGGUCUUAGUCCUUUGCUUCCUCUACCAUCUGGCAGGACAGAGAAGAUAGAAACCUCACAGGUUCCCAAAUGAAACUAGAUAGCAGAAACACGUCGUAUGGACAGGAUUGUCUAGGUUUUGAGCCCAGCCUCUGUUUACAUCAUAGACUCUAUAGUCUAUAAUUACAUCCAUGAUUACAAAUUUAAGUUAAUGAACCUAUACUUUAAAUACAAAUCUUAAUUUACACUACUAUCUAAGUUUUGAGCCCAGCCUCUAUUUCCAUCUUACAUUCUCAACUCUACAUAAUUACAUCCAUGAUUUGAAAUUUAUACCUAAUAAACCUAUAUUGUAAAAUAAAACUCUUAAUUUACAUUAGUGUCUAAGUUUUGAGCCCACCCUCUGUUUCCAUCAUAUAUUCUCCACUGUAUAUGACAACAUGUCAUAUGAACUAAAUGAACAAUCUAAAUUUUCAGGGUGGGCUUACCUCAAAGACUUCGUCGUCGCCAUAGCCUUCGGCAUAUGGGUCUUUGAAGUCAGUCAUGUCCAGCUUCCUCUUCUUCUCCGCAGAACCAUCCACCUCACUAUAAAAUUACACUCAUUAGUACUAGUUACACAAGCCAACUGCAAAUUUUAAUAUGCACACAUGACACAUUGAUCAACCUAUCCUAACUAUGAUCAUACUUGCAUUUUCCAUUUCCAUGCACACAAUCUGAACAACAUAGCUAAUAUAACUGCAUAUUCUGGAAAACUUUCUAAUUACAGGAAACCUGCAUAAAAGAAUAAUUUAAAUGUACCUAAGCAUUUUUUGGGAUAAUGCAGCAAAGCUCCUACAUAUAUUAACAUAAUGCAGUAGUUACUUAGAUACCACUUCAACUAUAAAUGCAUACAUCUCCAGCUAACAUCUAAAAUUGCAUUACUUACCUAAACAACAAAAAGUUAUACUAUAGAUGAAUCAAGUAUCAUCUAAAUCAAUUCAUAGGCACAUCAAAAUUAAUGCAUUCCAUUUGGGCAUAUGACAUACAAAACUCCAAUCUGUGCAACAUUGAACCACAGAUCUAAUAUAAUAAUCAUAUAUGUUUGCAGCAUUGAACCACAGAUCUAAUAAUGAUAUUUGGUCUAUCUGUUCUUAAAUUCCCUCAUAAAUAAGGUGUUAAACCUCAUACUAACUAAAAUCUAAGAAGCAAAAUUUCAACUACUAAUCUAAUAAGCAUCUGAAAAAAACCAUCCCUCAAUCCGACUACUUCUAACCUAAUCUAAUAAUCAUAUGUGCUCCACCAUUCUUGCCAGAAUCAUAUACAGAAAUGAGAAAACCCUAAUGCUGAGAAAACCCUCCAUCCAACUAAUCUAACCCAAGAAACUUUUGGCCAAACCCUAGAAUCUAAAAACUACAACGAAAAUGGAUAAUGAAUUACCUUCUGCUCCACCUGCUCCUCGCUAGAGCCGGCGUCCACCUUCUCCACCUUGUGCGCCUCGCUAGAGCACGCCUCCACCUUCUCCACCUUUUGCGCCUCGCCGGAGCUCGCCAGAGCGGGCGCAUCUGGCUGGACUGCGCCGCUCCUGCCCGCCUCCACCUUCUCCAGAUCUGCAGCAUCUGCUGCACCGCCUUGGACGCCGGCACCUCCCUUCACCGCUGCGGGCGCCGCGACCUGCUACACCUGCGCCACCAGAUUUGCGCCCCAAUCGGGGCGCUCGCUUCCUGCGUCCUCCAUGGUGAUGGAGGUGAUGGAGAGGAUGCGGUGGGGGAGAGGGAGACAACAAGGCGGACGAGGAGAGGGAGAGGAGAGGGAGACGAUGCGGCGGGGGAAAUGGUGGGCGAUGCGGCCGGAGGUGGUUCCCCUCCUCAUUUAUAUGAUGGGACAGUUUUGACAUGUUCCCAUGGACACGUGCUGCCCCACGCGCGGGCGGUUGCAUGCGAAAACGAAACACCCGGGCGUAUACGAAUACGACCAUACGGUCGGGCAUAUGAACUAAUCGGGUCGUACGGGCCCCACAGGACUCCUCGACAGCUAUACACACGGGCAAAAAAGACGAUCGUGCCCCUCGUUUCGAACCGUUUUUGGUUAAUCCUGGCUGUCCUUGUGUUUCUCCCCCUUGCGUUCAGCCCAGGGGGGGUGCACCGGAGCAGAAACGAGUGUUCACUAGUUUGGCUAAAAAGAAUAGUCUCAAUGCCAUAUACAAUAAGAACUCACACUCAAGGAUGUCAUCUACCAUCUCGUCGGCGUCGGAGACAUGGAAAAGAUGGCACAUGAGCACGAGAAGGCAAGGGAAGCUACGCGAAGGGGCUCUCUCUAGGUCAGAGGAGCCGUGGGAGGCGAUGCGGACGACCAUAGGACCUCCUCGCCGACAAACCGAGCCAUGACUAGGGUUCACCGUGGGGCAUGUUCGGAGGUGGAAGUCAGCAUGAUGACAUGGAGUCGUAGUGGCGGGUCCCGUUCGGUAGUUGGCAGUGCUGAUUAAUAGUUUGAAAGUGCAUCCCCAAGAUACCCUAUUGGUUUCGAUGAUUUAUGACAAAACCAUUUUAGAGGACUAAUGAUUUCAAUAAGCUUGUUUUAGAGACUAUGACUAAUUUUCGUAUGCCGUCCUUGAUAGGUGGAACAUCAAUGAUGAUGUUACUGUUACAUUUUUCGUUCAAACAAGUUACAGGGAGCUACCACAUUGCCACCUCAAAAGAAGUAAUACUGGUUCCUAGCUAGUAGCCACACACAUGGAGCGACUCACGCAGCUCCAACCAAUUAAAGUUUCGUGAAUCUUCCAUGGCUAUUCAUUUGGCCUCGCUCGACGUCACCCGGCUCUGGUGACCACUUAUGUCCCGGAUGGAUGUCGCCGGCCACACGCCCCUCGAAGACGACGAGAUGAGCAGCGUGUGAUCCUCGUCGCCCCGCCCAUCCAAGCGAAGAUAAGACGCCCACUCCCUUCCCUCCACAUGGCACCCGCCCUCCAAUCCCUUACUUAUUCCCGCCCCCCUCACUCCUCCAUCCCCUAGCUCGCUCGCCUAUCCUCUCCACCUCCUCAGCCACACCUAGAGCAUCUUAGCUCCGGCUAGGUAGCUAGCAAUGGCCGCCGCACUGAGCCUCCGCGCGCCCUUCUCCCUGCGCGCCGUGGCGCCACCGGCGCCCCGCGUGGCCCUCGCGCCCGCGGCCCUCAGCCUCGCCGCCGCCAAGCAGGUGCGGGGAGCCAGGCUCCGCGCCCAGGCGACGUACAAGGUGAAGCUGGUGACGCCCGAGGGCGAGGUGGAGCUGGAGGUCCCCGAUGACGUCUACAUCCUCGACCAGGCCGAGGAGGAGGGGAUCGACCUGCCCUACUCCUGCCGCGCCGGCUCCUGCUCCUCCUGCGCCGGCAAGUUGGUGUCCGGCGAGAUCGACCAGUCCGACCAGAGCUUCCUCGACGACGACCAGAUGGAGGCAGGGUGGGUGCUCACCUGCCACGCCUACCCCAAGUCCGACAUCGUCAUCGAGACCCACAAGGAGGAGGAGCUCACCGCAUAAGCUGCUUUACCUAUCUCUCUUUGCAAGAUAAUAUCACGGACCCUGAGACCUGUGUAAACCCUGAGAGCUGAUUUCAUGCAUGCACGGACAUUGCCAGAUACACCGAAUUGUUUGUGCUCGAAUGAAUUGCUCGAUGCAUGGUUUGCUCAAGUAAUAAUGUCUUCGAAUUACUACCUUUUUGUACCGUAAGAUAUACUACUGCCGUAAUACUAGCGUGUACCUUGUACGUAACUCGACGUACUGAAAUGAAUCCUGAUGGCUGAGGCGUCUCUCUGAUUAAUAAUAUCUUCUCUUUAAUUAAGAGACUGCUGAAUUACUUGAUGAACAUCUUACCUGGGACUUUCUUCUAUAUCCAGAUAAUAGGUGCAUGCUACGACUUGUUUCAAUAUGAGUUACACAAUUUCCUCAUUAUUUUGUUUACCCACAAGGAGACCUCUUUUCCGCACUCAUUUUUGUCCUCACUACUGAUUUGCUCCAAUCCAUUUUCAAUGAAGCUUUGGACAACAAUUUGAUAGGUUUGCCCAUUAUCACUAAGAAUAACAGAGAUUUCCUUAUAAUCCAGUAUGCAGAUGACACCAUUAUUAUCUUGCAUGCAUGUCCCUUGCAAAUUCAACAAGUUCAGAACAUAUUGAUGCAUUUUCGGGUUUACACAGGUCUCAGGGUCAACUACAACAAAUCCAUGAUGGUUCCCAUGAAUGUACCUGCUCAUAACAUCAAGCAACUCUCAGCUAUUUUAGGUUGUGCCCACAGUAGUUUUCCCUUUACUUACCUUGGACUUCCUCUUGGCAUUUCUAAACCCAAGGUUGAAGAUUUUGAAAAGGAUUGGAUCUAGACUUGCUGGUUGCUCCACAAUGCUUUCCUAGGGAGAGAAACUCAUUCUUGUGAAAUCUGCUUUCACUAGCCUACCUACUUCCUUCAUGAGCAGUUUAGACCUCCCCAUAGGAGUUGUUGGCCAUAUUAAUAAAUACUUGAGACAUUGCUUUUGGAGGAAAUAUGGGAUGGACGACAGACGUACUUCUCUUAUAUUCUUGGGAUAAAAUUUGCCUUGCUAAGGAAGCUGGUGGACUUGGAGUUCUUGAUGUGCAAACUCAGAACAAAGCUUUGUUGAUGAAAGAUCUGCAUAAUUUUUUCAAUAGUUCUGACCUCCCUUGGGUGGACCUUAUGUGGAGCUCCUACUAUACUUCUACCCCCUCCUCAUGUCACACCUGUUGGUUCCUUCUGGUGGAAGUUUAUUCUCAAAUUAAUCCCUGAUUUUAAAGCCAUCUCUUCCUGCAGCAUGGGGCAAGGGAACUAUGUUCUUCUGUUAUUUGAUAAUUGGGAUGGUAACAGAUUCAUUGAUAGAUUCCCUGAGCUUCAUUCUUUUGUUGUGAAUGACCAAUUCUCAAUUGAGCAAGCAUUGCACAUCAACCCUCCAGAGGAUCUAUUCCAUAGGCCACUCUCCACCCAAACUUUCCAGCAGUUCCAGGGUUCCCAAAACUUUAUGAAUAAUAUUCAGUUUUCUGGCUCCAAAGACAAAUGGUCUUACAUCUGGGGAUCUUCUCAGUCCUCUAUUGCAAAGGUUUACAAAACCUUGAGGGUUAAACCACCUACACCACCUCUCUUCAACCUGUUAUGGAAGAGCUCAGUAAUCCUUUGAUAUAAGAUUUUCUUCUGGUUUCUCCUUCAUGAUAGACUGAAUUCAAGAGAGCUUCUACAAAGAAAAUCCUUGUGGCUACCCAAUUAUGAUUGUGGAAUGUGUGACACUAAAUCCUUGGAAACUGCUUUUCACUUGUUUUGGAACUGCCCUUUUUCUAUUCAAUGUUGGGAGACCUCGAUUCCGCAGAUAUUGAGGAACAACUCAGUUUACACAUAUAUCCAACUAGCGGUGCCCCCCCCCCUCCUGAUUUGGCCCUGGACAUCAUAAUUAUGGCUUCAUGGAAUAUAUGGAUUCAAAGAAACAAUGCAAUGUUCAAAAAUACCACACACAGUGUGGCCUCCUGGAAAAUAUUGCUUAGAAGAGAUCUCCAAAUUCUGGCUCACAGAAGACAACAAAGUAGCAAGACUGCAAGCCUGGAUUAAAGUUAACCUUUAAUUUCUCAUGUUGCCAAAAGGUGGGAUUGGUUGAGUUGUAUUUUCUUUUUUCUGUUUGUACAUACUUUUAUUAUUAAUGAAAAUUUAACCAUACAACUAUUGUUCUAUGAUCAGUGCCUAAAAAAUGUUUGAGGCUAGCAGAAUGUUUGUUUACAUGGUCCUCAUUUUUUUCUGAAAAGGGAUAAUAUGUUUGUAAGAUCGUGAAUGUCACCUAGAGGGGGGUGAAUAGGCGCUUUAAAAUAAUUACGGUUUAGGCUUGAACAAAUGUGGAAUAAAACUAGCGUUUAAUUUGUCAAGCACAAAACCUAAAACAACUAGGCUCACCUGUGUGCACUAACAACUUAUGCUAAGCAAGAUAAACAACUAAGUGAUAGAAAGAUAUAUAACAUGUCAUAUUAUGGCUAUCACAAAGUAAAGUGCAUAAGUAAAGGGCUUGGGUAAGAGAUAACUGAGGCACACGAAGACGAUGAUGUAUCCCGAAAUUCACACCCUUGCGGAUGCUAAUAUCCGUUUGGAGCGGUAUGGAGGCACAAUUGUUGGGGAACGUAGUAAUUUCAAAAAAAUUCCUACGCACACGCAAGAUCAUGGUGAUGCAUAGCAACGAGAGGGAAGAGUGUUGUCCAUGUACCCUCGUAGACCGAAAGCGGAAGCGUUAGAACAACGCGGUUGAUGUAGCCGUACGUCUUCACGGCCCGACCAAUCAAGCACCGAAACUACGGCACCUCCGAGUUCUAGCACACGUUCAGCUCGAUGACGUCCCUCGAACUCCGAUCCAGCCGAGUGUCAAGGGAGAGUUCCGUCAGCACGACAGCGUGGUGACGAUCUUGAUGUUCUACCGUCGCAGGGCUUCGCCUAAGCACCGCUACAAUAUUAUCGAUGAGGACUAUGGUGGAGGGGGGCACCGCACACGGCUAAGAGAUCAAGAGAUCAGUUGUUCUGUCUAUGGGGUGCCCCCCUCCCCGUAUAUAAAGGUGUGGAGGAGGGGGCCGACCAAGGGGGUGGCGCGCCCUAGGGGGGAGUCCAACUCCCACCGGGAGUAGGACUUCCCCCUUUCCUAUUAGGAGAGGGAGAGGGAAGGAAGAGGAAGGAGGGAGGAAGGAAAGGGGGGACCGGGCCCCCUCCCAAUUCGGAUUGGGCUUGGGGGGGCGCCCCCUCCCUUGCUCCUUUCCCCUCCUUUCCACUAAGGCCCAAUAAGGCCCAUAUACCUCCCGGGGGGGUCCGAUAACCUCCCGGAGCUCCGGUAUUGUCCCAAUCUCACCCGGAACCUUUCCGAUGUCCAAAUAUAGUCGUCCAGUAUAUCGAUCUUUAUGUCUCAACCAUUUCGAGACUCCUCGUCAUGUCCGUGAUACACAUCCGGGACUCCAAACAACCUUCGGUACAUCAAAACUCAUAAACUCAUAAUAUAACUGUCAUCGAAACCUUAAGCAUGCGGACCCUACAGGUUCGAGAACUAUGUAGACAUGACUGAGACACGUUUCCGGUCAAUAACCAAUAGAGGAACCUGGAUGUUCAUAUUGGCUCCUACAUAUUCUAUGAAGAUCUUUAUCGGUCAAACCGCAUAACAACAUACGUUGUUCCCUUUGUCAUCGGUAUGUUACUUGCCCGAGAUUCUAUCGUCUGUAUCUCAAUACCUAGUUCAAUCUCGUUACCGGCAAGUCUCUUUACUCGUUAUGUAAUGCAUCAUUCCGUAACUAACUCAUUAGUUACAUUGCUUGCAAGGCUUAUAGUGAUGUGCAUUACCGAGAGGGCCCAGAGAUACCUCUCCGACAAUCGGAGUGACAAAACCUAAUCUCGAAAUACGCCACUCAACAUGUACCUUUGGAGACACCUGUAGAGCUCUUUUAUAAUCACCCAGUUACGUUGUGACGUAUGGUAGCACACAAAGUGUUCCUCCGGUAAACGGGAGUUGCAUAAUCUCAUAGUUGUAGGAACAUGUAUAAGUCAUGAAGAAAGCAAUAGCAACAUACUAAACGAUCAAGUGCUAAGCUAACAGAAUGGGUCAAGCCAAUCACAUCAUUCUCGUAAUGAUGUGAUCCCGUUAAUCAAAUGACAACUCAUGUCUAUGGCUAGGAAACACAACCAUCUUUGAUUCAAUGAGCUAGUCAAGUAGAGGCAUACUAGUGACAUUAUGUUUGUCUAUGUAUUCACACAUGUAUCAAGUUUCCGGUUAAUACAAUUCUAGCAUGAAUAAUAAACAUUUAUCAUGAAAUAAGGAAAUAAAUAAUGACUUAAAUAUUGCCUCUAGGGCAUAUUUCCUUCAGUCUCCCACUUGCACUAGAGUCAAUAAUCUAGUUCACACCGCAAUGUGAUUUAACACUAAUAUUCACAUAUGUAUGUGAUUAAUACCCAUAGUUCACAUCGUCAUGUGAUCAACACCCAAAGGGUUUCUAGAGUCAAUAAUCUAGUUCACAUCCCUAUGUGAUUAACAACCAAAGAGUACUAAGGUAUGAUCAUGUUUUACUCAUGAGAGAAGUUUAGUCAACGGGUCUAUCACAUUCAGAGCCGUAUGUAUUUUGCAAAUAUUCUAUGUCUACAAUGCUCUGUACGAAGCUACUCUAGCUAAUUCCUCCCACUUUCAAUAUGUAUCCAGAUUGAGACUUAGAGUCAUCUGGAUUGGCGUAAAAGCUUGCAUCAUUGUAACCUUUUACGAUGAGCCCUUUUAUCACUUCCAUUAUCGAGAAAUAUUUCCUUAGUCCUCACUAAGGAUAUUCUUGACCGUUGUUCAGUGAUCUACUCUUAGAUCAAAAUUGUACUCCCUUGCCAAACUCAGAACAAAGUAUACAAUAGGUACAUAACAUAGCAUAAUUUAUAGAACCUAUGACUAAGGCAUAGGGAAUGACUUUUCAUUCUCUUUCUAUUUUUUGCCAUGGUCGGGUUUUGAGUCUUACUCAACUUUCACACCUUGCAAUACAGGCAAGAACUCCUUCUUUGACUGAUCCAUUUUGAACUACUUCAAAAACUUAUUAAGGUAUGCACUCAUUGAAAAAUCCUAUCAAGCGUCUUGAUCUAUCUCUAUAGAUCUUGAUGCUCAAUGUGUAAGCAGCUUCACUGAGGUGUUUCAUUGAGAAACUCUUAUUCAAGUAUCCUUUUAUGCUUUCCAAAAAAAUUCUACAUUAUUUCCGAUCAACAAUAUGUUAUUCACAUAUACUUAUCAGAAAUGUUGUAGUGCUCCCACUCACUUUCUUGUAAAUAGAGGCUUCACUGAAGUCCGUAUAAAACUAUAUGCUUUGAUCAACUUAUCAAAGCGUAUAUUCCAACUCCGAGAUGCUUGCACCAGUCCAUAGAUGGAUCGCUGGAGCUUGCACAUUUUGUUAGCACUUUUAGGAUUGACAAAACCUUCUGGUUGCAUCAUAUACAACUCUUCUUUAAGAAAACCAUUAAGGAAUGCAGUUUUGACAUCCAUUUGCCAGGUUUCAUAAAAUAUGGCAAUUGCUAACAUGAUUCGGACAGACUUAAGCAUCGCUACAGUUGAGAAAAUCUCAUUGUAGUUAACACCUUGAACUUGUCGAAAACCUUUUUGCGACAAGUCGAGCUUUGUAGAUAGUAACACUACUAUCAACGUCUAUCUUCCUCUUGAAGAUCCAUUUAUUUAUGGCUUGCCGAUCAUUGGGAAAGUCCACCAAAGUCCACACUUUGUUCUCAUACAUGGAUCCUAUCUCAGAUUUCAUGGCCUCCAGCCAUUUCGCGGAAUCUGGGCUCAUCAUCGCUUCCUCAUAGUUCGUAGGUUUAUCAUGGCCUAGUAACAUGACUUUCAGAACAGGAUUACCAUACCACUCUGGUGUGGACCGUACUCUGGAAGACCUACGAGGUUCUAUAGUAACUUGAUCUGAAGUUUCAUGAUCAUCAUCAUUAGCUUCCUCACUAAUUGGUGUAGGAAUCACUGGAACUGAUUUCAGUGAUGAACUGUUUUCCAAUUCGGGAGAAGGUACUAUUACCUUAUCAAGUUCUACUUUUCUCCCACUCACUUCUUUCGAGAGAAACUUCUUCUCUAGAAAGGGUCCAUUCUUGGCAACGAAUGUCUUGCCUUCGGAUCUGUGAUAGAAGGUGUACCCAACAGUUACUUUUGGGUAUUCUAUGAAGAUGCACUUCUCCGAUUUAGGUUUGAGCUUAUCAGGAUGAAACUUUUUCACCUAAGCAUCCCAACCUCAAACUUUAAGAAACGACAGCUUAGGUUUCUUGCUAAACCAUAGUUCAUAUGGUGUCGUCACAAUGGAUUUAGAUGGUGCCCUUUUAACGUGAAUGCAGCUAUCUCUAAUGCAUAACCCCAAAACGAUAGUGGUAAAUCAGUAAGAGACAUCAUAGAUUGCACCAUAUCCAAUAAAGUGCGGUUACGAUGUUCGGACACACCAUAAUGUUGUGGUGUUCCAGGUGGCAUGAACUGUGAAACUAUUCCACUUUUUUUUAAUUGAAGACCAAACUCAUAACUCAAAUAUUCAUCUCCACGAUCAGAUCGUAGAAACUUUAUUUUCUUGUUACGGUGAUUUUCCACUUCACUCUGAAAUUCUUUGAACCUUUCAACUAUUUCAGACUUAUGUUUCAUCAAGUAGAUAUACCCAUAUCUUCUCAAAUCAUCUGUGAAGGUCAGAAAAUAACGAUACCCGCCACGAGCCUUAAUACUCAUUGGUCUGCAUACAUCAGUAUGUAUUAUUUCCAACAAGUCAGUAGCUCGUUCCAUUGUUCUGGAGAACGGAGUUUUAGUCAUCUUGCCCAAAAGGCACGGUUCGCAAGCAUCAAAUGAUUCAUAACCAAGUGAUUCCGAAAAUCCAUCUUUAUGGAGUUUCUUCAUGCGCUUUACACCGAUAUGACCCAAACGAUAGUGCCACAAAUAAGUUGCACUAUCAUUAUUGACUUUGCAUCUUUUGGCAUCAAUAUUAUGAAUAUGUGUAUCACUACGAUCGAGAUCCAAUAAACUAUUUUCAUUGGGUGUAUGACCAUUGAAGGUUUUAUUCAUGUAAACAAAACAACAAUUAUUCUUUGACUUUAAAUGAAUAAUCGUAUUGCAAUAAACAUGAUCAAAUUAUAUUCAUGCUCAACGCAAAUGCUAAAUAACAUUUAUUUAGGUUUAACACUAAUCCCGAUAGUAUAGGGAGUGUGUGAUGAAUAUCAUAUCAAUCUUGGAACUACUUCCAACACUCAUCGUCACUUCCCCUCAACUAGUCUCAGUUUAUUAUGUAACUCCUGUUUCGAGUUACUAAUCUUAGCAACCCAACAAGUAUCAAAUACUCAGGGGCUACUAUAAACACUAGUAAGGCACACAUCAAUAACCUGUAUAUCAAAUAUGCCCUUGUUCACUUUGCCAUCCUUCUUAUCCACCAAAUAUUCAGGGCAUUUCCGCUUUCAGUGAUCAUUUACUUUGUAGUAGAAGCACUCAAAUUCAGGCUUUGGUCCAGCUUUAGGCUUCUUCACGGGAGUGACAACUUGCUUGUCAUUCUACUUGAAGUUCCCUUUCUUUCCCUUUGCCUUUUCUUGAAACUAGUGUUCUUGUCAAUCAUCAACACUUGAUGCUCUUUCUUGAUUUCUACCUUCGUCGAUUUCAACAUCACAAAGAGCUCGGGAAUUGUUUUCGUCAUCCCUUGCAUACUAUAGUUCUUCACGAAGUUCUAGCAACUUGGUGAUGGUGACUAGAGAACUUUGUCAAUCACUAUCUUAUCUAGAAGAUUAACUCCCACUUGAUUCAAGCGAUUGUAGUACCCAGACAAUCUGAGUACAUGCUCACUGCUUGAGCUAUUCUCCUCCAUCUUUUAGCUAUAGAACUUGUUGGAGACUUCAUAUCUCUUAACUCGGGUAUUUGCUUGAAAUAUUAACUUCAACUCUUGGAACAUCUCAUAUGUUCCAUGAUGUUCAAAACGUCUUUGAAGUCCCGAUUCUAAGCCGUUAAGCAUGGUGCACUAAACUAUUAAGUAGUCAUCAUAUUGAGCUAGCCGAACGUUCAUAAUGUCUGCAUCUGCUCCUGCAAUAGGUAUGUCACCUAGCGGUGCAUCAAGGACAUAACUCUUCUGUGCAGCAAUGAGGACAAUCCUCAUAUCACAGAUCCAAUCCGCAUCAUUGCUACUAACAUCUUUCAACACAGUUUUCUCUAGGAACAUAUCAAAAUAAACAUAGGGAAGCAACAACGCGAGCUAUUGAUCUACAACAUAAUUUGCAAAAUACUACCAGGACUAAGUUCAAGAUAAAUUUAAGUUCAAUUAAUCAUAUUACUAAAGAACUCCCACUUAGACAGACGUCUCUGUAGUCAUCUAAGUGAUCACGUGAUCCAAAUCAACUAAACCAUGUCCGAUCAUCACGUGAGAUGGAGUAGUUUUCAAUGGUGAACAUCACUAUGUUGAUCAUAUCUACUAUAUGAUUCACGUUCGACCUUUCGGUGUCCGUGUUCCGAGGCCAUAUCUGUAUAUGCUAGGCUCGUCAAGUUUAACCUAAGUAUUCUGCGUGUGCAACACUUUUGCACCCGUUGUAUUUGAACAUAGAGCCUAUCACACCCGAUCAUCACGUGGUGUCUCAGCAUGAAGAACUUUCACAAUGGUGCAUACUCAGGGAGAACACUUCUUGAUAAUUAGUGAGAGAUCAUCUUAUAAUGCUACCGUCAAUCAAAGCAAAAUAAGAUGCAUAAAGGAUAAACAUCACAUGCAAUCAAUAUAAGUGAUAUGAUAUGGCCAUCAUCAUCUUGUGCUUGUGAUCUCCAUCUCCGAAGCACCGUCGUGAUCACCAUCGUCACCGGCGCGACACCUUGAUCUCCAUCGUAGCAUCAUUGUCGUUUCGCCAUAUAUUGCUUCUAUGACUAUCGCUACCGCUUAGUGAUAAAGUAAAGCAAUUACAGGGCGCUUGCAUUUCAUACAAUAAAGCGACAAGCAUAUGGCUCCUGCCAGUUGCCGAUAACUCGGUUACAAAACAUGAUCAUCUCAUACAAUAAAAUAUAGCAUCAUGUCUUGACCAUAUCACAUCACAACAUGCCCUGAAAAAACAAGUUAGACGUCCUCUACUUUGUUGUUGCAAAUUUUACGUGGCUGCUACGGGCUGAGCAAGAACUGUUCUUACCUACGCAUCAAAACCACAACUAUAGUUUGUCAAGUUAGUGUUGUUUUAACCUACGCAAGGACCGGGCGUAGCCACACUCGGUUCAACUAAAGUUGGAGAAACUGACACCCGCCAGCCACCUGUGUGCAAAGCACGUCGAGAGAACCAGUCUCGCGUAAGUGUACGCGUAAUGUCGCUCCGGGCCACUUCAUCCAACAAUACCGCCGAACCAAAGUAUGACAUGCUGGUAAGCAGUAUGACUUGUAUCGCCCACAACUCACUUGUGUUCUACUCGUGCAUAUAACAUCUACGCAUAAAACCAGGCUCUGAUGCCACUGUUGGGGAACGUAGUAAUUUCAAAAAAUAUCCUACGCACAUGCAAGAUCAUGGUGAUGCAUAGCAACGAGAGGGAAGAGUGUUGUCCACGUACCCUCGUAGACCGAAAGCGGAAGCGUUAGAACAAUGCGGUUGAUGUAGUCGUACGUCUUCACAGCCCGACCGAUCAAGCACCGAAACUACUGCACCUCCGAGUUCAAGCACACGUUCAGCUCGAUGACGUCCCUCGAACUCCGAUCCAGCCGAGUGUCAAGGGAGAGUUCCGCCAGCACGACGGCGUGGUGAAGAUCUUGAUGUUCUACCCUCGCAGGGCUUCGCUUAAGCACCGCUACAAUAUUAUCGAGGAGGACUAUGGUGGAGGGGGGCACCGCACACGGCUAAGAGAUCAAGAGAUCAAUUGUUGUAUCUAUGGGGUGCCCCCCUCCCCCGUAUAUAAAGGAGUGGAGGAGGGGGCCGGCCAAGGGGGGUGGCGCACCCUAGGGGGAGUCCAACUCCCACCGGGAGUAGGACUUCCCCCUUUCCUAUUAGGAGAGGGAGAGGGAAGGAAGAGGAAGGAGGGAGGAAGGAAAGGGGGGCCGGCCCCCUCCCAAUUCAGAUUGGGCUUGGGGGGGGUGCCCCCUCCCUUGCUCCUUUCCCCUCCUUUCCACUAAGGCCCAAUAAGGCCCAUAUACUUCCCGGGGGGUUCCGAUAACCUCCCGGAGCUCCGGUAUUGUCCCAAUCUCACCCGGAACCUUUCCGGUGUCCAAAUAUAGUCGUCCAAUAUAUUGAUCUUUAUGUCUCGACCAUUUCAAGACUCCUCGUGAUGUCUGUGAUCACAUCCGGGACUCCGAACAACCUUCGGUACAUCAAAACUCAUAAACUCAUAAUAUAACUGUCAUCGAAACCUUAAGCGUGCGGACCCUACGGGUUCGAGAACUAUGUAGACAUGACCGAGACACGUUUCUGGUCAAUAACCAAUAGCGGAACCUGGAUGUUCAUAUUGGCUCCUACAUAUUCUAUGAAGAUCUUUAUCGGUCAAACUUCAUAACAACAUACGUUGUUCCCUUUGUCAUCGGUAUGUUACUUGCCCGAGAUUCGAUCGUCGGUAUCUCAAUACCUAGUUCAAUCUCAUUACCGGCAAGUCUCUUUACUCGUUAUGUAAUGCAUCAUUCUGUAACUAACUCAUUAGUUACAUUGCUUGCAAGGCUUAUAGCGAUGUGCAUUACCGAGAGGGCCCAGAGAUACUUCUCUGACAAUUGGAGUGCCAAAACGUAAUCUCGAAAUACGCCAACUCAACAUGUACCUUUGGAGACACAUGUAGAGCUCCUUUAUAAUCACCAAGUUACGUUGUGACGUUUGGUAGCACAGAAAGUGUUCCUCCGGUAAACGGGAGUUGCAUAAUCUCAUAGUUGUAGGAACAUGUAUAAGUCAUGAAGAAAGCAAUAGCAACAUACUAAACGAUCAAGUGCUAAGCUAAUAGAAUGGGUCAAGUCAAUCACAUCAUUCUCCUAAUGAUGUGAUCCCAUUAAUCAAAUGACAACUCAUGUCUAUGGCUAGGAAACACAACCAUCUUUGAUUCAAUGAGCUAGUCAAGUAGAGGCAUACUAGUGACAUUAUGUUUGUCUAUGUAUUCACACAUGUAUCAAGUUUCCGGUUAAUACAAUUCUAGCGUGAAUAAUAAACAUUUAUCAUGAAAUAAGGAAAUAAAUAAUAACUUUAUUAUUGCCUCUAGGGCAUAUUUCCUUCAAAAAUGCCCCCCAGGAAACCACUAGGGCCACCGUAAUCUCCUCAUGCCCUUGCACAAUGCAAGAUGCCAUGAUUCCACUAAGGGACCCUUGAGGGCAGUUAUCGAACCCGUACAAAUGGCAACCCUAGGGGGAGGUCACCGAACCCGUACACUUUGGCAACCCUUGGGGCGGUCACUGGAACCCGUACAAAUUCCUCGGUGCAAUCUCCACAACCUAAUUGGAGACCCCGACGCUUGCCCGGAGCUUUACACCACAAUGAUUGAGCUCCGAGACACCACAAACCAUCUAGGACGCCCAAGCACCCAAGAGGAACAAGCUCUAGGGUACCAAGCACCCAAGAGUAAUAAGCUUCUCAACUUUUCACUUCCACGUAUCAACAUGGAGAACUCAAAUUGAUGCAACUAGUGCAAAGGCAAGGGCACACGAAGUGCCCAAGUCCCUCACUCUCAAAUCCCAUCAAAGCAACAAAAGCUAUGAAGGAAAAUGGGAGGAAGAACAAGAAGGAGAACACCAAGAACUCCAAGAUCUGGAUCCAAGGGGUUCCCCUCACAUAGAGGAGAAAGUGAUUGAGGAAAUGUGGAUCUAGAUCUCCUCUCUCUCUUUCCCCCCAGAAAAUAGCAAGAAUCCAUUGAUUAAUUGAGAGAUAGCCAGCUCGAAGAAGUUCAACAAUGGGGGAAGAACACGAGCUCAAAGGAUAAGAUGCAAUGGGGAAGAAGACCCCCUUUUAUAGGCCUCUCCAAAUCCAACUGUUAUGCACACAGCCCAUGCACAAGCGGUAGUACCGCUCGGGCGAGCGGUACUUCCACUGGCAUGGUAGUUUCAUCCAUAAUGAGCAACUAAGAAACUCAAGGAGGCGGUAGUGCUACCGAAGCGGUACUACCGCUCCCAUACUACCGCUAGGCGUUGCGUGUAUAGGUGAAACACCGAUAGUAUAGUAGAGCAGCGCGGUACUACCACCCACUACUGCCGCUCUACUUCCGCACAGAGGAAAAUGUAUCCAGAGGCUAAAAUAUAAUCGGAAGUAGCAGCGGUAGUGAAGGGACCGUGGUACCGCUUAUAAGCGGUACUACCGCCCACUAUUGCUGCUCUACUUCCGCUUGAAGGAAUACAAAGAGCAAAACAUAAGCGGUACUCCAUGCGGUAGCUCAUAGUGUAAGUACCGCAUAAGCGGUACUACCGUGGAGCUGGCCGGAACUACCGCUUGGGAGCUAAAAACUGCCCAAGCACAAAAGGAUGCAAGCGAGACCGAAACUGCCAUAACUUCUGCAAAUGAACUCUGAAUUGAGCAAACUCAAGCUUGUUGGAUAGAUGACGACAAAUAGUAAGAAGUGGCAGGGCAAGUAUGCCUAUUAUAUAUAGGAAUGAAACCUCUAUCAGUGAAGAACCAUCAUAUACUCCCACAUCAAAAACAUCAUAGAGGAUGCACAUGAACUCUGUUUCGAAGAACUCGAGCUUGUCAUGAAGAUGACCAUAAGCUAUAAAACUCACAAAGAGAAACACCAAAUAAGAACCAAGAAAGAUGAUGCAAGGAUGCAAUGGUUUGAGCUCUCUACGAACGAUAUGAUCAAGCUACUAACUUGAGAGCCCCCCCUUGAUAGUAUGACAAUCGAUCAUAUAACCCGGUCUCCCAACUACCACCAUGAGACCGGUAAAAUAGAAAACCUAUCAAGGGCAAACCUUUGCCUUGCACAUAGUCCACUUGAGAUAGAUGAUGACGAUCUUGACUUCCACAAGUUGGACCAUGAUAACCCACAAGUAUAGGGGAUUACAGUAGUUUUCGAGGGUAGAGUCACUACUAGGAAAAGGCCUGCUAGUGGCGCACCUGUUUUGGCUACUAAUGGCGCACUACAGGUUCGCCAGUAGCAUCACGCCAUUAGUAAUUAAUACUAAUGGCGCACCCCUGGUGCGCCAUUAGUAUACCAGAUACUAAUGGCGCACCAGAGAGUGUGCCAUUAAUAUAUCACACGGUGCGCCAUUAGUAUGCCUCCCAGGGGGCCAUAUUUACCCAUGUGCUCUGGCUUACUAAUGGCGCACUUGUAGAUGAUGUGCCACUAGUGUGCUUGUUGCAGUGCGCCACUAAAGUGCAGAGUGGUGUGCCACUAGUAUGAAUAUUAGGGAUUUUUUUUCUUUUCUGAUAUUUGCACAUGUUACAAAACAUAUUACUGCACAGAAUAUAGACAACACAACAUAUAAACAGCAGAUUUAUCGAAUACAAUAGAAGAUUAGUCUCCAAAUACAAUUCAUCAUAUUAGUCUCCGAAUUUAAAAUACCAAACAAAGUUAGAACAUUACAAGUCUCGAGACUGCGAGUAGCGGGUUUGUCUUCACAUUACAAGUCGAUAUCGAUCAUCUAAACUACCAUCACAUAGAAGAGAGCUGCGGUCAUCACGAUGAGCAUCAUCACGAUGAAACUGGUCUUCAACCGGUUCCUCCAACGCUCCCUCCUCUCUCCCGCUAGAUAGCGUGUGUAUCUAACUUCCACCUCCGCCCUAGUGGUGUACCCUUUGUAACUGUUAUCGCUGAAACAGUGAACCUGUCUCCAACACUCCUCCCAGUCGUCGUAGACUCCGGGAACCUUACCCUUGUACACAACAUACGAUGACAUAUCUAUGCACUAGCUAAACAAAAUGUUAGUAGCAAUUCACAGACAAUACAUAAGCAAUAUAUAAGUAUGCAACAAAAGGAUCGGAAGAGAAAAGCAACACAUUAAUAGCACGAUUCAUGGUCCUACUAAUAAAUAGCAUCGAUUACAUAUAAGUUGAACGACUAUCCAAACCAAAGAGACAUACAAGUUCAUUAAAGUUUAAUAUUACAACAUGAGCCAAUCGACAUUUCAGAACUACAUAGCAUCACUACUUUCGACUCGACUCAGGGACCGGAGGGUGGAUGAAGCCGCCGUCUUUCGUGAUGGUCAUGAAAUUGCGGGCGUUGUCAGCCUGCAUUUGUAGCAUUGUUUCUAUCUCACUGUUGGACAGUUGAUAUCUGAGGUAGAACUGCCCCGAGGUACGAAGGACAUCUUGAUGGAUGAUUUUCGCAAACUCCGACUGGAUGCGAUAGAAUUCUUGUCUGAUGUCUGCGUCCUGGAUUGCCGACAAGCGUGUGGCCCCGUACGAUCGCCCACAUGUGAUGGAGGGCAUAGUAGGCAUCCUUUUGACUUCCAGGCGGCUGAUUGACGUAGAGGAACAUCGUAUUGUGGGUGAACAUGUGCUUGCCGUACCUACGAAUUGUCCUGGUGAAGGUGCCUCCAGAUCUGGCGUAGCCGGGAAGAACAUCAUCAAGAACUUUCUUGAUAUUUGUGUAGUCUUUCUUCGACUGACGGUCUGAGUCGAAAUACAUGGCCAUGGAAUAUUUCAGGCUUAAGAGGAUGAGUGUGCAACAUGUGUCACUGCACAAAACACGGAAUGUUAGAAAAAAAAGAACGAUCAAAAUCUAAGAAAUCAUAUGUUACGGGGCGGUGAGGGGAUGACUUACUCGGGAAAGUAAGGCACGAGGAAGUUAUCCUUAUCUGGGUUUGCCAGAAUGACGCCUUCGAGGUGUGAACUCGCGACUUGCCGGUCCCCAGCGCUGCCCAAGAUCUUGGCACGCAUGUAGAAGGGGUCGACUAUCACGAUGUCCGGGGUCUUGUAUCUAAUAAUCCGCAUCUCCAUACUCAGCGAAAAUAGCCGAAUGAAGGUGUAGUGCAGCGGAUGAAGGUUAAACAUAGUGAAGAUGUCAUCAAACCACAGGACGAUUGUACCCCCGAUGGCGCUAUCCACAAAGCCCUUGCCCUCUGGCACCUUGGCCACAAAAAUCGGGUAUGCCACAUCAUUCUCGAAAAGACGCUGCUUCUCCAAAGAAAGAACACUGUCAUGCAGACUCUGCAUAGCACCGGUUGCAGCAUUGAGCAGAUUAGUCGGUAGCAUCGGCCUACCCGCCACAUGCACCCUCCUCGAGAUAUCCUUAGGUGAAGGUGGCCCGUCCUGAGAACGGAUCGUACUCGGUGCCGGCUGGCUCGCACCGCCCUUGUUAUUCUUUUGUUUCCGUCCCAUCUUCUUCUGAUGUAAUGGGAUCGAGUUCUGCUCAGAGACCGCCUUCUUGAGUGUGUUGGGGCUGAUAAUAUUUCGCACCUCAACUAUCUGAGGCUCGGUGAAGGCGGCAGCUGGAGGUGUCUCCUGAGAACUAAACGCCAGAUGACGCCUGUUGCAAUUGGGUUUCUCCGUGGUACCAGCUAGACUGCGGUCGUCUUUUGCAGGGUUGGGUUCUUGAGAAGGAGGCCCCAAGAAUUCGUCACUAUACCCAUGUUCGGCAAAGUACUUAUCAACGUUGGUAAAUGUAUCGUCGUUGUCAUCGUCGUCGUUUGGAUCCUGUGCCAUAUGCAUGUCCGGCAUGUCCAGUAGCGUUGCGGCGGUCUUGCCAUGGCUUGGCACCGGCACGACUAGCGGUGUUGUCCGUGGGGUGCUGUCCCCCGCCCCCAAACGAAUUUGGCUCUUCAGCCAAAGCAGGGGCCAGCUUACGCAGGCGCUGAGGGUCAUCAAAUCAUCUUCGUCGGCCCCAGUGGGUCGAAUCAGAGGUAAAAACUCGUCGUAGCCUGGCAGCACCCGAACCAGUUCAACCAUAUACACGGUGGGUGGCAUCGGAUUACCGUGGAACACGGGGUUGCCCGGUUGAACGAUUCUGCCCUUGGCAACAUCGAUCAACUCGCCGCCCACGAAGUGCAGGAGAGUGCAUGGAAUGUCGGCGGCACCCUGUGAAAACAUGUAGGGCGUCAGGGAUGCCCAGUCAAAGGCAAGGAGAUGAAGUCAUCGGCCGAGAGGCUUAGUUACCGUGAUGGCGUCGAUCUCGGCUAAUGUCGAGGCACCGCCAAUGGCGGGCAUGCAACUGACGGAGGGGCCGCUUGCUGCCGAGGUGCCGGCCGGCGUACACCCGGGUGCAUUAAGCUCCAAUGCCCGUGCCGGCGCCGGAGACACCAAUACCGCCUCCGCCAGAGACACCAAUGGCGCCACCUGCGCGUUGUGCGCGUUGCUGGCCGUGAAGCUGGGAACCGGGGGCGGCCCCUGUUGGCCGCCCACAAUCCACGCCUGCAGCCCCUCAAUCAAGGUAGGCACAAUGGCGGUGAGCGUCGUUCCCAGUUGGUGUUGCACUAGCUCUUGGACCAUCUCCGGAAUCCGCACCACUUGUGCCUUGAGUUCUUGAACCUUGCGCGACUGGCUUUCUGAGCUGGUCUUUCUCUCCUUUCGCCCACCUGCGUUAUAGUAUGACGACCAUUUUGUGGACAAGCCUUUGUCGGCCACACGACCAGCUGAUGACGGCUUACUGAACUUAUCCUUGUUUUUCAUUAUGUUGAACGCCCUAUUUAAAGUGUUGUCCCAAGGGGAGCUCUGAGACGACCCCGCGCUACUGCUUUCAGUCUCCCGCGGAAGGAAUGUGAACCAUUUAGAAAUUUGGCUUCAUUAAUUAGAAUGCAACCAUAUGGAGCUAAUUACGCGGGGGUGUAUUCCUUACCAGAACACGCUCAAGCGCCUUGGUCUUCGCAUCCGUGGUAAGCUCCUUUGUUACUGGGUCCUCCUUGUACCGGUCCCUGACAUAGUUCCUGGUCUGCUUGUCACAGUAUUUCUCGAAGCGGGGCGGUAGGCCUUGCUCGGCACGCUCCGCAUCCUCCUUGUCCCAUAUAAGUUCCGCCACUCUGUAACCGCCGGGACCGAGUUGGUGGACCCCUAAAUUCAAGUCCCGCAUUUCUUUCCUCCACUGACUUGAUUCCACGGUCGUGCUUCUCUCACACUUGAUCUUGAACUCCUUGUAGUCAUCUUCGUUGAUCGAAGGAUUUUUCGCCUUGAUCUUCUCAUAACUAUCACCUUUGUCAAUCAUUCUCUUCACCGCGCUUCUCCAAGUAGACAGGGCCGUGCUCAUCUUCAUGAGGGCGGCACUGUUCACUUUAUUCCCUGAGAGGCGUUUGUUUGCAAAAUCAGCGGGGAACUUGUAUCGUUCGUGUAGCUUCAUGAAGAGGAGGCUGCGCAAAUUCCCUCGGUCAGGAUGCCUUAGGUUCUCGGUGUUGAUCGAGACGGUGCUCCGAAGAAUGCACCCGAGCUGAACCGAGUACCCCUUGACUAAUUCUUUGGGCACCGUUGGAUGCCCGUCGGAGGACACUUCAGUAAAUUCCUCCUUGACGGUGCCGAGCAUGUUCGGGCGCCGGUCCUUCUGUUGCCUCUUUGGUUGGCUGCCAUCUGUGUGUGCGCUGCCAUCAUCAGUGGUGGCAUCCUCGGCGGCACCAUCAGUGGUGUCAUCCCCGACGCCACUAGGGGUUGUGUAGUCAGGAUCGGUGUCUUCCGCGGCAUCCUCAUAGCGGUGAGGUUCUUCCUCCAUCUCUUGGGACAGCUCACAGAAUUGCUUGCCCGAACCGCCGGCCUCAUCGUUGUGGGCCAUGUUUUGCUCUAAAUAGGAAAGAAGUUUGGUCAAAAAGUUGGUUAUUGUCAAGGAACAAGAUCAUGGUCUCAUCAUUUAGGAUUUAUCGACAUCGAGGCAUCCUAAAAGCUAAGCUUUUAUCGUUUAGGGUUUGUCGACGCCGUGGCACCCUAAAAGCCUAAGCUUUCAUCAUUUAAGUUUUUAUCGACACCGAGGCACCCUAAAAGCCAAGGUUUUAUAAUUUAGGGUUUGUCGACGCUGAGGCACCCUAAAUGCUAAGUUAAGUUUUCAUCAUUUAGGGUUUAUCGAUGCCGAGGCACCCUAGGUUGACUGAUAUAUAUGGGUAUCUUCUAAUAAUAUACCCUAUCAAGAAAAGGGAAGGAUAAUUCUAAGUUGGGCCAAAUCACUUGGCUCUAUUACCACCUAUGGUUUAAUGCAGCAAGAAUAAAGGGGCAGUUGAUCCUACUUAAUUAAGUACUAAGAUACCCCGACCCAUGCAUUAGUCGCAAGUACCCCAUAUGUCCUAUUUUUAGCAAAGUCAUGCUAAAAUUCACGGAAAAUUUCAGCAUGACCUUUGCUGAAAAUAGGACAUAUGGAGUACCCAAAUUUGCCGGAACGGAAGUUAAUCGACAUUCCGGCAAACUCAAGGGCCUCUCAGGGUACCUGCAAAAUCAUUAUCCCCGCGUAAUGAAGUAGCCAAUGGGUCAUUUCAAAAUAUCACAAGUAGCAUCAUCACAAGUACAACAUCAUCACAAGUACAGCAGCAGUAGCAGUGAAUACAGGCAUAACAGCAGCAGCAACAGGUUUAUUCUUCUUCUUCAUAAACACUAGUUGUCUAAUUGAGCAAUACAGCGACAGUGUGAACAAAUAAAAACACAAACUACACCUACAUAUUUGGGUACCUCUAUGGUAGUAACAUGCCAUGCUCUGCCUAGAGCUACUGCAGCAAUCAUUGUUAUACAUUUCUCUGAAUAGUAUAUAUGGCUUGAAAUGGCAGAACAGGUUACAGUAAUUAGAUGAAUGAAAUGCAUAAGUGUCGAAUCAAAACAAUAUAAAAAAUACCAUGUUCCCUAUGCUGUUUUGAUACACGAUAUGGGUGAAGUGACAUGACACUUCCAAAAACAAGGAUACAACAAUCACUGGUCCCAAAUGAUAAUACAAGGUGGUGUAGAUCUCUAAGGAGCGGCAUUAAAAGGGAAGGGCAUGCGGCAAGAUGCCAUCAAGCUCCCAGCAACAAUGGUCGGGGAGCAUGUCCACAUUAUGCAUGAGAGGAAGGCUUGUAUACAUUAUAAAGUAUGUUUUAAAUAUUUAAACAUCGACAUGAUUCAGAUACUGAGAAAAAUAGAAUGGAAUCAUUGUUAUAGGAUGCAACAGCUAUGACAACUCACUGAAGUAUCAGGGAAAUCUUUACCUAGCAACACAAGUUAAUAGGCUGAUAUUUUCUCCAUAUUUUUAUUGAAAAGGAAGUUCAAACCUCCUGGCAGUCACAAGUGACAGGAGCUGUGCCUACCACUAGGAUGACCACUUUAAUUUUUUUGCUUCUUUUUUUGAGAUAGAAGCACUUUCAGUCUCAGAAACAAAGAUCACACAGCUUUAUAAAAUCAACUUUACAGGAAGUAUUCGUGUAAGGAAACAUUAAUAAGUAUCUAAGUGUUUUUAGUUCAUUUUAUACAAAAGACAAACAACAACCCUUUUCUUUUGCAUCGGAAGAAAAUUCUAGUACUAUGUGAUAAGCUUUAGAAAAUGGAGUACUUACAGCAACUAUGCAGGCAAUCAAUCCAGGCUUCUCCCGGUGAUCCAAAGAAACAAAGAAUAGAAGAAAAGCACCAAUAUACCAGAGAAUUGCAGCCAAGAAGAACCCUAGUAAGAACCUUCAAAACAAAACCAACCUAAAGUCUUUAAUAUGGAUUGAUUGUGCUUUCAUUUUAAAUUUGCAGGUAAGAACAAUGAACUUAUAGAAACUCCUUAAUAUGAAUAUUAUACCGAUGAUAAAAGAUGUCAGAUUACUAGUAGAUAGCAAAGCAGUAGACAACACACUCAGAAGUAACCAUGCCAGUUUAGGAUAAUCCUCUGCUGAUGCAUCAACUUAUAUCCUAAUCCAAUUCCAGUACCAUUUGAUCGCACCAUAUAUUAUAAAUAUGGCCAUGGGCCCUUACCAACCUGACCAAUACGAGUACUAGCACCUCACAAAUUCUCACUAGCAAGCAUAUCUUCCAAAUGCUGCUCGCCGAACUUGUUAAUGAAACAGUUACUCAUGCAAUCCCCCAUUCACAUACCAAGUACUCAUACAGUCGUACUGAACCAAGUGCUCAUGUUGUUACCUUCUUCAAGAGCUUCCUAAUUUUGCCACACCGAUCACAUUGGAGACAAACACCACCAAAAUGAAGGACACUUACAAAGCCCAGCCAACGCCGACGCCAUAGAACGGCAGUCGCGGCUCCCGGACUGGGAGGCCCUCCACCAAGACCUGCUGUUGGAUAGUGCACGGGAAAGCAACAACGCCCUGAGCAGGAAAGUGCUGCUGGAUAGUGCAGAGGCAGGGAAGUGUUAGUACCUGUAGAGAAACCUAGGGGGAAGGAGGGGAGGAGAGAGGAGGAAUCACCUAGAGGAGAACGGCAGGCAGCUGUAGGAGGACGCUGGCGUCGAGGAGGCUGCGGGCGGUGGCGCGUCGAGGAGGCGGCACGUUCUUGCUUCCCCAAGGACCGAGACGGCGAGGCGGGCCGGUGGCAGCGUUGGAACCCUAGCGUUGUUCGGUCGGAGCACCUCGUCGGAGAGGGCGCGACGGUCAUCAGAGCGAGCGAGAGGGUCGUCAGAGCGGGUGUGGAGCGGGCGCAGGGAUCAUCGGAGCGGGUGUGGCGAGGGAGGGAAGGGGGAUCUGGCGAGGGAGGGACGAAGGGGGAUCGGGCGAAGGGGGGAUUAGCUAGAGGGGGGAAGGUUAGUAAUGGCGCACCCCCUAGCGGUGCGCCAUUAGUAAUCUUUUUUUGGAUAGCGAUGUCGCACCUCCUGGCAGUGCACCAUUAGUAAUCUUUUUUUGGAUAGNNNNNNNNNNNNNNNNNNNNNNNNNNNNNNNNNNNNNNNNNNNNNNNNNNNNNNNNNNNNNNNNNNNNNNNNNNNNNNNNNNNNNNNNNNNNNNNNNNNNNNNNNNNNNNNNNNNNNNNNNNNNNNNNNNNNNNNNNNNNNNNNNNNNNNNNNNNNNNNNNNNNNNNNNNNNNNNNNNNNNNNNNNNNNNNNNNNNNNNNNNNNNNNNNNNNNNNNNNNNNNNNNNNNNNNNNNNNNNNNNNNNNNNNNNNNNNNNNNNNNNNNNNNNNNNNNNNNNNNNNNNNNNNNNNNNNNNNNNNNNNNNNNNNNNNNNNNNNNNNNNNNNNNNNNNNNNNNNNNNNNNNNNNNNNNNNNNNNNNNNNNNNNNNNNNNNNNNNNNNNNNNNNNNNNNNNNNNNNNNNNNNNNNNNNNNNNNNNNNNNNNNNNNNNNNNNNNNNNNNNNNNNNNNGCGGUGGAGCGGGGAAGGGUGCGGGGGGUCGGCAGCGGCGGUGGAGCGGGGGAGGGUGCGGGGGGUCGGCGGCGGCGAGGAGGAUCUGAUGAGGGGGGGUAGCGAUCGAGAUGGAGGGGGAUCUGGCACGGGGGGUGCGCCAUAAGUAACUUUUUUAUUAUUACUUUUAGUUGCGUCUAAUAUUUUUUUAGAAAAUGACGAUCAAAUUUGAAAAAAAUUAUGAAUGUGAAAAAAUAUGAUCAAAUUUGUUAUUUGAAAAUAUUUAUGAAUAUAAAAAAAUAUCAUCAAAUUUGUUAUUUGAAAAAAUCAUCAAAUUUGUUAUUUAAAAAUAUCAUCAAUAUUUUUUUUGGAUUUUUAGUUGCAUUCAUUUGUGAAUUGGUAAAACAUUUAUGAAUAUGAAAAAAUAUCAUCAAAUUUGAAAAAAUAUUCAUGAAUUCAAAAAGUGCCCAUGAAAUUUAAAAAUAUUCAUGAGUUCAAAAAAUAUUAACAAAUUCAAUACUUUUUGUGAGUUAGAAAUUCAAUACCAUAAUAAACAUAAAUAAAUAUUCAUGAGGACACUAGAACGGAAGAAAUAUCAUUUCAAUAUCUCGAAAUACAAUCGAGAAAUGAAGGCUACAAUUUACAUACAAUCGAUCUUAGCUAGCUAUAUGUUCACAAUCUACUUUCCCUUAUUUUUCGCAAAUGGAGUUCUUCUCUUGAACGGACGCCCUUUAGGUAAGGUGGUCCUGCUUCUUCUUGUGGUGUAUGCUGGUACUUCAUCAUCGUCGUCAUGUUCCAUCUUCGGGUGGCCGUACUUGUCGAAGUCUUGCUCAUUGGCGACUCCAUCCAUUUCGAUGAUCUUCCUUUUGCCUCUCCUCACGACGACACGACUGGGCUUUGACGGGUAGGUAAUGAAGAAGCAUUGGUCCACUUGGGAAGCUAGUACCCGUGGCUCAUUUUUCGCGGUGACGUUUGCGCCCGCGGUCUUGGAUUUGGCUUCGGGUAUAACCAUGGUGGUGAAAUACCGAUCUUCUUUUAGGAAGCUCUUGGCCCAUCUGACAGGGAACAUCAGGACCUUCUCUCCAGCGUAGCUCAGCUCCCAGAUCUCCUCGAUCCUUCCGUAGUAUCUGUCCUUGUCGUUACCGGUGUAGGAUUCCAUUGUUACCCCGGAGUUCUGAUAACCAUCGCUCUUCAUGUCCUUUCCCUCGGUGUAGAAUGUGUAGCCAUUGAUAUCGUACGCCUCAUACGUCAUCAGAUUGUGCUCGGCGCCCUAUGACAAGGUGAAUAUGAGUUGUUCUUCCGCGGAAGAAUCCUCAUGUAAAGGGUACGACAGAAGCUUCUGCUUGAACCAACGCGUGAAACAUGAGUUGUGCUCUUUGAUUAUAUCUCCGUUCAUCCUCUGUUGGCCUCAGUCAUUGUACGUCUUCUCAAUAAAGGUUUUGUGCUCUACCACCCAAGGAUCGACCAUGUCUAUGUGUUGUAGCGCGACUAGGUUUGCUCUUUCAAAGUCGGCGAGUCGACCCUCGAAGUCGAGAUGCAUUUCACGGCGACCAUCACGGUGACCCCAUCCAGCGAGCCUGCUGAGGUGCCUGUUGAUGGGAAGACCAACGGUGUUCUCGAUGCCUAGAUAAUUCGUGCAGUAGGAGAUGCACUCUUCGGUCAGAAAGCCCCUGGCCAUGCUUCCCUCUGGACGUGACAUGUUGCGAACGUAUCCUUUGAUGACACCAUUCAUCCUUUCGAACAACAUCAUGCUGUGCAGGAACGUCGGCCCGAGUUGGAUGAUAUCCUCCAUGAUAUGGACCAGCAGAUGCACCAUAACGUCGAAGAAUGCGGGCGGGAAGUACAUCUCAAGCUCGCAUAGUAUCACCAUGAUCUCUUCAUGUAGCCUUCUGAGUUGCCUCACGCCAACCGACUACUGAGAGAUGACGUCGAAAAAGUUGCAUAGGACAAAUAGCGUUUCACGGACGUGCGCGUCCAUGAUCCCACGGAUUGCAACUGGAAGUAUCUGCAUCAUCAGCACGUUACAGUCGUGAGACUUCAUCCUGCUGAACUUCUACUUCGCUGAGUCUAGGUAUCUGCUUAUCUUCCCCGCGUAACCGUAAGGAAGUUUUACUCCUACGAGGCAGGUGAAAAACUGAUUGAUCUCCUCCUGACUUAGAGUGAAGCAUGCGGGAGGGAAGUCAUUUCCGGUCUUCUUGGCCUUUUUGCCUUUGCGACGACUUUCCGUGUCCUGCUUCGCCUCAUCAUCAUCAUCAUUAGCGUGAAGCUCCUCCCUGAUGCCCAUUGAUUUCAAGUCUGCCCUUGCUUUCGGCCCAUCUUUGGUCCUCUCUGGCAUGAGCAGGGUACCAAGCAGACUCUUACACACGUUCUUCGUGAUAUGCAUGACAUCAAGGCUGUGAGGCACACGGUGGAUCUUCCAGUACAGCAAGUCCCAGAAAACAGACCUCGUUUUCCAUACCUUCAGCAGCGGCUCUGGUGCCUUUCGCUUCUUUCCCAGCUCUGGCGCCUUUUGCUUCUUUCCCAGCAGUGGGCAAUCUUUCCAAUUUUUCAAUAGCUCGUCUAUUUCCUUGCCACUCCUCGUACGCGGGCGUCUUCGGGGUUCGGUUUCACCAUCGAACAUAUCCUUGCGUUUCCUCCAUGAGUCAUCAUCGCAAAGCCACCUUCGAUGUCCCAUGAACACGGUUUUUGAAGACCCGGGAUUUCUAUCUAGCUGGCGAUACGUUGUGUCAUCCAUGCACCUGACGCAUCCAGAAAAUCCGUGGACCACCUUCCCCGCGACAUAUCCGUAACCGAGAUAGUCCUGCACCGUCGUGAGCAGUGCGACUCUCAUAGGGAAAUAUUCUUUCUCUGCGGCGUCCCACAUAUUGGCUGGCGUUUUCCAUAGCGUGUCUAGCUCCUCUUUCAGCAGCCCCAUAUACAGAUUGAUGCCAUUCCCUGGUUGUUUCGGCCCUUCAAUUAGCAUACUCAUGUGAAUGUACUUCCUCUUCAUGCACAACCAGGGGGGAAGGUUGUAUAUCCACACAAACACAGGCCAGGUGCUAUGUGUGCUUCUCUGGCUGCCAAACGGAUUGACUCCAUCGGUGAUCGCGCCCAGUAUGAUGUUCCUUGGAUCGUUCCCAAAUUCUGGGUGUUCGAAGUUCAACGCUUGCCGCUGGCUCGCAUCCUUAGGGUGACUCAGCAUCUUGUCUUUUUUAUUUAUCUCUGGAUCAUUUGCGUCAUCUUCUCACUUCUUCUCCUCCCUAUCCGCGUGCCAACGCAGGAGCUUUGCUACCUUAGGGUCCGCGAAAUACCGCUGCAGACGAGGAGUGAUCGGAAAGUACCACACCACUUUUCAAGGAGCUUUCUUCCUCUUCUUGUAUCGAGUGACGCCGCACACCGGUCAUAUGGUAGACUCUGCGUGCUCAUCCCGAUAAAUGAUGCAAUUGUUCAUGCACACAUGGUAUUUCACGUGUGGUAAAUCCAGAGGACACACGAUUUUCUUCGCCUCCUCGAAACUGGUCGGGCACUUGUUCCCCUUGGGAAGACGUUCGUGCCAGAAUGACAUGUUCUCGUUGAAGCAUGCGUCGGUCAUUUUGUGUUUUACCUUCAUCUCCAGAGCCAUGAGCAUUACUUUCAGGCAGGUAUCCUCGGGCCUGCAUCCUUCAUCCAAUGGAGUAACCACGUCUAUCUCCAGUUGAUCCAUCUUGGCUUUCUCUCGGGCGGCAGCUCUUGCGUUAUCGGUCUACUUGAGAAGCAGCUCUUGAAUAUGAGGGUCCUGCACCCAGCCCAUCGAUGGGCCAUCGUCGUCUGCUCCGACAUCUUCAUCUUCAUGAUCAUGCCCUUUGUCUACUCUAGCAUCUUCCUCAUCAUCAUGUACGGCAUCUUCUACAUGAUGACUGUGUACUGCAUCUACUUCAUGAUCAUGUCCUGGAGAUUCUUCGUCUUCUCGCCCGCCCUCGUCGCAGUUGUCUUGCUGCCCUUCCUCAUUUCUUGCCCGGCCCCCAUGGACGACUUCAUAAUCAUCUUCAUCACCUUGCCACCGAUAGCCAUCCAUGAAACCACGCAAGAGCAGGUGGUCCCACACCUGUACAGAAUCCGGGUCCAUAAGGCUCCUUAGCUUGCAUCUUCGACACGGACAUCUUAUCUCCGUCUCGUUCUUUUGAAGCAUCUCGGUCUUCGUGGAGCUCAAAAACCUAUUCACGAUGCCUUCGGUCAUCGUGUGGACCAUGGUCGCCUGCGGGGUAGAGCAAAACGAUAUUUUAGAACCAAGAAAUUUUUUGGCAUGACUUUGCCUAAAAAUAGGACCAAAAAGAAUGCAUAGUGCCAAAUUCUCGCCGAAACGGAAAUGAACAUUCCGGCAAAAUAUUGGCAACUAUCGCAUUUCAAAUACUGGUACCUGCAAACACAAACAUAUAUGCAACACCACAAAUAUAUGCAACACCACAAAUAUAUGCAACACCACAAACAUACAUAGAUCUAGCUAGGCCAUAAAAAGUGCAUGUGCACGUUGUUGGAGGGAGGAAAAAAAGUAGAUCUACAACAUAAAGAAAGCUUUCCCCUUACUUACCUAUCAAAAAAAGGUAAUUUAACCACUUAAUUUGGAUGAAUCUAUGGUGCAAAUGAGGUGAGGAGGAGGAGGCAGCCGAGACAAGCUUGGAGGAGGUGGUGGAGAGAAUGAAGUGGGGAAAGUGAGUGUGUAGGUGGCUGUCCAAAAUAUCUACCUGGUCCCAGGUUACUAAUGGUGCACCACCUACAAAUGCACCAUUAGUAACCCUGGUUACUAAUGGCGCACUAGCUGAUGGUGCGCCAUUAGUAGUUUUGCAAAAAAAAUGAUAGUAGUGGCGCACGGGGUGAGUGGUGCGCCAUUACUAGUUAAAACUAGUAAUGGCGCACUGUGCCCUGGUGCGCCAUUAGUAUUUUUGGAAAAUAAUAAUAAUAAAUUGUUAGUAGUGGCGCACCGUGGGUGUGGUGCGCCAUUAGUGUCCAUCACAUUAAUGGCGCACCAACACAUGGUGCGCCACUGCUAUAUAGUAGUGGCGCACCACAUGACUGGUGCGCCAUUAGUGUCCAUAUUAUCUAUAGCCCUUUUCCUAGUAGUGAGUAUUCAACCCAAUUUAUUGAUUUGACACAAGGGAAUCCAAAGAAUAUUUGCAAGUAUUAGCAGACGAGUUGUCAAUUCAACCACAUCCAAAGAUUUAUUAUCUGCAACAAUAUGAUCAGUAGCAAAGCAAUAUGAUAGUUUUGAUAGUAGUAGCAAUAGCAAUAGUGAUGAUAACAAUGAUAGCGAUUUUGUAGCAAGUAUAACGGUAACAACAACAGUAGUAACUUAGCAAGAACAAUAUAAGAGAAAUUUGUAGGCAUUGGAUCAGUGAAUUCGUUGGAUGAUAUUCAUCAUAUAACAGUCAUAACCUAGGGUGAUACGACAGUAGCUCCCGUUCAUAAAUAUAAUGUAGGCAUGUAUUUCGUAAAUUGUCAUACAUGCUUACGGAAAGAACUUGCAUGACAUCAUUUGUCCUACCCUCACGUGGCAGCGGGGUCCUAUUGGAAACUAAGGGAUAUUAAGGCCUCCUUUUAGUAGAGAAUUGGAACAAAGCAUUAAUACAUAGUUAAUACAUGAACUCCUCAAACUACGGUCAUCACCGGAAAGUAUCCCGACUACUGUCACUCUGGGGUUUACGGAUCAACACGUAAUAGGUGAAUAUAACUUGCAAGAUCGGAUCUAGAACAUAGAUAUAAUGGUGAUAACAUAAACAAUUCAGAUCUGAAAUCAUGACACCCGGGCCCAAAGUGACCAGCAUUAAGUAUGGCAAAGUCAUGUCAACAUCAAUCUCAGAACAUAGUGGAUACUAGGGAUCAAGCCUUAACAAAACUAACUCGAUUACAUGAUGGAUCUCAUCCAACUCCUCACCGACCAGCGAGUCUACGAAGGAAUUACUCACUCCCGGUGGGGAGCAUCAUGGAAUUGGCGAUGGAGAAGGGUUGGUGAUGACGAAGAUCGCAAGAUCCCCCUCUCCAGAGCCCCAAAUGGACUCCAGAUCUGGCCUGCUGAUGAAGAAUAGGAGGUGGCGGCGGCUCCGUCUUGUGAAACGCUAUAAUACUUUCUCCCAGAUUUUUUUCUCUGAAAAUAUGAUUUUAUAGUAUCAGGGUUGAGGUCUGCAGGGCCACCAGGUGGGGAAAACCCACCUGGGCGCGCCAGGAGGAGGGGCACUGGUGGGUUGUGCUCACCCUAGGGCCCCCCUCCGGUGGUUCUUGGCUCCAGUAUUUUUAUAUAUUCUGAAAUAAUUCUUCAAAAAGUUUCAUUCCAAUCUAAGAUUUUUUAUUUCUGCACAAAAACAACACCAUGGUAAUUCUAUUGAAAACAAUGUCAGUCCGGGUUAGUUUCAUUCAAAUCAUGCAAAUUAGAGUCCAAAACAAGAGUAAAAUUGUUAGAAAAAGUAGAUACGAUGGAGAUGUAUCAGACCGCCUUUCUUGAUUGCGUUGGCUGAAUGAAGACUAGUUGAUUGCUCCCCCAUACUCCAUAAUGGGUGAGCCACUCUUCGGCACAUCUUCAUAACUCCAUUGUCACCAUAAUGGAUGGCAAGAAACAAGCAUGAGAUCUCUUCGUGAUGCUCCACUUGAACUUGCACACCGCAAUCUUGAUGAUGAUCACCACUUGAUGUCAUCCUCCAUGGGUUAUAUAAUAUCUUCCUUUUGAUGCACGACCAUGGAAACAUACCGAAGCCCACAAACAACUCGUAGACCAUGGGUUAGUACACAAAAACUAAUGGACAAUGCUAAUUAUACCAUGGGAUCACUUGAUCCCUCUCGGUACAUGUUGUAUGCUUUGUGUGUUGAUCAACUUGAUUCACUCUUUGACUUGGUCUUGAUCAACCUUGUAUCAUGUCUUCUACAUGACCAAUCUUUGGAUAAUUCCUUGAAUAGCACAUUGAUCAUCACAUAAACUCCUUGAAACGAACACAUGGACUUUAAGAAAUGCUUAUGGGCAAAUCCUUCAAAUAUAGCUCAAGGCAACCAUUAGUCCAUAGAGAAUGUCAUCAAUUACCAAAACCACACAUGGGGGCACCAUGCUCUUUCAAUGUUGAUUUCAAGAUGACACCAAAUACACCUAGUCUUCGCAACAACACAAUUCAAGAGCUACCUACUGUGAGGAUGCAUGCACCAAUAUUCUUUUUUAAAACAAGAUAUAACCUCACCAAAGCAGUCAAUGAACAAGAAAACAUCAACAUCAAUCACCAACAUUGGCAACCCCUGAGAAACAUUCUCCAGCAAUGAUGUCUCUAGGAAGGGAAGGAGCAGUGCACAAUUACCGUCACAGUACAAGUAAUGAAGCUACACGUUAAGUUUAUUGCCAUCAUAAUACACACUUCAGCUUUUUGGUGAACUAUCCAUGCAAAGCACCAUCUCAUUCGCCAAAAGCUCCAGCUGAAAGAGAGGGCAAAUCAUUAUACUCUAACAAUCUUCUUCUAUCUAUGCUCCAUUGAAAUUACAGUGUGGGUAUUGGAAGCUAUGUUUUGCGAUUCGAAAGCAAAAUAAUAAUAAUCUAGACCUUAUAGAAAAAUAAGCAGUAAUUGCAAAAUGUUGAUACGGAGGACUAAAUCCCAGAUAGAGAUGUUUGAAAAUUUCAAGUCCCAGUCCCAUUUUUGUCAAGUAGUAACCGCAACACCUUCUAUGCUUUACUUCCUACCUACCACCUCACCGAAAGAAUCAAUUUCUGUCAUUUUACUAAGAAACACAAAACUGUGAAUAUAAUAGGGAGGGCUACACUUAUUUGUCUAGUUAUUUCUUUAUUGUAAACUAUAUGCAUCCAACCAAUUCACGCAUUAGUUCAAUGAUUUUAUCUCAAGUAAACCAUAAUGAUGAAAUAUGUCAUAGUUGAACUAUUAGGUUUUGUGACAAAUGGCAUAACGGACUUCCUUUGGAAAUCCUUUCUCUCAACUAAGCAAGUUUAUGGGGCUUCUACGCGAGGUACAACUCCCACAAACAAACUAGGUUACAAUGUGUUCAACCGCCUUUCUAGAAACCAUUGAAGCACCAAAUACAAGAUUAUAUGUUCACUAGGGAGAUACUGCAUUCAGUUCGUCAGGGUUUGUAUAGCAUUCCUAGGUGAAUGGUUUGACUCAUACCUGACAUGCACCGCGUAUUGAAACCUUGAGACAUAAUGUCGAAAAACACAAAUUGAUAGCUAACUAUAUUAGAUCUAGAAACAUCGACCCUCAUUUUUUUAAUCAUAAAGUGAUUUUACAAACCCCCGACAUGUUGUGUUUGGCGUGUACACGUAAUAGAUUAAUGGGCCUAGCAAAAAAACAAGACAAAUGCUAGGGAUGUAUGCCUCUGUUUUUUUAUUUACCCCGCAUAUUAGUUUAACUGAAGUCAAAUGUUAUAAAGUUUGACCAAGUUUGUAGGAAACAAUAGGAACAUUUAACAUAAAAAACCUAUGUCCUGUGAAAAUAUAUUCAAUGAUGAAUCUAAUGGUAUUGAUUUGUGGUGUAUAUGUUACUAUAUUUUUGUACCACUGUCGGUGUUAAAACCGGCGGAUCUCGGGUAGGGGGUCCCGAACUGUGCGUCUAGGCGGAUGGUAACAGGAGACGAGGGACACGAUGUUUUACCCAGGUUCGGGCCCUCUUGAUGGAGGUAAAACACUACGUCCUGCUUGAUUAAUAUUGAUGAUGUGUGCUACAAGAGUAGAUCUACCACGAGAUCAAGGAGGCUAAACCCUAGAAGCUAGCCUAUGGUAUGAUUGUUGUUCGUCCUACGGACUAAAGCCAUCCGGUUUAUAUAGACACCGGAGAGGGUGUUACACAGAGUCGGUUACAAUGGUAGGAGAUCUACAUAUCCGUAUCGCCAAGCUUGCCUUCCACGCCAAGAAAAGUCUCAUCCGGACACGGGACGAAGUCUUCAAUCUUGUAUCUUCAUAGUCUUGGAGUCCGGCCGAUGAUGAUAGUUCGGCUAUCCGGACACCCCCUAGUCCAGGACUCCCUCAGUAGCCCCUGAACCAGGCUUCAAUGACGAUGAGUCCGGCGCGCAUAUUGGCUUCGGCAUUGCAAGGCGGGUUCCUCCUCCGAAUAAUUUAUAGAAGAUUGUGAACACCAGGAUAGUGUCCGGCUCUGCAAAAAUAAUUUGCACAUACCACCAUAGAGAGAAUAAUAUUUCCACAAGUUCAAUCUGCUGACGUAUUUGAUGGCAUGACGUCACACCGCUACCAAGCCUUUACUUAAAUCGUUUUUAUUGUACCACCUCAGCGCGUUUAGCGAAGCGGUUUCCUUGGCACGUCUUGUCGAAGCAGAGAUCAUGUUCCCCUUAUUCCGGGAUUCCCAUCAAUACGGACGUGGGUAACCCAACCGCGCCAUUGAUUGCGGCGCUUGGGGGAUAAGCGAGUUUUAUCAGGCCGGUGGGGACGCAUGUUUUCGUCCGCCCAUAUAAGGGGAUAAAGAUCCAACCCUAUUACCUGCGCCUUCUUCCUCCUUGGCUUACCCAUCUCUGCGAACCCGAGCUCCAGCGCCCAAGCGCGCACAUCUCACCUCAACCUUCUCCAACUAUGUCCGGAGCAGGAGGCAAGUGGAUGGCCUCCUCCAUCACGGAGGGGCAGAUCUAGAAGCUGCGCAACGCCGGAUACUUGUCCAGCGACAUCGCGCACCGGCUCCCCAAUGAGGGAGAGCUCAUCCCCACCCCCAAGCCCCAUGAGAGGGUAGUAUUCCUUCCCCAUUUCCUCCGCGGACUGGGCUUCCCACUCCAUCCCUUUGUCUGGGGGCUCAUGUUCUACUACGGCCUGGAUUUCCAUGAUUUGGCCCCGAAUUUCAUCCUCAACAUCUCGGUGUUUAUCGUUGUGUGUGAGGCCUUCCUCUGCAUCCAGCCCCACUUCGGCUUGUGGCUCAAGACCUUCAGUGUCAAGCCGAAGGUUGUGAAGGGCAGCCAAGCGGAGUGCGGAGGCGCCAUGGUGGGCAGGAUGUCCCAUGUUACUUAGCUCGAGGGAACUUUCGUGGAAACCAUCAAGGGGUGGCAAUCGGGGUGGUUCUACAUCACCGAGCCGCGUGAUCCCGAAUGGGCAGCGGUCCCCGAAUUCAGAUCCGGCAUCCCCACACGGCUCACCUCCUGGAAAGAGAGCGGCCGGACAUGGGGUGAUUCGGAGGAGCUGACAGGACUCCAAGCUUGUAUCCAAAAGCUAGUGGACAAGAAGCUCAAGCUUGUCAACGUAGUCCAGGUCAUGCUCAUCUGCCAGAUUCUCCCGUGCCAACGACGGGGCUUCAACAUGUGGGAGUUCGAUCCGGCACAGCACCAGACUUUGAAUGGGCUCUUCGACACUACAUACGAAGAUGUCUCGAAGGUGCUAUUCAAGGGCGCCGAAGCUCCCGCAUCCGCUACCGAAGAUCGCGGAUUCAGCUCAGAGCGUCCAGCUGAUGAGGUAAGUUAUUUUGUCCUUUAAGGGACGCUUGUUUUCCAUAGUUUGACUCUAUGCGGGAUCUAAACUCCCUUUCCUUUGACAGGACUAGAUGAAGAAGGCCGAACAGGCUAUCUGUCCGGCCCCAUUGCCAGAGGACCCAGCGGAUGCCCGUUUGACGGGGCUGCUAGCUUCGGCACCCCAUGUGGUGCCGGAGAAGAAGGCCAAGAAGAAGGUCACAGGGACUCGGAAGAGUUCCCGCUUUCAGGUGCUAUCGGAUGACGACUCCGAGGCCGACUCCUCUCACCAAGGUGAGGAGGAGAAGAAGAAAGCCUCUUCCCCAGCGGGGGGAGAGAAGAAAAAGAAGGCCUCCCCAACGAGGGAGGCCGAGGGGUCCAAGAAGGGAAAAACUCUUCCCCCGGACUGCUCUGCCAAUGCCAGUGAUGACGACGAGGACUGGCCUCCAAGGGCCAAGCCCUAGGCGAGAUCGUGAGUAUCCGGACUCCCGAAUAACUUCAUGGUUUAUCUUUUUUGCCACACAAUGUCUUUCUAAUGCCGCAUACAACCCUGCAGUCCGCCCAAGGACGAUCUUCCCGCUUCGUCGAGCGGGUCCUUAGGUGCGUCGGAUAUGGAUUCUCUUCCGACCGCCUCCACCCCCCGUGACACGGACGAUGCCAAGGUGGGAUCCCGGGAAGGGACCCGCCAGGAGGAGGAGGCCCCGGAGGUGUCGCAGGACAACCUCCCGGACUUUGCACCGGACUCGGCUCCGGAUCCCAUAGUGGCUCCGGAGUUCGGCGGGCGGCCCCUUCGUAAGAAGGGCAAGACCGUGACACCGGCAGCCUCCGUCCAACCGAAGGCGCCGGAUAGCUUGCUGGAGGCGCUCAAUGGCGCCUCCAUCAAAGAGGAACACCGCACUGUUAUGAGUGCGGUGAUUUAGAAGGUGCAGCUCGCCAAGAGCGGGCUGACCGAAGCCUGCAACAGCCUUCUAACAGGCUUUGAGGUAAGAAUUUUGAUAUAUGUAAAAUAGUACCGCAUAGACAGUAGCCCCUGAUGCUCGGUUCGGUGUUCGGAAAGAAAAGCCGGACUGAGGAUCUAAGAAGAUAUACGCAGGAGUCAUAAAAAAUAUGUCGAUAUGGGAUUGCAGGCUGCGCUGCUGACCUCUGCCGCACUGACUGCGGAGGUCAAUACUUUGAAGGAAGGCCUCGAGAGGUCCGAGAAUGAGCUCGGCCGUGCCAAGAAGCAGCUCGAGGACAAGGAAGGUGAGUAACACCUUAUUAAAAUUGUACCUUACAGAAAAGGAUUUUGGUUGCAAAAUGAAGGACAAGGAUAACAUGGGUAUUGCAGGGGCCACUAACGAGGUGGCGACCCUGAAAGAGGCGGUGGCUGCGACCGAACACAAUGCGGCCGCGGAGCGCACCGAGCGAGAGAAGCGGGAGGCACGGGUGGCGGAGGUACAGCAAGAGCUCCAGGAUCUCGUGAAAAAACAUGAGAGCCUGGAGCGUGACUCGACGACUCGAGAGUCUGAGCUUGCAACGGCUCUUAAGAGUGCCAAAGCCGCUAAGGCCGAAGCCUACAAGGCCCUCCAGGAAAUCGAGGCGUUGAAGAAAAUAGCAGCGGGUAAGGCAUUUUUCAUGCAAAGUAAGCAUGUGAGUGUUAAUUACCUGUUGCUUACCCGAAUUCGGAGCUCUCCAGGAGCGUUCGCAGAUCUUCCUCGCAGCGUGUCCGAUGCUGCCGCGUUCUACCGGGCCGAGGAGGGGAGCUCGACGGAGAAGGUCUUCUGGUCUCAGUAUGCUGAGGCCGGACAUCCGGUGCCCCUUAGCGACCAGCUAAAGCAGCUGGUCGAGCUCUACAAGGUGGCCGAACAGGCCAUGAAGGGCCUCAUAGUUCGGCUGUGGCCUAAGGAGGCCAUGCCUGGGAGCUACUUCGGCCUGGUGCGGCGGCUGGUGGAUGCGUGCCCGUGGGUCGAAGUCAUCAAGCACUCCGUCUGUAUUGAAGGUGCCCGUCGGGCCCUUGCCCGCUCAAAGGUGCACUGGGGCAAGAUGGAUGCCUAGAAGCUCGUGACGGACCCACCACCGGAGCGCAAGGAGCAUCGCACGCCCGAGAUGUAUUAUAAGAGUGUGCUGAAGGGCGCCCGCACUAUUGCGGGUGAGUGCUCCAAAGAUGUAAUAUUUGAGUAGACUCGCAUUUUGUUAUCCUGUGCGCUGAAAACUUAGUUCAUUUGCGCUAAGCAACGUGUUUUGAUUUAAAAUAUUACCUUCUGUGCGGCUGUUUAUCAAAUCUGAGAGAUGGCAAGUCGUCGGCUUCAGCCCCCAUGCCACGAGUGCUGGGGUGUUCGGGAUAAACUUGAGCACUCUUGUUCCCAUAUUUGGGUCCAUCUAGGGAGGCGCUCAACACAACGAACAAGGCAACCGGACUUAUAAUGCUUGAACACUCUCACUUAGCCAUAAAAUUCUAUAAUUUUAAAUUUCGGCGAAGCCCCUAAUCUUCGGAAGGCCGAAUUUGGGGCGCUAUCCAUGCCUUGGCCGGACAAAAACCGGCUCCUCGCUCUAAGCGGCAUAAGUCUUUAGGGACUCACAAAAAACCUCUCGAACAGCGACCAGCUCUCACCUCAUCAUGACGGUCAGUUUUAGCUUUCUCCACUGAGGCGUUAACCCAGCUCAACUGGGGCGCAAUCGCAGUGGUUCUCCCAGUGCUACCUUAGCCGAUACAACGGAACAUAAGGUACCAAAACAUGGGAGCCGGGCAAACCCAACUAUUGACCCAAGACAUGAUUCGGAGCUGAUGCAUAUAUUGCUAUAAGUUCGGGGUGCCGCACUUGUGAAAGUGUUCGGACUUAUCACACCAUGAUGCGGGAAACAUAAGCCCCUGGUGUAUUUAGCCAUACCAGAACGUACGGAUGCGUAAUGUCACAAAUGAACAUAUGUAUAAAAAAGAAAUGCAAUUGCAAGCAAAAAAAGGUGCUGCAUUACUUAUUAAAGAAAAAUUGUUGUAAGUGCAGAACGAUACAAAUGGUGCGAUAAGCAAGGGAUGGGACUGUUAAACAUGUCCCCCUCCAGGGGUAGGCUGCGGAAUGGUGCAUAAAACAGAUUUAAUGCUCGUAAUGGAGACCACCUGGAUAGUCGUUGUAGCCUUUCUUCUUCCCUAGCUAUUGCAUCGUGAGUUCGGCAGGUCUACUACCGGACAGGGCCUCUGACGAACGGAGUCCUGUGGGUAAAAAUAAAAAAAAGGAAAAAGAAAAAAAAGAACGACACACUUGAGAGCCCCUGGUGUGGUUGAGCCGCAGUCUGGGCCUAUCGUGGUCGUGCCCCUCUCCCCAUGCCCAUGGUAUCUUCAGAGCGUAAUGGUGUACGCGAAGGACCUGUCUUGAUGUUUUACAGGGGCUGGGGUUGGGGCCGCACUGCUACGCAUGCUCGACACGUGCCAGGUGGUCUUGUUGUAAGUUACUCCGGGCGCGCUUAGCUGUGUACGGCCGCUUAAUGGCCGAACUCGAGAAUUGCCUUAAGAGGCUGCAUUGUACUUCUGCCGCGAGAGCCGUUGUAUGUUCCUCCGUGCGGAGAGAACGUUCAGUGUUUCCGUUGACCGUGAUGACUUCUCGAGGGCCUGGCAUCUUGAGCUUGAGGUAUGCGUAGUGCGGCACCGCGUUGAACUUUGCGAAUGCGGUACGUUCGAGCAGAGCAUGAUAGCCGCUGCGGAACGGAACUAUGUCGAAGAUUAAUUCCUCGCUCCGAAAGUUAUCCGGGGAUCCGAAGACCACUUCUAGUGUAACUGAGCCUGUGUAAUUGGCUUCUACACCUGGUAUGACGCCUUUAAAGGUCAUCUUGGUAGGUUUAAUCCUUGAGGGGUCUAUGCCCAUUUUGCACACUGUGUCCUGAUAAAGCAGGUUCAGGCUGCUGCCGCCGUCCAUCAGGACUCUGGUGAGGUGAAAUUCAUCGACGAUUGGGUCUAGAACCAAUGCGGCGAAUCCGCCAUGGCGGAUGCUGGUGGGGUGGUCCCUCCGGUCAAAAGUGAUCGGGCAGGAGGACCAUGGAUUGAACUUCGGGGCAACUGGCUCCAUCGCAUAUACAUCCCUGAGUGCACGCUUCCGCUCCCUUUUGGGUAUGUGCGUUGUGUAUAUCAUGUUCAUCGUCCGCACCUGUGGGGGGAAACCCUUCUGUCCUCUAUUGUUCGGCGGCCGGGUCUCUUCCUCGUCAUCGUUGUGCAGCCCCUUGUCAUUGUUUUCGGCAAUUAACUUGCCUGCCUAUUUGAAUACCCAACAGUCCCUGUUGGUGUGGUUGGCUGGCUUUUCCGAGGUGCCAUGUAUUUGGCACAAGCGGUCGAGUAUUCGGUCCAAAUUGGACGGACCCGGAGUAGUUCUUUUAAAUGGCUUUUUCCGCUGACCGGGUUUAGAGCCUCUGAAUCCGGCAUUGACUGUUGUAUCUUCACUGUUAUCGCCGUUAAUGCGGCGUUUGUUUUUGUUGCGAUGCGACCUGCCACUACGGUCCUUGAAAUCCGGACUGCCAGAAUUUUUGCUGAGGUUAUUGCUGCGUGCUAGCCAGCUGUCCUCACCCGUGCAGAAGCGGGUCAUGAGUGAUGUGAGGGCUGCCAUUGAUUUCGACUUUUCCUGUCCUAGGUGCCGGGCCAGCCACUCGUCGCGGAUGUUGUGCUUGAAGGCUGCUAGGGCCUUUGCAUCCGGACAGUCGACGAUUUGGUUUUUCUUUGUUAGGAACCGUGUCCAGAAUUGUCUGGCCGAUUCGUCUGGCUGCUGAAUUAUGUGGCUUAGAUCGUCGGCGUCUGGUGGUCGCACGUACGUGCCUGGAAGUUAUCGAGGAAUGCGGCUUCCAGGUCUUCCCAACUCCCGAUUGACUCUGCUGGCAAGCUGUUAAGCCAAUGUCGGGCUGGUCCUUUAAAUUCGAGUGGGAGAUAUUUGAUGGCGUGAAGAUCAUCACCGCGGGCCAUGUGGAUAUGGAGGAGAUAGUCUUCGAUCCAAACCGCGGGGUCUGUUGUGCCAUCGUAGGAUUCAAUGUUCACGGGUUUAAACCCUUCAGGGAUUUGAUGAUCCAUUACUUCGUCUAUGAAGCAUAGUGGGUGUGUGGCGCCUCUGUACUGGGCGAUAUCGCGACGAAGCUCAAAAGAGCUUUGUCUAUUUUGUUCGGCCCGGCCGGACUUACUGUGUCCGGCACGACGGUUGUCGCCACGUAUCAUGGGGCGCCCACGCGAUCCAUAGAUCGAUCUUGAUUGUCUUGCCUUACCCUCCAAUAUAUCUCGCAAGUCCGGAGCGUUCCCCUGUGGCUUUGUGCUCUUCGAGCGAUGCCGGGGUACGGUUCUAGUGAAGGGCCUAGAAGCCUCUCUGUCACGACCACGGGGUGGUCGGUCAGCCGUAUUGUCUGCUAGUGAUGUAGGUUCGUAUGCCUCCUCCUCUAAUCGGGGGAGCAGCUUGCGUUUAGGGUAACUUUUGGAGGGGCGUUCGAGCUCAUGCUCUUCGGCCGCGAGGACUUCAGUCCAUCUGUCGGCUAGCAGAUCUUGAUCAACUCUAAGCUGUUGGUGCUUUUUAUUUAGGCUGUUUGCCAUGGCCAUAAGCCUGCAUUUAAAACGCUCUUGUUCGACGGGAUCCUCAGGCACGACGAAUUCGUCGUCGUCGAGGCUUGCCUCGUCUCCGGAGGGAGGCAUGUAGUCCUCUACCUCUUCUUCUGCCGCUCUCUCAUGAGGGCUGGCGUCCCCAUCCUCCCGUGCUGAAUUUUGCUAGAGUGGGUUGUCUUCGGCACUAUCUGGGGUGUUAUUAUCUCUGGUGCCGGAAUCUUCAUUCUUGCUAUGGCAGGAUUAGAGCGGCGCCGCUGACGCCGACGCUUGGGCUGUUUCUUGGAGGGGUCAUCCUCCGCUGCCCCUUCGCCAUUCCCAUCCUUUGGGAUAUCCACCAUGUAUAUAUCAUAUGAUGAGGUGGCUUUCCAGUGCCCGAUAGGCGCUGGUUCUUGGUCAUCUCCGGCAUCGUCGUCCAUACCGUCGAUGUCUUCGGAGUCGUAGUCUAGCAUGUCGGUUAGGUCAUCAACAGUGGCUACCAAGUGGGUGGUGGGUGGGUUUUGAAUUUCUUCAUCGUCCGCAUCCCAACCGUCCUGGCCGCAGUCCGGCCAGGGCUCUCCUGAUAAUGAGAGAUACUUUAGCAAACUCAGGAUGUCGCCAAAAGGUGAGUGUUGAAAGAUGUCCGAGGCAGUAAACUCCAUGAUCGGCGCCCAACCGGAUUCGAUUGGUGGGGGCGCGGGAGGUUCGUAGUCCGGCAAGGAGUCCGGCGCCUUGGAGUCACGAGCUUCAUGAGGGACAAGGUCAGUGUUCGGCUCUAUCACCAUAGAGGUUGCAGCCCCCGAGGCGGCGUCUAACCAUCCAUCCUCGAUCUGCGCAGCCGGCUCUGAAUUGAAGAUCGGAGCAGGCUCAAGUGCGGCCUCCAGGGUACUGUCCGGUCGCAGAGCUAAAUCAUGCUCGUCGUGACAGUGCGGCACGCUCGGCUGUGGCUCGAAUCCAUCGAGGAUCAAGUCCCCACGGAUGUCAGCCGUGAAGUUCAAACUUCCAAAUCUGACCUGACGGCCAGGGGCGUAACUUUCGAUCUGCUCUAGAUGGCCAAGAGAAUUGUCCCGCAGUGCAAAGCCGCCGAAUACGAAGAUCUGUCUGGGGAGGAAGGUCUCACCCUGGACUGCGUCGUUGAUGAUGAUCGGAGAAGCCAUUGAGCCUAUCGGCGACUGCACAGAGGAACUCUCAAUGAAAGCACCAAUGUCGGUGUCAAAACCGGCGGAUCUCGGGUAGGGGGUCCCGAACUGUGUGUCUAGGCGGAUGGUAACAGGAGACGAGGGACACGAUGUUUUACCAAAGUUUGGGCCCUCUUGAUGGAGGUAAAACCCUACGUCCUGCUUGAUUAAUAUUGAUGAUGUGUGCUACAAGAGUAGAUCUACCACGAGAUCAAGGAGGCUAAACCCUAGAAGCUAGCCUAUGGUAUGAUUGUUGUUCGUCCUACGGACUAAAGCCAUCUGGUUUAUAUAGAUACCGGAGAAGGCUAGGGUUACACAGUGUCAGUUACAAUGGUAGGAGAUCUACAUAUCCGUAUCGCCAAGCUUGCCUUCCACGCUAAGGAAAGUCCCAUCCGGACACGGGACGAAGUCUUCAAUCUUGUAUCUUCAUAGUCUUGGAGUCCGGGCGAUGAUGAUAGUUCGGCUAUCCGGACACCCCCUAGUCCAGGACUCCCUCAACCACCUUGGUGAAAGAAUAUAAAGUUUAAUUUUACACAAAGCUAAUAUUUGAAGUAAAUAAAGAUGAAAUUGGGUGGGGGAGGGGGUGGGUUGACGACAAACCACGACAUUCUAGAGUGUCCUUUAAUUAAUGUUAUCUCGUUAAGUAAUACUUUGCCCCUAAGAUUCGUAGGAUUCCGAAGGCGUGGAUAUGAAAAAGUAGAUACAAGUACAAUGUGAUAUCCAACUGAAUCAUAAAAUAUUUGUGAAUUUUGAACCAAAGUUUGUUUGAUUGUACUCCCUUCGUUUCAUAUCAGUUGUCAAGUGGUUUGAGUCAAUGCAAAUUUCUUAUAUAAUGCAAGCACAAUGCAAAUAACUACCAUCGCAAACAAUUAUAUGAAAAUCCACUGAAUGAAAGAGGCCCAUCAACUUAGAAAUUCCUUGCAAUAUGUACUCAUAUAAGGCCUUCCUCCUAUGCCCUUGCCCAGGCAGGGGGCUGGAGCAGCAGCGGCCCCGUCCGCCCCGCGAUCCUUGGCUUCUCAAGCCGAGUCGGUCAUGCCGUGUCCAACAUGGAUGGUUCAAAGAGGAGUUCUGGGGGACCACGCACAGGAGGGCUAGGGCUUCCUGGCCCAUGCCGCAAGAUACAGUAGACUUCUGUGUACUUCAAGACGUCAGGGGCAUCGGUGGAACAUCAUCGGAAACCACGAAAGCCGCCAGAUCGAGCCAACCUCCCUACCGUGAAGCCUUUGUCCGAGCGCCCGCCCGACGAGAGGGCAUCGCCUGUUCUCGAAGGAAAAGUGCCGCCAGCGCUUGAGGAGAACCUGGUGGUUGGUGGGGGCGAUUAUGGGGCUCCCUCCGAGGAUGCUACCCGCCUGAAGCCUUCCAUCGGGGGAGCCGAAGAUGUUGUGGCGACGAACCCGUGGGUGCAGACGCUCUUCAUAUGCAAAGCCGGUACACCAAACAAGUGUCAGACUAUGGAGUCUCUGGAGGGGCAGCAGACUCGUGUGGAAGGAGAUAUGCAUGACCAGGACAUGCUGGAGAGAACAAACACCAUGGAGGCAGUCGGCCCAGGGGCCGCUGAUGAACUGACGGGGCUCGUGGAGCCUCGUCAAGAGCAAUGAACAUCCUGAGCUGGAACUGCUGAGGAGGUGGGAACCCUCAGACAGUUUGGGAUCUCGUGAGUCUAGUACAGGCUCACUCCCCUAGUAUCGUUUUUCUUUGUGAAACUAGGUAGUCGAAAAAUGAAAUGAAGAGAUAUCGUGCUCGUUUAGGUCUUAGUGGUUUUGAUGCUUCUGAUAGCAUAGGCUUCAGUGGUGGUCUUGCUUUGUAUUGGCACGAGUCAUUGAGUCUGGAUGUAAAAACUAUUAAUGAAAGAUACAUCGAUGCGUACGUGACUGGUAUGGCAGGUGAGCCACCCUGGAGGCUUACUUGCGUCUACGGCGAACCCCGGACGGAGGACCGUCCUCGCAUGUGGUCUUCCCUUCGGGAACUUCAUCAACAAACCAACAUGUCGUGGACGAUGAUUGGUGAUUUUAACGAAGCCAUGUGGAGUUUUGAGCACUUCUCCGAAACACCACGGUCGGCAGGUCAGAUGAUUGCUUUCAUGAUGUUCUUGAAGUUUGCGGCUUGGGCGACCUUGGUUUUGCAGGCCUUCCAUAUACAUAUGAUAAUCGCCGAGGAGGGCGGGCGAACGUCAAGGUCCGCAUCGACAGGGAUGUGGCAAACAAUUCCUGGAGGGAUAUUUUCUCUCACGCCAAGGUGGAGCACCUUGUGGCGCCCAGCUCGGACCAUCUUCCCAUUUUGCUGCAGUGUGUGAUGGAGGAGCCCGUGCACACAGUCGGGAGAAAAUGUCGCCAAUAUGAGGUUAUGUGGGAGAUGGAUCAUACUCUCCCUGAGGUAAUUAUGAAUGCAUGGACUGAGUUGGGUUCAAUGCUUAAUCUCGGUGAUAUAGCUACUGGUUUGGGUAAUAUGAUGAAUAAGUUGCAGCAGUGGAGUCGUAAGAAGUUUGGUAAUGUAAUCAAGGAAAUUAAUAAAUCUCGCUCUCGUUUAGAGGAACUUAUGUCUAUGAAUGCAGACAGGAAGGAGAUUAGAGCGGCAAUAGACCGGAUGAACGAGCUCCUGUACAGGGAAGAAAUGCUUUGGAUGCAAAGAUCGUGUAUUGCUUGGCUGCGGGAAGGUGACCGGAAUACCCAGUUCUUUCAUCGAAAAGCGGUAUGGCGUGCACGGAAAAAUCGUAUAGAACUUCUUGUCGAUGAGGCAGGAGUGACCCACAAGGACCAUGCUUCUAUGGCGGCUAUGGCUACUGCAUAUUUUUCGAGUUUAUUUGCUGCUGAUACUACCCUGGCUCCAGAACCUGUUAUCGAUCUCAUUAAUACCCGUGUUACUGACCGCAUGAAUGAUGGCCUAUGCGCAGAUUUUUCAGACAAGGAGAUAGCCGAUGCACUGUUCCAGAUUGGGCCUCUGAAAGCCCAGGGACCGGAUGGAUUCCCCGCUUGUUUCUUCCAGCGGAAUUGGGCGGUCAUGAGGGAACAAGUUAUUGCUGGGGUAAAGGAAUUUUUUCGCACAGGUAUCAUGCCCGCGGGAGUGAACAACACAUCCAUUGUUCUUAUACCAAAGGUGGAUAACCCGGAGAGGUUAACAGAGUUCCGCCCCAUCAGCCUGUGCAACGUUAUUUAUAAGGUGGUGGCAAAAUGUCUGGUAAACCGGUUGAGGCCUAUUUUAGAUGACAUUAUUUCACCGGAGCAGAGCGCCUUUGUUCCUGGAUGGAUGAUUACUGAUAAUGCUUUAAUUUCUUUUGAGUGCAUUCACUUUAUUCAGCAGGAGAAAGACCCUGACAAGAGUUUCUGUGCGUAUAAGCUGGAUCUGUCUAAGGCAUAUGAUAGGGUGGAUUGGAUCUUCUUGGAGCGAAUGAUGCAAAAGAUGGGCUUCGCUUGCCAAUGGGUGGACUGGAUUAUGGCUUGCGUCACCUCGGUGAGAUACACAGUAAAAUUUAAUGGAACCCUCUUGGAUUCGUUCGCACCGUCACGUGGGCUUCGACAAGGUGAUCCCCUAUCCCCGUUUAUGUUUCUGUUGGUGGCUGGCGGGCUUUCUGCUUUGUUGAAAGAUGGAGAGGAGAAAGGUGCUUACACACCGCUGGAAAUCUGCCGAAGAGCUCCGGGUGUGUCACACUUGCUUUUUGCGGAUGAUACUUUGUUGUUCUUUAAAGCAGAGGAGGAACAAGCAAAAAAGGUUCAGGAAGUACUUAAUAUGUAUGAACGGGUUACUGGACAGUGUAGUAACCCAGAUAAGUGCAGUGCUCUCUUUGGUCCAUCAUGUGCCGUGGACAUACAGGAUAGUAUACGGGUUGUCCUUCACAUUGGUGUGAGCACCUUUGAGGAAAAAUACCUAGGACUUUCGACGCCAGAGGGUCGUAUAUCACGAGGUAAACUUCAGAAUUUGCAGUCACGGCUGAUGAAGAGGACCAUUGCUUGGGGUGACACUCUUUCUCUUGCUGCCAAGGAGAUUAUGAUUAAAGCAGUCGCACGGGCUAUCCCAACUUAUAUUAUGGGUGUUUUUAAACUGCCUAUGUCAGUGUGUGAUGAUCUGAACAGAACGGUGCGAAAUUUUUGGUGGGGAUCUUCAGAGGGCAAGAGGAAAACUCACUGGUUGGCAUGGCCAAAAAUUCUGGCGCACAAAUCCCAGGGCGGAUUGGGUUUCAAGACUUCCGGGUGUUCAACCAAGCUCUUCUCACGAGACAGGCAUGGUGCUUGCUAGCUAAGCCUGAUAGUUUAUGUGCGCAGGUGUUAAAGGCUCGGUAUUAUCCUGAUGGACGCCUUGAGGAUACAGUAUUUGCCGGAAAUGCUUCGCCUACUUGGCAGGCCAUCCAGCAUGGCCUCGAGCUCCUGAAGAAGGGCAUCAUCUGGCGUGUCGGGAAUGGACAGAGCAUCCGCAUCUGGCGGGACCGCUGGGUACCCCGGGAGCCUUCACGCCAUCCCAUUACACAGCAAGGCACCUGUCGGCUGAGAUGAGUGGCGGAUCUUCUGGAUGAUGCCGGCGCUUGGCAGAUGGACUUGCUACGCCGACACUUCCUCCCGGCGGACAUUGACGCGGUCACCAGUAUCCGCACCUCGCCCCACAUCACCGACGACAUUAUCGCAUGGGCGCCGGAGAAGAACGGUAUAUUCAUCGUUUGAUCCGCCUAUCACUUCGCCAUGGACGAGCGGGAACGUCCACUGGCUACCUCCACGAGCAGGGCACCAGAUGGUCGUCGCGCCAUCUGGAAGAUCAUAUGGGGGUGCCCUGCCCCCCCUAAGGUACGCGUGUUUGCAUGGAGAGUAGUGACCAACUCGUUGGCUACCUGGGCCAACAAAUUUUCUCGUCAUCUUGAGCUUACUGACAUAUGUCCUCUUUGUGGUGUGGAACGAGAGGACGGCUUCCAUGCAUUAUGCAGAUGCCCACUUGCUAGAGAGCUGUGGCGGAAUAUGGAGACGGACUGGCCAAUCCCAAAGCUCGAGGGAAUUUGCAAUAACGACCCAGAGUGGCUGUUUUCCCUCCUGGAACCACUAGACGGAACGGCACGCCUGGUCACCCUCAUGAUUAUGUGGCGAACCUGGUACGUGCGCAAUGAGAUUACUCAUGGAAAGAAGCCACCCCCAACAGAAGCAUCCCGCCGCUUCCCCAACGGGCACAUUAAUUCGCUUCUAUGCAUUCAUCACUACCCAAAUGGAGACGUGGAGAAAGGAAAGAUGAUCCUGCAUGUUACCCCACCGGCCACAACUUUAUGUACUGAGCAGAAGCAGGAGCUACGUUGGGCGCCGCCCGGCCCGAGCUGGACGAAGUUAAACACUGAUGGCAGUUAUGUCCCAGCUACAGGCGUUGCAGGAGGGGGCAUGGUCCUCCGCGAUGACAGAGGAGAGAUCAUCUUCAGUGCGUGUAGGGAGAUACGCACAUGUGAUAACAGCCUGCAUGCGGAACUUGCAGCAUGCAGAGAGGGCUUGGAAUUGGCUUUGCAUCGGACCAACCUACCCAUCGUGGUGGAGCUGGAUAGUGUGGAAGCGGUCACGAGGCUUACAACACAUGUGAUGGACCGCUCACAGCACCGUGUUCUAGUUGACGAGAUUCGGAGGAUAGUUACAUAAGAGGAUAGAGAGAUUUUUUUUACUCACUGUAGACGAUCUCGGAAUAAAGUUAGUCAUGAGUUGGCCGCGUACGGCCGUAGUACCCCCCGCACUGCUGUGUGGUUGCGAUCAGGGUUGGAAUUUGUUGUAAACCUAUCCAAGGCUGAUAAGCCUCCUUGAGUAAUGAAAAUCUCCUUUCACCCUGCAAAAAAAUGUACUCAUAUAAGGCUAGCUUUUUUUCCUGUUAAAAAAGAUAAAUAAUGGAGAAAUAUUUGGGAAGAUAACACUUGGCACUCGGUUGGUGGAACACGUCACAAUAUUAUUUCGAAUUGAUCUGUAACCAGAAUCUCAAUGCAAAAUACCCCAAGCAUACAACCGAGACCACGCAUGCACCCCAUCGCAUGGCCUCCACACGCCUUGUCGAUAUCCAUGGUGGCAUCUGCGCCGGCCGGGUGUCACGGAUCCCCCUUCACUCCCUCAGCGUGUGAACGUGGACGCUCCAACCCAACCGUGCCCCGUGUUCAGGAUAAGCUGGCCGGCUCGUCCGCCCUUCUUAUUGCCGCUGCUUCUCAUCUCACACGCUCCAACACUAUCCUCUCCUCCACCGAGUAUCCGCCUACGGAGUAGUACCUCGCAAGCUAGCUCGCAGCUCCGCCGCAAUGGCCACCGUAUUGAGCAGCCUCCGCUUGCCCUUCUCCGUCUGCCCCGCCGCCCCUUCGGCGCCCAUGGCGGCAUCCCGCGUCGCGCUCCCGCUGUCGUCGACGGCCGCCAGGGGCAUGAGGCUCCGCGCGCAGGCGACGUACAAGGUGAAACUGAUCACGCCGGAGGGCGAGGUGGACCUCGAGGUCCCCGACGACGUCUACAUCCUCGACCACGCCGAGGAGGAAGGGAUCGACCUGCCCUACUCCUGCCGCGCCGGCUCCUGCUCCUCCUGCGCCGGGAAGGUGGUCUCCGGCCAGCUGGACCAGUCCGACCAGAGCUUCCUCGACGACGACCAGAUCGAGGCGGGGUGGGUGCUCACCUGCGCCGCGUACCCCACCUCGGACCUCGUCAUCGAGACCCACAAGGAGGAGGAGCUCACCGCUUGAAUUCACUGAUUUGUUUAGUUCGACCCGUUUCCACCGUGCGCGUGUACCAUGCACGACAUUCGAACUGUAUCAGGAUAUUGAGGAGUUGCAAAGUACAGUACGUAAUUAGUACUUGCUGUUGUGGUCGGAUUUUGAUUGCUUUUGCUUAUUAAUGCCUAGUGUUAAUUUUCUCAAGUCAAUCAAGUAAUAAAAGGAGAUGAGAUUGUACUCCAUGUCUCCGUUACGCGUGCCUCGCGAUUCACUUAUGAUUUAGAUCCUUUUUAGUUUGCAUAUAAGUU
This 93650-nucleotide long non-coding RNA is filed under the name Triticum aestivum (bread wheat). RNAcentral describes it as "long non-coding RNA (TAES_LNC016434)". The record is from RNAcentral. Lineage: Eukaryota; Viridiplantae; Streptophyta; Magnoliopsida; Poales; Poaceae.